This 112182-nucleotide long non-coding RNA is filed under the name Triticum aestivum (bread wheat). Its description in RNAcentral is "long non-coding RNA (TAES_LNC013049)". The stretch from base 79132 to 79246 matches the Rfam family "MIR1120/MIR1122 microRNA precursor family". The record is from RNAcentral. Lineage: Eukaryota; Viridiplantae; Streptophyta; Magnoliopsida; Poales; Poaceae.
GUUCUUGUUCCUCCACGGCGUUGUAUCCGCUGUUGUAUCUGAUGCUCAAAGUAGAUGUCAUGUGGCGGCGCCCUCCCGUGCUGCGAAACCGAAACUGACUUGGCCUGAGUUUCGUCGUUGUUCCAUGCUCCCGGCUAUCCUAGAUGGUAGGUAAUGUCGGAACACAGGGGGAUGGUGGGGCAGUGUUGUUACCAUAUGAUCCAAGGGGUACCUUUUCUUUCUUCAUGCUGAACCUUGUACUGUGUAGCUUCUAUGCUGGUGUUUCAUGCUAGUGAUUUUUAGCAGUAAAUGCAUGUAACCUGACUAUUUGAAUGAUUUGAACAAAGUUGUGCUCAUGGUGUCAUACUUUAGAUUUCAGAACCGUGCAUCAAUUUUAUUUAAGAUUUCCUUGCAGAGCCAAAAUAAACUCUUUUACCCCUCUUUGAAAUGCCGAUAUAGCCACAUUUGGAGCCAGUUAUGGAUUCAGAACUACAAUACAUAUUUCACAGGUUAUGUCCUGAAUAUUCUCAAACUUGAUGCAUGCCGAUGAACUCUGUAAGCUUCACAUAAACAGUAGAACUGAAUAAUUGUGGAUUUGAAAGAAAAAUAUGCGCCUGGAUUGUUUUAGUGCAAUAUAUAUUUAUCAAUUAUGGAUGAUGAAGACGAGUCCUCAAACAUGGAUGUUCAGCUGCUUACAUUAAAGAUAAGCAGCUCGCACGGUAGUACCAUCCAGCAAUUGCGUAUGGUGGUUUUACAAUUGUAGAAGUUGCACAUGCCUUUACAGUGGUUUUGCAAUUUUACAAUCUUAAGCAGCAAUUUUAAAGAUGUGCAUGCCUUUGUUCAGUUGCAAACAUUAACAGUUCUCACAAUCUAGCACAUUCAGUGGUUUUACUUUCAAAGAAGUACUUACAUGAAGUAAAUUUUCCAUUUAGAGUUUUUUUUUUCUAAAUGGAACAUUUAAUCGCUACGUGCUGUUUUAUAUGCAGGCGAUCCAUUUAGAUCAUGCAUCAAUAAUGUAUUCAUGUUUUUUUUUUGUGAGAUUUUUUUCCAAAUAAUUGUAUUCUGGUAGAUAAGGUCCAUAUACGCCCAAAUCGUUUGGCUGGCGAUGCGAGCAUGGCCUGUGUGUGCUAUUGGUAGCUAGCUAGACUGGGCUUGGCCCAAAGCGUACGCGAGGGAGAUCGGCCCUUGGAAGACGCGCGACGAUGCAGCGGUUGCUCUGCUCGUCCAUACCCCAGCCGCCGCCAGGUCCGCCUCCGAUCUUUCCAAAAUGAAAAAUCCCACGAGAAAAAAAGGAAGGUCUACCUCCUAUUCUAUCUCCUCAUCGCUAUGUGAUGGAUAGCAUGGGAUUUGAGGUGGCGGCGCAGUACAUGGAUUAAUCGAGGGCAGACCAAGAGGGCCAGCUCUGUGCUCUCUAGCACAGGUUAAUCUUAAAACUUUUUUCUCCGUGUUUAUUGGGGUCGAUCUACUGAGUCUUCUUGCUAGUUGCUAUGGUUGCUGAAUUUCUUGCUUGGAUUGUGAAGAAGUGAAUAAAAUUUGGUAGUCUUGGAACAGGCCUGUUCAUAGGAUGUGAAAAAAAGGGGCCUGUCCAUAGGGGUGUUUUGGCUUUCCCAAGCACGCAUUGAUCAUGAACUUGUGGUACACUAGUCUCAGGAAAUAAAUUGGUUUCAUAGACUUUCGUCGUUAUUACAGUGGUUCAUCAGGUUUGUGCCUCAAGCCUUGUUUGGUUAGAGGGAUCCACAAGGAUUACAGUUAGAUUCACAUGGAUAGCUCGCGCGGGCACCAUUACUGGAUGAGGGCCUUUUCGUGUUUGGUUGAGGCCGGGGUUGGGAAGGUAUGGCCUAAUCACCGUCGAUCCACGGGGCAGAGAAAAGUGAGAUCUCAGGUCGCAGCGCCAAAUCAAACUCUUUUAUCCCUCUUAAGAAUGUCGAUAUGGCCGCAUUUGGAGCCACUUAUGGAUUCAGAAUCACAAGAUAGUUAGGACAUAUUUCACAGGUUAUAUCAUGAAUAUUCUCCAACUUGAUGCAUGCCGAUGAACUCGAACCGAAUAAUUAUGGAUUUCAAAGCAAAAAAGAUUGAUGCGCCUGGAUUAUUUUAGUGCAGUAUAUUAAUCAAUUAAGGAUGAUGAAGACGAGUCUUCAAAUAUGGAUGUUCAGCUGCUUACAUUAAGGAUGUACAUGCCUUCGUUUAGUUGCAAACAUAGACAGCUCGCACCGUAUUAUCCAGCAAUUGCGUACACAGUGUGCAGACUACGCAUCCAAGAUCAUCUGCAUAUAGUACAACAUGAUGUAUUACAUAUGACCAUUCAUAUCAUGCAGGAAUAACCGCAUUCGGCUAGCCAAGGUUCAGAUACGCCCAAAUCAUUACAAACUCUGACAUCAUAAAUCACAAGGUAUGUAGUGCAGUUAUGCGAUAAACAGAAUGUGUACCAGGUAAAUACAAGAAGAGUAAAUGAAUAAGUAGAACAACAAGGGGAGAUUUAUAUUACAGAGAAGGCCGAUCAUCAUAUCGAUAUAUUUGAACAGACGGGCAUGUUGGGUGCAGGGCCGUCUCCAGGAAUUCGGGGGCCCGGUGCGAAAUAUGAAUUGGGGCCCAAAAUUUAGCAAAAAAUUCUAUUACUAAUAUAAUUAGACAUUUAUUCACUUAAUAUAUAGCUUCGAAUAUGUGGUAUUUCACACAAUAGUUGAAAAAUAUAUUAUAUAGUAAUGCUAAGAAUAAACGUAGUAUUGAAACAAUAAACUUCUCUUUCGCAAAUUGUAAUAAAAUAGUAAACUGACCACAUGUUCUACCGAAAAGCAUCAUCUAUCUAGUAGGCCCUCCGUCCCGAAUUACUUGUCGUAGAAAUGGAUAAAAAUGAAUAUGUCUAGAAUUAAAAUGCGUCUAGAUAUAUUUAUUUCGGUGACAAGUGAUUCCAGGCGGAAGGAGUAUUUCUUAAAACGGAAUCUUUAAAUCCAUGACUCUAUUCUCGGAAAAUAAAAUUCCAUUAAGUCUUUCUUAGAAUGAAAUAGUGUAGCAAGACGAGCACACAACGAAGAAUUAGUACUACAAUAAAAAACUAGCUUACGGCUAGUGUGAUAAUCUUAUUUAUUUUGAUUAAAACUAAGCGCAUGCCUAAUCGAGUAGCACUUUUGUAGUAGUAGGCAUUGCAUCGAUAAGACAGGAAUACAUCAAAAGAACCAGAAAGAGAAUGAUUGUAACAAAAAAGUAAUAACCCGAACUAGAUUUUCGUUCCUCUAUUUUGAUCCCAGGCGUAUGGCUAUGACUUACCUUGGAAAAUAUUCUUGUGGUUAGAGGCCGCUGCAGUAAAGAAACACGAGAAACAAGCACUCUCGGCCGUAGCGAUUUGGCCCAUUAGCGUAACUAGCCUGCCUUGUUUUUUUACUUAUUCUUUUACAAACAGGCCGAAAAGGGAGUGGAUAAAUCAGUACUAGGCCAACUGAGGGCCUGUUUUGUCUCAAAAAAAAAAAAAAACUGACGGCCUGUUCGCUGGGUAUUAGCGCACCAUAACGUGCGUUCCGCUUCUUGAGCAAGGUUUCUUCCGAUUAAAUCGGAUCGAGCGAGCCAGCCGAAAAAGGAAGCAAACCAGGCCAAAUCCUAUUUCCGAUUUAGUUGUUCCUGCAAUCGGGCGCACACCCCCGCUUCCUUCCUUCGCUACUAAAGGGCCGGCCCACCUUACCUUUCGUACUAUACGUUUUCAUAGUCGCAAAAAAGUGCGCUUGAGGGUGGAUCGAACCAGCGACCUCCUGCAUCGAGGGGGGCCGCGACAACCAACGCGCCACCGAACCCACUGCUACAACAAACAUCGUUUCUUUCCUUUCUUGUGUCCCCUUUCAUUUCUCCAUUUCCUUUUUCCCUUUUUUAAAAUUCGAGAAAAUUUCUUUCUUCAUGUUUUUUUUUCUGCAAAUGGAUGAACUUUUUUUCAAAUUCGAUUAACUCUUUUUAUAUUCGAUGAACUUUUUUCAAAUUCGAUGAACUUUUUUUUCAUAUUCAAUGAACUUUUUUCAAAUCGAUGAACUUUUUUUCAAAUUCGAUGAACUUUUUUUCAUAUUCAAUGAACUUUUUUUAAAAUCGAUGAUUUUUUUUUCAAAUUUGAUAUUUUUUUUUGAAUCCAAUGAACUUUUUUCAAAUCCGAUGAACUUUUUUUUUCAUAUUCAAUGAACUUUUUUCAAAUUCGAUGAACUUUUUUUCAAAUUCGAUAAACUUUUUUUUGAAUUCAAAGAACUUUUUUCAUAUUCGAUGAACUUUUUUCAUAUUUCGAUGAACUUUUUUCAAAUUCGAUGAACAUUUUCCUAAGAACAAUAGUAUGUACUGUAGCAACCCGGUUUGGUUUUUUCUAAGAAAAUCAUGACAUAAUGUAGCAUUUUUUGGGGAAAGAAAAAAAAAACAAGCGAGCGUGCGUGAGCCAGCGAUCGAGAGUGGGCGGCUAGCGAGCGAGCGGGAGCCAGCGCGCGUUGCUGGGCCAGGCCCAUGCAAACGACGCAGUGGGCGCUGGGUUCGCUAGUGGGCGCUGAAGGCGCCAAGGAGGCGCUCUCGCAAACCAGCGCAUGAACCACGGCCAAUAUGUUUUUACCUUCGAUCGGGGCCCCUACGAUUUCGGGGGCCCUGUGCGAUCGCACCGCUCGCACAGCCUUGUCGACGGGCCUGGUUGGGUGCACAUCGGCUGCGCUCCUGAAGGCAGACUCGACAUCACUGUUCUUGUGGACGGAGGAUGUGACACCUACACGGAUGUGCUCGAGGGCUAACAGGUGCUCCAUGCCUAAUGGCGUAGCACCACCCCACCCAUCAGGUAUUUGUAGAUGGAGCUGUCGCAGCUUGGGAAUCGCCCCUGCCUCGAACUCCAUGCAUACCUAAGGUCUUCCAGAACCAGAAAUAAUCCUGUGCGGACUAUGGUGGCACCACUAUGUUCAGUGAUACUCGACACCGAGAGAAACAUGUCGACGAGGGAGGGCAGUUUUCCGACAACGUGAACCUCAUCAGUCGAUAGGUACUCAACCGACAAAGUCAGGCUGCGGAGGCAAUGGAGGUCGCCAAUCCAAUUGGGAACUCUCUUCAAUAUCCAUCCUAGCAGAUAAAGUACCUCGAUAUGGAGAGGAGGGUUGGAUAGCGAGUACAUCUGGCAACAAGAAUGUUUAGAAAACACACCAUUAGCACUGACAAAGAGGUAUUUGAGGUCACGGAGCCUUGCAAUUGAGGAGACCAAAGCAUCAACUACCUCCUCAGCCACCACUUUGCCAGAGAAGCUCAGCAUUCUCAGACCAGUCAGCUCUGCGCCAAUGCCCUUAAUAUCCUCUAACGAGCUCUUCUCCAUAUCAGGGCAUGACAAAGCAUGCAAUGAUUUAAUGCUCGCGAUUCCUUGAGGCAGCCCUGUACCAUCUGGAAGGCUCAGAUGAGACAGUCGUGGCAAUAAAACUAUAUCUGAUGGGAAGUUUUGUGCUGAUCGACCAUUUAUUACCACCGUCUCCAAAUGAACAAGGCCUCGAAUUUCAAUAGGGAGAUCAAUGAUGCAUUUGAAUGCCUUAAUUCUAACAUACCUUAGCUGAAACAAUUGAUUAAUAGGAGUGAGGUCGACCGUCGUACCCUUGUAAGGGAAGUUACACAUGAGCACUCGAAGGUACUUAAAUAGCGAAAGAGGGGGCGUGUAAUUGGACUCUCCAAACUGUGCAAAUGAUCGAACUUGUGACAUGCUAGUAUCAAUGAUCCCUGAUGUUGUACCACUAGCGCUUGAUUUUGAGGACAAUCUACGGACCUUAUUAAAUUCGUAGCUAUACAUUCUUGCCACAUCUUCCCAAUUAUAUGCCACACUGAUGAAGUUGUCUUCUGCGCACUUGCUGAUGAUCAAAUCAAGCAUCAUGUCGUGUACUUUGCAAUACCCCACAUCUACAAAAUUUGAUAAUUCAGUUGGCUGGGUAAGGCUUCUAUGAUAAGCUCAUUAAAAUAACUCUUUGCAACGUCCUCCAAAUCUGAUCCAUGAGAAUUAUUGACGAAGCCUUCAGCUACCCAUUGUACAACCAAAUCAUCCCUGCUGAUACUUCCAUCUUCUGGAUACAUGCCAAGGUACAGGAGACAUGGACAGAGAUGAAGAGGAAGAUGCAUGUAACUAAGGUUUAAUAUACUCCUCAUCUCUUCCAAGGUGGGAUUUGUGGCGAACUUAGCACCAAGAGAGUUUCUUAUGCUCUCCCACUCGUCCUUUGGUCUUGCUUGAUGACUAGCUAACAAACUGGCUAUAGUGAUAAUUGCAAGUGGCAACCCUCCACACCUCCUCAAAAUUUCAGCUGACAUUUCUUUAAGCUGGGGUGGACAGUCAUCUUCAGACCCAAACACUCUAUUAAAGAACAACAGUCUUGAGUCUAGUUCUUUUAGGGUCUUCAUUCUGUAAACACACUCACGGUCGUUGCUACACGUCCCAAUAGCUACAUUAUCCACUCGUGUAGUUACUAUUACUCUACUUCCAUUAUCAACUUAUGGAAAGAAACAACUCAUAAUAUUCCAUGUUGAUUGAUCCCACAAGUCAUCUACUACAAUAAGGUACCUAUUGAAUUUUGUUGUACAUAUCAGAUAGCUUGAAUUGUGAUAUGAUUUGCAGAUGGAAGUACCAUAACUUAGAAAUGAACAUAAACUAAGAACAAUGUAAACUAGGAUUCAAGCAAGAAAAAUGCUAUUUCCUAGGUUAAUUUUGCAUGUUCACAUAACAUUCGAGCCUAAGGCAAGUUAAUUUACAUGCACCGAUAUAACAUAGUACAAACACAUUUAUAUUUAUCUUAUACAUGCAUUCUUGAACAAAAAGAGACUACAAUUUUCUAUUAUAUAAUAAAGGAUAAUGGCUUGAGACCGUACAACUCUACACCCAUAUUAGAAGUACAUGUUUGUUGGAUCCAACUAACAUUAGCCAUCGAUCUAUCUUCAAUACGAUGGCUCACAAUUUUAUUUAUACAUGUGCUAAUUCAACUUUAGUUACAUACUCAUUUGAGAAUGAAGAGACAUUUCAUGAGUCAAUUUCUCCCAUUCGUAUGCCAAUCUGAAGUUUGCAUCUCUUCUCAUCCAGGUAUUUCUUACCUCAUACAACAAUCACACCAUUAUCAGGUGGUGUUUUUAUUUCUUAAUUUAUGGGCUUGCUACUUUAGUUGCCCGAUUUUCGUUCCGAGAUUUGGCCAUAGUCGAUUUCUCGUUUAAGGGUGUCUCUGAUGUGCAAAGUUGUAUGUAGAUUAACCAAGGCGAAAUAGAGAGCAAUCACAUUUAUUCUUUCAUCUCCUAUUGGACAAUCUAGACACAACCAAUAUGAGUAGUUGUAUAAUAGCUUGUUCGUUGAUGAGAUGGACAUUUUUACCAACAAGAUUACAUACAACCUAUUAGAGAUGCCCUAAGGGGAGACCAUACAUGCCAACAGACGAAGGGCCCUCGCGUCGCUCCUGUAGAAACGACUCAGAAGGCGAAACCGUUGCCCACCGCCGGCCCUCCCUCCCGCUUCCCCUCUCCUUUGUCGCCACCGAAAGGUGGCUGCCGGCUCGCAAUGGGGCCAUUGGUGAAGGUGGUGGCGAGGAUCUAUUCAUUCCAUACUCUCGCAGAGGCUCCAGAAUCGAGGGGGCGACCUCAGGUGGUGGCGCGUCGCUAGCGAGUGGUAUCCGCUAGUUCUGGCCGUUGGCCUUGGCUGCAUGGGUAGCGAGGUCCACGCUCCCCUCCCCCGUGUUGUCCCAUGCUGCUUAAAUGCGCGCUCAUAGGAGAUUGUCCUCCGGGGUGUGGUGGUGAACACUAGAUGUAGAUACGCGGCCUGUGGGUCGCAUGCCCUCCAUUGGUGAGGCGGUGCCACCCAGCUCAAUCUGAUGAGGUGGUUCUGCUCGGGAGCCGUGGCUGGCGGCUGCAGCGGCCCUUGCUGGUGGCGACGAGAUGGUGUGCCUGCGGUCGUGGGUGCGAUGACCAGGAGGGAUGUAGCGGCUUGAUUCUUGGCCACCAGACAUAUCCACCUUUCGUGCUCCUAGCGAGAUGGAAAUCGCAUGGUGUGCUACGCGUCGUUGUUGGUCCGUGUGAUGACCACUCCGGCCUAUGGUGAAGGCCUCCCUGUGGAUUAGGAUGACCACCAAAAGUCUUUGUGAGGGUUCCUCCCUUCAGAUCCGAUGUUUGCCUUUGGCGGUGAGAUGCAAUCUAUGGAUGACGGCUUGACGCAGAGAGUAUGGUCGUGCAUUUGCGGUAGGCCAUCACAUGUAGCUGCUGGGAUCGUGGAAAAGUGAUGGCGACAACAUACGAUCAACUUUGAGGGUGGGGCUACUUGUGUACCAGUCUCGAGCUCUAGGGUGAAAACUUAGGUGUGAUCGGAGUUGGUUAUACCUGGCGGUGACGAUGUUUUUUGCUUCGUUACCUUGUUGAAUGCAUUGCUCGGAUAUGCUCGGACUAGUUCUUUAGGGUGAAAACCAAGAAUCUAGCCUUUGGUAGUUGGAUCCGGUGAUAGUGGAGCUUGAGCGCCGCUUCCUUCCUGAAGGUGGUGCUAUUGAAGAACCUUUUCGUUCUUGUGGUGUAACGGGAGCAUCUAUAUCCGGAUGCCCCAUAUCCGUUCCAAACGCCCAAGCGGUCUACCUGGACAAAAAUUGAGACCCAACCAGCCACCCGAAACGCAGCCCAAACGUACUGGUUGAUCGACAACCCCAUACCGAUCCUAGAUGUGGGCGAAUAUGGGGACACCCAUACGCGUUUGCCACAUCGGAUCCAUCUCAUAAUGGCCCACCCCGACCCCACAUAUAUUCAUCCCCAUUCGCAUUUUGGCCCAAACCCUAGCCGCUUCACUCCAAUCAACUCCACUCCCGUCCCCAAGCUCAUGUUCGGCGAACUUCGACCUUCUCCGACAUAGCAGGCAGUGGAUCUGACUCCGAGAUCUCCCGAUCCAUCUGUGACGCCCGGAUAAUUAAGCUACAGUGAACAUCUGCUAAUGAUGCCACGUCACUUCGAUUACUGUUGCUAAUCUCACGUUAGUUCGAAACCGAUUUAAAUUCAAAGUCAAAAUCAAGCAAACAAUAAAUUUUUUCAAAUAUUAAAACUAAAAUGUUCUUCAUGUGCCAAAUAAUCCAUACCUAAUAUUGGUAGUGAACCAACACUUUUGCAAAUGUCUAAGUGCCCUAAACCACUUUAAAACAGUGGCUAAAACUAUAGUUUAAAUGCCUUUUUAAAUUAUGAAGGUUGCAAACUAUUUCAAAAGCCUCACAAUCUUUUUGUGGCAGUGCCCAAUAAUUCUUUGAAAUUGUUUUGGCCAGUGGCAUAAUUUUGCAAAGUCAUUAUUGGCUAAAAAGAAAAUGCAAAAGCUGCUGAAAAUAAAAAGAAAAACAAAGAAAAGGAAAAGGGAAAAGAAGAGAGAGAGAAAGCCCCUGCCCCACUUGGGCCUCGGCCCACCCGAGCCAGCUGGCCCAGCAGGCCGGCCCACUCCCCCCCUCACCGGUCGCUCCCUCCCCUUCCUGUUCCUCUGCUCCGUGUCGCUACAGGGGCGAGGUCGACCCCGUUUACCUCGCCGGCCUCGCCGGGAGAGGAUAAGGGCGACGCCUCGGGCUCCCUUCCUCUCUCUCUCUCGCCCACGCGCUCGCCUUCCUCUCCCCCGGUUCCCCAUCCACGCCCGAGUGUGGUCGCCGCCGUCCUCGUUGUUGUCGCGGCCACCGGCGGCCCCGCGCCCGCUGACCCUGUCGGUGAGCUCCGUCGGGGUCGACUCCUUCGACUGAUGGCCUCAGCUGGAGCUCGGAGGCGCUGCAGCAUUGGAUCCCCUUCGUCCCACUGCCAUCGAUCUUCUUCGUCUCCGGCGCCGCCCCUGCAGCUCCUAAACCGCCAACGAGCCUCCUUGUGCUCCGCGGUGAGCUCUCCUUCCUCCCCGCUCUCUUCUCCUCGCCCCAACGUGCCCGUAGUUGCCGUCUCGUACGUGCCCGAGCCCAUCACCGCGGGAGCUCAUCGCCGACGAGCUUCCGGCGACCAAAUGGUCCCGGGCCAGUGCCGGUUACACUCACCGCGCCCCAUAGAUCCUCCCCAGCACCUCCAUUUGCUCGCUAGCUCGCCGUAGCCCCGUUUUCCUCGAGCUCCCGUACGCGCCGCCGCUUUCGCUCAUCGCCGGUGCCGAAUCCGGCCAAGCCCGGUCGUGCCACCACCACCAAACGACGCGGCGUUGAGUGGCCGUUCGAACGGGCCUAGCCGCGCUCUUCCCCAUGCCCUGUAGUCCUUUCCCAAUGAACCCCGUGGUCGCGCCGUCGUGUUUCGGGUCGCCGGAGUCACUCCGGCGCCGGCCGCCGACGUGGCUAGCCUGGGGCCAUCCCGAGCCACUGCCAGUGGGCCCCACGGCCCCCAGAUGACUGGGUUGACCCAGUCAACUGCUGACUGGGCACCCGUGGGCCACUGACGUGUGGGUCCCGCGCGUAAUUAAUCUAAUUUGAAAUUAAAAGUUUAAUUAUUAAUUAUAUUAGUCUAAUGUCUCACUGACAUAUGGGGCCCACACCCCUAAUUAGUUCAGUUAGAUUAGUUAAUUCACUGUUAUAGCCACUCUCACUGACCAGUGGGUCCCGCUAGACCCACAGGCCAGGUUUGACCUGGUCAGCUGACCAGCUGGCUGCUGACGUCAUCCUCUAGUCAUACUGACGUCAUAAUUCCAUUUCUAUUAAUUUAGAUAAUUUCAGAAAAUGUUUAAAACUUAGAAAAAUCCUAUAAAAUAAACCGUAGCUCGGAUGAAAAUGUUUUCUAUAUGAAAAUUACUCAGAAAAAUCCAACGAAUCCGAAUAUGCGGUCCGUUCAUCUGUCACAUGCCUCUAGCAUGCUGAACUUGGAAUAUUUCCCCUCCGGUCACCUGUCUGACACAGGUCCGGAACCGGGAAUACAUUCCCGGUUGAAUUCCCCCUUCACCUUUAUCGUGUAGCCAUACGUUAGGUCACACCCGGCACAUCAUAUUGCCAUGUUAAACUUUGUGAUGCCUUGUUUGCUCUAUAUUUAUUGUUUCUUCCCCCUCUUCUCUCCGGUAGACCCCGAGACCGAUGUUGCCCCUGUGAUCGACUACGUCGACGACGACCCCUCCUUGCCCGAGCAACCAGGCAAGCCCCCCCCCUUGAUCACCAGAUAUCGCCUAUCCCUUCUCUAUACUACUUGCAUUAGAGUAGUGUAGCAUGUUACUGCUUUCGGUUAAUCCUAUACUGAUGCAUAGCCUGUCAUUGUUGCUACAGUUGUUACCCUUACCUGCUAUCCUACUGCUUAGUAUAGGAUGCUAGUGUUCCAUCAGUGGCCCUACACUCUUGUCCUUCUACCAUGCUAUACUACUGGGCCGUGAUCACUUCGGGAGGUGAUCACGGGUAUAUACUAUAUACUUUAUAUACAUGACACAUGUGGUGACUAAAGUCGGGUCGGCUCGUUGAGUACCCGCAAGUGAUUCUGAUUAGGGGGCUGAAAGGACAGGUGGCUCCAACCCGGUAGAGAUGGGCCUGGGUUCCUGACGGCCCCCAACUGUUACUUUAUGGCGGAGCGACAGGGCAGGUUGAGACCACCUAGGAGAGAGGUUCGCCUGGCCCUGGUCGGCGUCCGCGGAUACUUAAAAUAACACGCUUAACGAGUUCUUGGUAUUUGAUCUGAGUCUGGCCAUUUGGUCUAUACGCACUAACCAACUACGCGGGAACAGUUAUGGGCACUCGAUGUCGUGGUAUCAGCCGAAGCUCUUCUUCACGUCAGCGACGGAGCGGCGUGCGCCGGAUUGGACUGGAACGCCUGCUAGGCUAGGUCUGCUUCCGGCCGCGUACGCAACGUGCAGGUGUGCAAUGGGCGAUGGGCCUAGACCCCUGCGCCAUAGGAUUUAGACCGGCGUGCUGACCUCUCUGUUGGGCCUAGGUGGGGCUGCGACGUGUUGAUCUUCCGCGGCCGGGCAUGACCCAGAAAAGUGUGUCCGGCCAAAUAGGAUCAAGCGUGUUGGGUUAUGUGGUGCACCCCUGCAGGGAAGUUUAUCUAUUCGAAUAGCCGUGUCCCUCGGUAAAAGGACGACCCGGAGUUGUACCUUGACCUUAUGACAACUAGAACUGGAUACUUAAUAAAACACACCCUUCCAAGUGCUAGAUAUAACUCGGUGAUCGCUCUCUAACAGGGCGACGAGGAGGGGAUCGCCGGGUAGGGUUAUGCUAUGCGAUGCUACUUGGAGGACUUCAAUCUACUCUCUUCUACAUGCUGCAAGAUGGAGGCUGCCAGAAGCGUAGUCUUCGACAGGAUUAGCUAUCCCCCUCUUAUUCUGGCAUUCUGCAGUUCAGUCCACUGAUAUGGCCCUUUACACAUAUACCCAUGCAUAUGUAGUGUAGCUCCUUGCUUGCGAGUACUUUGGAUGAGUACUCACGGUUGCUUUUCUCCCUCUUUUCCCCUUUCUAUACCGGAUUGUCGCAACCAGAUGCUGGAGUCCAGGAGCUAGAGAUACCGAGGAUGAUUCUACAUGGAGUUCGGCUUCGAGGAGCAGUUAGGAGGAUCCCAGGCAGGAGGCCUGUGCCUCUUUCGAUCUGUAUCCCCGUUUGUGCUAGCCUUCUUAAGGCAAACUUGUGUAGCUUAUGUCUGUACUCAGAUAUUGUUGCUUCCGCUGACUCGUCUAUGAUCGAGCACUUGUAUUCAAGCCCUCGAGGCCCCCUGUCUUGUAUUAUGAUGCUUGUAUGACUUAUUUAUGUUUUAGAGUUGUGUUGUGAUAUCUUCCCGUGAGUCCCUGAUCUUGAUCGUACAUGUUUGCGUGCAUGAUUAGUGUACGGUCAAAUCGGGGGCAUCACACCAUCAACUGGGACCUUGUCCCAUGCGGGGAAGAGGAGGGGAUGGACGACUACAUGACUCUUCGCCGCUCCCAGGAGGAGUGUGCUCGACUACGACUAGACUCGAUCCGGAGGGAAUCCAUUGCGUCUGCUCAAAUGGUGCUCCGGGCUGGUGGCUUGAGGCGCAUGACCGCGGCCUCGCCGGGAGCAGCGAGCACCAAUUGGUAGGGCAACCCCAGGUUGGCGGCGCAACCCCUUAGGUGGCGCCUCAUCCCCACGACGUCGUGCCCCAAGACAAAGGUCAACAGCGCCAUGGUUCACGACCAAAUUGGCUAGGAGGUGCGGCGUGCCCGCCAUGCAAGGCAGAGGGCGCGGGAUGUCGCGACAACCCUCGAGGUGGAGUUGGAGUCGCAAGGAGGGUUAGACAACAAUGAGGAAGUCCACCAUGCCCGCAUCUCCAAGAAGCGACAAAGGAGGGCGACACACGCCUUCGCAAGGGAGCAAAGCGUGGCGGUCCGUGCCAUGGAUGGAUUGCCCCUAGAAGAGGAGAAGAAGGAGGACGGCGACGGAUCGGACAACUCCGGCAGUUAGUAGAUCUGCCUUGAUCCGCUUUGCGUCUUCCACCGCUACUUACGCAACUAAGACAACAAGGGCAGGGGCUAGGGCAAGGGUGCCCAUGGAUGAACUUCUUCCAUUGUUGUUUCAUUCGUAGUUAGUAGAAUAUGUCAAUUUUUGGUAGUCCGAUGACAUGUGUGUUCAACUAAGUGUGUAAUUUAACGUUGCAUGGAACUACUAUGGUUUUGAAGAUUUGAUUAGAGGGAGCCGAUUGUCGAGGAGGAUUUUUUUAUGUCUGACCGGUCAAUCCCGGACGCGUCCGGGCACGUCCGCAAACAUAUAGGAACUGGAUUUGCCCACUCCGGUUGUAGAUGCUCUUAGAUGGUUGGUGCGGAUAGGAUAAUUAUUGUAAUUUUCCGAUCGCGGAUUUGAUUGCUUCAGGGUUUUCAUGGCACUAACUUUAGUCUUUAAUGACUUUGUUAUUUGUAUUGUUAACCUUCUGUUUGUGUGGUUUAAUAUUGAUGUUCAUGUGCGUAGAUCUCAAAGAGAUCAGUACAAAGAGCGUGGUUCUGGUUGUUAAUCAUCGCUGAUGUUUUCAAAUGAAUUGAGAAAACUAACUCAUAUUUACUCAUUUGCACAAUUAGGUAAGAGCGGCUUUUUAGCGCGGUGUCGUUGAUUUAAAAUUUGAAGAAAUUAAGGGAUUUAAUUUUUGAAGAUAUCAAGGAAUAGUUUUCACUUCACUCAUAUGGAUUUGUUUGUCUAUCUUAAUUUUUCAGAUAGUCCUAUUCACAGUAACAACUUACCAUUAACAAUAGUAAGUGCAAGAACAAAAACAUGCAUCCCAACUCUGCAUUUCUUAUGCAAAUUUACGUUAGGACUAUUUAUGGACUUCUUCACCUAUCUAUCUAAAUCUUUUUUGGUACCUUAACCUAUAAUUUAUUACUGUAGUUAUAGUAAAGCCUGACAUUAAACACAACUUUGUAGUUCUAUGGAUAACUUGUGACAGUCACACACACCUUUCUCUACUUUCUUCAUAGGCCAUUAUUUCAAUGUUUAUGUUAAGAGCAUGGGUUUUAGUUUUGCCCCGGACCCCAAAAUCUCCGGACUGGUCAUGUUAGUUUGCUUGUCAUAUAGGUUUUUAUCAUUGUAGAUUACAUAUCUAGAGAACUUACUUUAUCCGCAGUUAUCCCUAAAGUUGAAAGAAACACUAAAAUUUUGUAGUCUCCUAUUUACCCCAUCCUAGUCAACCCCUUCGAUGCUUUUAGCUCCCGACAAGUUGAGGAGGGCAUUCCUAUGUGACGUCCGGGGCCAAGUGCUUUAGCGCCCGGAAACAAUUGUGCCACCCUAAGCGGGAGGUGGUCUUAGGGCAUGAACAAAGGAAGCAUCACCUAGUGAUGCCCCAGCCCAUCCAGCUAGGCAGAAAAGAAAGUGAGGCAUCGACUUGGUACUUAUCACCAACAUGCUAAACUGAGCCAACCAUUACCAUGCCCCCACACCGGCGUCAUCUUCUACUUACCAUGUGAGCACCCAAUUCCAUCUCCCACCUCCUUUCCCCCUCUUUCCUCUCCUUUUCUUCCUUCUCCCAUGAAGUGGCCGCCUCCUCUGCAAGCCACUCUGACACAUUGCGAGGCUACCAUACCAGCUCCACCUGGCAUCCGAACCUAGUUGGACAAUGGGGCAUCAGGUUUGAAGCAUACCAUUGGCCAUGCCCUUAGGGUGUGCUAUGUCACCACUCCAAAUACCCGCCUUUAAGUGAAGCUACUGCAGUGCCUGCACUUGGAGCCAGUUGCCCCGUGGCCCACUUGGGCCUGGGCGACUCCCUCCAUCCAGCCACCAGCCAAUCACAAGUCUGGACCAGGUUGUCGUCGAUGGUCUGCUCGCUUGGUGAUACCUCUUCGGCCGUUGUCGGGGACGUGGCGCGCACGACAUUCUGGCAAGCUGCGUGGCUGCAUGGGAGCUACUAUGCUCACGUUUCCCUUCCAUAUUUUCUCGCUCGCUCGACAUUAAACACGAUGACCUCGCAUUCUAAAGAAUAUUUUUAUGAAAUCCCGUAAAUUUACAUGCAUGCUUUCUUAAUCAUAUGUAUUUUGGAAAAGGGAAAGUUUUGUUUUUGCCACUCUACCUUUUGCCUGUUUUCCUUAUGCCACUCUAAAAUUCGACAUUUCACUUUUACCACUCCUAGCUCUUGAUAAUAUAUCACAAUUGCCAUUCCGUGGCAAAGCAAAAUAAUUUCAUUUAGCUUUUGCCACUCUUAGCUUCUGACAAUGUAACACAAUUGUCAUUCUGAAAUUUUUGCUUUUACCAUAGAAUGCAAUUGUGAUGUAUUGUCAAAUGCUAAAAGUGACAAAAGCGAAAUGUCAAAAGCUAGUGUGGCAUAAGAAAAAUUGGCAAAAGCUAGAGUGACAAAGACAAAAUUCUCCCUUUCGAAAGGGGGUGUACGAGCUCAACCUUUCAAUGGCCAAUAAGAUUUGGCUUUAUCCUAAAGAACAUCUCUAAAAUUAGUAAAGUUACUUAAAAAUCACUGGAAGGUACCCAAAACUUAGAGAAUGUUAGUAAAAUAACAUAUUUUUUGCAUAAUUAAUUAAUUAACCAUUGAAGUGCACAAGUGACUAUUAAGAAGAAUAUGUGUACCUCUCAUGCGCGAGAUGUUGUCUAAGAAGGUCAAUGGUAUCUUGCACCUCACGAGCCUGAGAUGACUCCCCCUUCAUCCCAAGCUUCAAUUGUAGGCCACUGAGAAGGCUUAUUAUAUCAGGUCUUUGAGAAACCGAUACAAAUGCUUUAGAAGUGAACUGUCCUCCGAUCUCAUCAUACACUUGUUUGGCGAGUGUAGUUUUACCAAGACCCCCGAAUCCAACAAUGGCCACCACCUUGAGUUUCUCCUGGGUAUCUGUCAACCAACUUACAAGCUCUUUCUUUGGGCCAUCAAUACCCACAAGGCCUCUUGCAUCCUUGUAGAUUCCCGACAUGCGAGGAUCAACAUGAAUGACGCGAGAAGUAGAAUUGAUGCAAUCAUCAAUCUUGUACCUUUUCAUCACAACAACAAAAGAUAUUUACCGGUUUCAUAUGAAAGAUAUUGUAUGCGAGGAUCUUAUAUUUUGAAAAUAAUAAUAAUAUUUUACCUCAUGCAUCGUUCAUUUGCCUACAACGCAAGAACCUUGAGUUCCUCCAUCCGUUCAGCAGUACGAUGACGCUUCCGCAACGUCUUGAGACGUUCGACUGUCUUCUUGAUAAAGCUUGUUUUGACAUCGACACCUCCAAGGUCUCGCAUGAAGUCAUCGAUGCAAUUCUCCAUGUUGUAGGACAUCUCCCUCACAUGAUCCCUCCAGUUCUUGGCCAAGGGAUCCAGUUCAUCCAUGAGCUCAAGCUUCUCAAGUAGAGCUUUCAUGGCACUAAGCUCAUCCUUGAGGAACGAGGCCUGCUUCCUGACUGACGUGAGCUUCUUGUACUCGUCGCCCAUCAGUGCAGCAAGCUUGCCGAUGAGGGGGUUCAUCGCCCCCAUGGUGGCGCUGAUGAUUGGUGCAGACAUCUCGAUAUCGAGGCUCCUUUUGGUGUUGGCUCAAGUCAACUGCUACGCUCGUGUGCUGCAGGUGAGUGCGACAAACGGCUCUUGUCGGUGAAGCAAGCGGCGAUUCCUGUUGUUAGAAAAGACAGUGGCACAGCGGCGAAGUCUAACAGGUUCGGCGGAGCUCGAGAGGUGGAAGACUGUUGCUCGUAGUGUCAACAGAUCCAUCGCCGAGAUCGAGACCGGAAAGGCGGAUGGGUGCGCCGGAUCGAUCAGUGGCCAGAGGUUGUCUACGGUGUGGUGCGGUGGGAAGAGGGACGGUUGCCACUACUGGUCAUGGCGGAGGGAAGGGCAAUUGGUACCAGCGAGGUGAUUUAAUGGAGGGAGUCGAGUCAAUGACGCGUUUGGACGUGCAACGUGGAAAUGGCCACCGAGUUUGCUAGGCUAUGAGGUGCUCUAUGAUUAACAUCCUAAUCUAAAUAAAUCAACAUGUUAGCAUCUCGAAUAGACAUUUUUACAACUUUAUUCAGGCGCUCAAGCUGACAUGAUCACACGCUAACACGUUAUGUCUGAGCUAACGUUGAUAAAUGUAUAGUCGUUGUCCUUCCGAGUAGGCGUCACUACCGGAAUAAACCCCUAUGCCACCGGCCCGGGUCAUGGCAUAGCCUUGAUUCCCGUCGGGACAGGCCUAUGCCGACGGCCCCCGUCGGCAUAGGGUCGUCGGCAACAUAUCCAACGGCGUAGCCUGGGGGGCCGUCGACAUAGAAAGGCCGUCGGCAUAGACCCUAUCCCGACGGUGUCCAUACAACUAUGCCGACGGCCUCGUCCGUCGGCAACGUCCCCGCCUAACGGCGACCGUCAUUAAGUGCUGGCCAAUGACUGCGCGCCACGUGGCACAUCUAUGCCGACGGCCUAGCCGUCGGCAUAGUGUUAAACUAAGCCGACGGCUAGGCCGUCGACAUAGAGGUGCCACGUGGCGCGAACUGGUCACUCCUGGGGCAGGCCUAUGCUGACGGCCUAGCCGUCGGCGUAGCUUCAAGCUAAGCCGUCGGCAUAGCCCUGCCCCAGGAGUGACCAGUGGCUGACACGUGGCGGCUAUGCCGACGGCUUAGCUGUCGGCUUAGUUUAAAACUAUGCCGACGGCUAGGCCAUCGGCAUAGCUGCCACGUGUCAGCCACUGGGUGCUCACGCGAGCACUAUGCCGACGGCCUAGCCGUCGGCAUAGUUUGUCUCUGUUUUUUUUCUUUUUUCUGUUUCUUUUCAGGUCAAUUCAAUUCAAUAUAGCAUAUAUACAACACAUAUGCAAAUAGACAAACUGAUCACAUAUGCAUAGACAAACUCACAAAGCAUAAGCAUCUCACAACAUAAGAAUCACCUCACAACAUAAGAAACAUCUCACAACAUAAGAAGCAUCAAGUGUAUCAUCACCACAAGUAACCCAAAGGCUUAAGCGCCAGGACGUCGAGCACCGCAGAGGUCGUCACCGCAGAGGUCGUCACCGCUAAGCCCGCCGAAGCCCAAGUCGUUAGUGCUAGCGGCAGCGCUACCGCUAAGACCGCCUCCACCUCCGCCUCCGCCUCCGUGGAUCGGAGUGAUCGGGCUCCGUGAAUCGGGAGUGCUGCGAAGACCACCACCAACGGUUGAUCCGCCGGUUCCCUGGAUGUUGAAAUGUUAAAGAUAUAUAUGAAUGUGUUGAAAGGCAUGAUAUGCUUUGGGUGAAUAGAUUGGGGAUGAACGAACCGGCGAGGGGCCAGCGUUCUGUGCCACAAACUCCUCAAAGGUAAGCAGCCUUGGUUGUGCUGGAGGACAUUGUGCUGGUUGCAGUUGAGGAAACCUGCCGGCUGCCAUUUCCUGAAAAGCGUGCUGCAUCUGGCAAUCCCUCUGCUCAUGGUAUGCAUAAAGGCUCUCGUGCCACGCCAUGGUCUCCUGGCGUGUGUACUCCAUGUAGGCCUACGGUAUGACAUGAUGGAACUCAUAAAACUACUAAAUGCGGAAAAUAAAGUGAGCAAUGAAGAUAAGAGGGAAAAUACUUACAGAUUGCAGCUCCUGAAAGAGGGACUGUGAUUGUGCACUGGUCAUGGGCGUGCUCAUGCACUGGCUCAGGCUCGGGUUGAUCUGAUGGAGCUGUGUGUAGGAGAUAGUAGGAGUGAUCACAGCAACGAGAACCGCCUCCCGACCGUGCUCCGUGGGCCCCAUGCCCACCACCACCCUAUCGUCCAGAUCCGCCGCAAUGGGGUCAGGUGUGUCAGGAUGUAACCUCAGAUACCCAUCGGAGUAGGCCUUCUUCCUUUGCGCGGUCUUCUUGCCGUAGUACUUGGGCUCGCCAGGCUUGGGGUCCUUCCGCGUAUGGGCGAUCUCCCAUGCCUGCAUGUGUGAGAGCGGCUGCUUCAGUUUCUCCUCCUGCACCACCAAACAGAGGUUAGUCAUACAUAAGAACGUGACGGUAAAUAGAAGAAGAAUGUUUAAUGGGGUUAGUCAUACAUUAAGUGUCUUGUGGAGAAAGUAGUUUCGAUUUCCCUGAGCAUGUACUCCCUCCUUCCCUCGGUUAGCCUUGUUUUUGAUGCUCGUAGCCGCCCAGGCUCCAUCCUUAUCACACCAAAGAUCCACCAAUGCCGCCCAGGAGUCGUCUUUUCCAUAACACCAAUUUGGACACACCUACAUAAUGAAAGCAUAAUGGCAUGUCAACACGAAACGGUGAAAUGUACCCAAACAUCGGAAGGAAAAAUCUUUUAUACUUACCGCCAAGUACUCGUGCCUCUCCAAGGUAAUGCCCAUCCUCCGCGCUUCUUCCUUGGUCAUCUUCACACCAAAAGCAUCGUGAUAGUAUGUCGAGAUGGCCACAUAGCGCACCUCGUACUGCAUCUGGCGGGCCUUCUUCUUGCAUUGGCGCAGCACGAUCUGGUUGGCUCUGGCCUUGUGCUCUGGAAGAACUCGAUAGAAUUUCUACAAUCAUGCAUGAAACAAGAAUGGAAGAAGCCAUGAGUUAAAUCAUUCAUGAAACUAGAAUGGACUUGUGCUUCUGAAGAGAACUCACCCAGAAAGUAGUGAUCACGGCCUUGGCAUGGGUCUCAUGGUCCGCGUGGAGGGCCGCUUCCCAGUGGUCCCAGCUCGUGGCCAAAACCCGAUGGUCUGGGUGCCUGACUGGAUCCAGACAGUACAGCCUCGGCCAGUGUAACUUCAGCAAAACGGUGAUGAGGCCGUUGGGAAUACGGACCCCUUUAGAAUAUAUCCAGUUGCUGCAAAAGAAUGAAAUAUUAGCACGUGACAAGAAAAAUAAAUAACUACCGGAAUGAGCAUGUGGCAAGCAAAGUAAUGAAAUUAUUAUAAAGUGGCACUUACUCUUUCCCCGUGGGCUCAAUGAGCCACUUCUGCUCCUCAGUAGCAGGAAUCUGGUUUGGUAGCUUUGUGUUACCAUGCAGCCACCCCUUGUUGCCAACCUCCUCACCGCCACCACCAUCAUCCCCGCCACCACCCUCCUCCUCGCCUUCCUCCUCCUCCUCGCCUGCCUCCUCCUCCUCGUCCCCCUCCCCAACCUCCUCCUCCACCUCCUCCUCGGCCCCAUCCCGAACCUCCUCCUCCUCCUCCCCGUCCUCCUCCUCCUCCUCCUCGUCAGAGGGUACCUCACUAGAGGAGGGCCUCGAAGACAACACCCCUAAGUCGGUGAGGGUGCGCUCUUUCUGGCCGCGACCCCCUGUAGUGGCUCUCCCCCCACCUCACCCUCUAGGGGCUCUCCCCCCGCCCCCUCCUCCUCUAGGGCACCUCUCCCGUGACCUCCCUGUGAGGAGUCACCGUCAAGUAGCCAGGGGGGAAGGAUUACGUGCUCGACCACUCCGACUAGGCAGGCCGACGACCUUGCGUAGGAAACCCACGUCGUCGUCCUUCCCCUUGCCCAUGUUCCACAAACCUGCAUUGAAAAGAGAAUAAGCACUUAGUAAAUUAAUUAAAUGAAGGAAAAGGCAUAAUAAUAAGGAAUAAUAAACACAUUAAUAAAAAUGCAUAAAAAGGCAUAGUCCUAAACUAUAGAAAAAAAAGACUUGAAACAUACAUCUGCUAGAACCCAUACGAAUCGUCAUUGUUGUAACCUCUUUCUCGGUCGAUCUCAUCAUCACUAUCAAUCAUAUCAUCUUCGUUGUCUGACGGAGGUGGAGGCUCUUCCUCGUCGUCAGCGUCUUCGUUUAACUUUUCUAGCAUAAGUAUGUCUUUUUCAUUGACAAUGGUCUCACCAUCAUUCCGUGCAUCAUCGUCGUUUGGAUCCACAUCAUCAUCACGCAAUGGUCUAGCAUCAUCGUUUCUAACCACAUCAUCAUUAUCAUCAGGUUGCUUUGAUAGAACACUCCCUCGUAUGUCAUGGGGUUAAUGUUGUAGUAAUCGUCUUCAUUCGGGUAUGGUAGCUUACCAUGUGGUGACACCUUGAACACAACUUCCCAACCCUUUAGGUACUCUUUCUGGCAUGGGUAAGGCAGAUAAUAUACUUGUGUAGCUUGGGUAGCCGCAAUGAAGAGAUCGGCUCCAACAUAGAUGGUUGAUGGUUUAACUUCGACCAAACCAAUGGAAGGCGUAUGUUUUACCCUCUCCCGCGGAUCGAACCAUCGGCAUUUGAACACAGGCAGACAUAGGGUCUCGCGCCCCUUGCGGAAUUUAAUCUCGUAUAUAUUUUGUACCCUUCCGUAGUAGUCUACUGAAUUUUGACCGGGGGUGUACACUCCGGUAUUUAUAGUUUUGGGAUCAGGCCGGCUGUUCUGGUGCUCCUCUGUAUGGAAGCGAUACCCAUUCACAUCAUACUUUUUACAUGUCAUGACGGCAGGGUCAAAACCCAUGGAAACCCAUCUAAAUUCAUCAUCCAUACAUAUGUUCGGAUCUUUUCCCUACAAGUAUAAUUGAAAUUGCUGCGUGCAUUAGUUCGAUUAACUAAUAAAUGUUGAACUAGGUAUUUAAUAGGGGAAUGUGGACAAUUACUUUCUCCAUGAACCAAGCAACAAAAUUUUUACGUCCAGGAUUUCCAUGAUGGAGAAGAGUAAGUGCCUCCGCCUCAGUAGGAGGAUUCAUUCCCGUCCAUUCCUCUUGAACAAAAUCACUAAAAGAAGAAAAGCAGUGUUAGACCGGGACUAAGUGAACAUAGAACAUGAUGAUGUGGAAGACAUAAAGGAAUGGUGUAGUGGUAUUACCUCAUCCACACUUCCUCAACUUCCUUGAUGUUGUGCAAGAUAUAGAACAUGAGGUCCUCCCACUCUUGUCGUGGCAUGUUAUAAGAUUUCGAGGCCCCAGCCCUCCCACCUUGCACGUUGAAUAGAUGGAGCCUGGGUUGAUACUUGGGCUCUUCUAUAUUGUAUCGAGGCACCUUGUUAUGCAGAUGUGGAACAUGGUCUGGAUAGUAUGAUGUCCUGAGGUCUGAUACCUCCUCUAGGAUAACUGCCUCAGCUAUGGAAGCUUCAAUCUUAGCUUUGUUUCCACAUUUAUGUCGGAGAUGCUUGUUCUGUCUCUUAGGGCCGUACUGCCAGCGAUUCUGCACAGGCCCCGCCAACAAUACCUCGUUCGCGAGGUGCAGAAUGAGAUGUGUCAUCAGAGUAAAGAAGCCUGGCAGAAAGAUCUUCUCUAGCUUGACUAUCAACUCCGGUGCCUUCUUAUGCAAUUUUUCAAUCACGUCUUUACUUACUUCUUUAGCAUAGAGUGUGCGGAAGAAAUGGCUUAGCUCGGCAAGCACUCGCCAGACAUGCUUGGGGACAUAGCCUCGAACCAUCACCGACAUUAUCCGCUCAAUCCAUACAUGGUAGUCAUGACUCUUCAGGCCGGUCACUUUGCCCGUUGAAAGAUUGACCCCCUUACUUAUAUUCGAUGCAUAACCAUCGGUGAACUUCAAAAUGUGUUUUAGCCAGAUAAGUACUUCCUUUUUUCUGGCGAUUUAAGGACAAAGUCAGCAUCCGGCUUGAACCAAUUUUUUCGACCACCUGUGGGAGGCUUCAUAUUUAGACGUGGUCUAUCACAAAUUCUCUGUUGACCGGCUCUAGCUUUAACGUUAUCCUUCGUCUUAUCAGGAAUGUUGAGGAUCGUGUCGAAAAGGGACUCUGCCACAUUCUUUUCGUUGUGCAUCACAUCGAUGUUGUAAGGAAGUUUGAGGUCCUUGAAAUAGGGAAGCUGCGAGAAGGGGGUAAUGUGAGUCCAGUUGUGCGUCUCACCAUAUCCCUCGAAGCCUUUGGCUUUGGCUUUGACUUUAGGCUUGAGAGCUUUUAGCUGAGCAAGAACAUCUGCCCCGGAAAAUGUUGGAAUCUCGGUUACUUCAUGAACAACCCGGCCUUUCGUGAAGUUCGUCUUGUCUUUCCUGUCUGGAUGGUCUGGAGGGAGGAACUGCCGAUGCAGGUCAAAGGCUAUAUACUUGCCACCCUUACUCAGACAAAUCAUUCGCAGAGCCUGCAUACACACUGGGCAUGGCAUCUUCCCACUUGUACACCAUAUGCAGAAUAGAGCAUAGCCAGGAAAGUCAUGCAUGCAAUAGUGCAACCAAACUUUCAUCAAGAAAUUUCUCUGCAGAUCCCGGUCAUAUGUCAACCUCGGAAAGUACCAAGAAUGGUGCAAAACAUCCACCAACGGCUGCAUAAACACACCCAAUUGCUUCCCCGGGUAUUCAGGCCCCGGAAUGAUAAGCGACAAGAACAUGGUCUUGCGUUGCAUUUGGGCACCGGGAGGGAGAUUGAGCGGAAUUACAAACACGGGCCAACAACUGUAUGGAUUGGACGACAUACCAUAUGGAUUGAACCCAUCACCUGAUAUGGCUAUUCUGACAUUCCAGCCUCGGCUGCUUCCUCGGGGUAUUCUUCAUCAAACGACUUUCAUGCGUCGCCUUCCGAUGGAUGUACGAUUUUAUUUGGAUUGUACCUUAUACCUUCCUUGUGCCACUUCAUCAUUUUGGCAGACUCCUCCGUGAUGAAAAGGCGCUGCAGUCUUUUUAUAAAAUCAAGAUACAGAAGAACCUUAACGGGGAUGGUGAAAGAAAUAUGCCCUAGAGGCAAUAAUAAAGUUAUUAUUUAUUUCCUCAUAUCAUGAUAAAUGUUUAUUAUUCAUGCUAGAAUUGUAUUAACCGGAAACAUAAUACAUGUGUGAAUACAUAGACAAACAUAGUGUCACUACUAUGCCUCUACUUGACUAGCUCGUUGAUCAAAGAUGGCUGAGUUUCCUAGCCAUAGACAUGAGUUGUCAUUUGAUUAACGGGAUCACAUCAUUAGGAGAAUGAUGUGAUUGACUUGACCCAUUUCAUUAGCUUAGCACUUUAUCGUUUAGUUUACUGCUAUUGCUUUCUCCAUGACUUAUACAUGUUCCUAUGACUAUGAGAUUAUGCAACUCCCGAAUACCGGAAGAACACUUUGUGUGCUACCAAACAUCACAACGUAAUUGGGUGAUUAUAAAGGUGCUCUACAGGUGUCUCUGAUGGUGUUCGUUGAGUUGGCAUAGAUCGAGAUUAGGAUUUGUCACUCCGAUAGUCGGAGAGGUAUCUCUGGGCCCUCUCGGUAAUGCACAUCACUAUAAGCCUUGCAAGCAAUGUGACUAAUGAGUUAGUUACAGGAUGAUGCACUACAGAACGAGUAAAGAGACUUGCCGGUAACGAGAUUGAGCUAGGUAUUGAGAUACCGACGAUCAAAUCUCGGGCAUGUAACAUACCGAUGACAAAGGGAACCACGUACGCUGUUAUGCGGUUUGACCGAUAAAGAUCUUCGUAGAAUAUGUAGGAACCAAUAUGAGCAUCCAGGUUCCGCUAUUGGUUAUUGACCGGAGACGUGUCUCGGUCAUGUCUACAUAGUUCUCGAACCCGUAGGGUCCGCACGCUUAAAGUUCGGUGACAAUCGGUAUUAUGAGUUUUUGUGUUUUGAUGUACCGAAGGUAGUUCGGAGUCCCGGAUAUGAUCACAAACAUGACGAGGAGUCUCGAAAUGGUCGAGACGUAAAGAUCGAUAUAUUGGAUGACUAUGUUCGGACACAGGAAGUGUUUCGGGAUGUUUCGGACAUAUACCGGAGUACCGGGGGGUUAGCGGAACCCCCCGGGGAGUUUAUUGGGUGUAACGCCCGGAUAAUUAGGCUACGGUAAAACUCUCCUGAUGAUGCCGUGUCAUCUCUGUUACUGUUGCUAAUCAAGUGUUAGUUCAAAACAUUUCAAAUUCAAAAAAAUGAAUUAGUGACAAACACCCAAAGUUUUCAAAAGUCAAAACAAAAAUGUUCGGUGGGUGCCAAAUAUUGCACUGGUAAUUAUUGUGGAGAAAACAUUUUUUUAGAAAGUGCCUAAGUAUUUUAAAGUGAAAUAAAACAGAUAAGAAAAAUAAAGAAAAGAAAAUACAAAAGCAGAAGACAAAAAAAGGAGAAAAGGACCCCCUGGACCAGACGGCCCAGCUCGCAGCCAGGCCGGCCCACCUGGCCCAUCCGGCCGGCCCAGCCGCCUCCCUCGGUCGCUCCCUCCCCUUCCCUGUUCCCCCGACCAGGGUCGGAACAGGGGCGCGUCCCCGCCGGACCCCCUCGCCGGCGUCGAGGAUAAGGCCGCCACACCCCCCGCCUCCUCGAUCCCGCCUCCCACUCGCCCCCGCUCUCCCUCUCGGCCUCUGCGCCUCCCCCCUCAGAUCCACCUCCCUCUCCCCUUUGUUCCCCACCGCGUCCGAACGCCGCCAUGGACCCGCCGCCGUGAAACACGCGGCCACAGCCAUCGCCUCGCCUCGCGAGCGUGUCCGUCGUCUCCGCCAUCGUCUUCCUCGUCGACCGGUGGCCGCAGCUGGAGCUCGGAGGCGCUGCUGCAACGGUCCCCUUCUUCCGCAUCUCCUGUCGCCGCCGCUCUUCACCAACUCCGGCGACGACCCUCUACUGCUACUAAACCUUUCACCGGCCUCCGUGUGUGUCGCUCGGUGAGCUCCUCCGCCUCCCGCCCUCUCCGUUAGCUUCCUAGCGCACCGUAGCUAGUUUGCCACCGCGCCCGUUUCUAUCCGCCGCCGACGAGCUCGUGGCCGUCGCCACAACCGUUGUCUUGCUCGCCUGAGCCCGUCACCGUGUUCCUGGAGCUUCCAGGAACCCAACGCGCGUGCGCACAUGCCUUCCCGUGCCCCCUAGCGCUGGAUCCACUCACGCCCGACUCCGGCCGUCAGCCGAUGUGCUCGCUGCCGUCGCUUCCGGCCACCUCCGGCCACGCCACCGCCACCACUAGACGUGGGGCACUCUCCUCGUUCGAACGCAAGAGGCGACGCUCGUCUUGGUGCCCCGUAGGCGAAACCUGACGCCCGCCGGCGUUCGGCCGCUGCGCGCGAGCUCGCCGGAGCUACUCCGGCGGCUCCGCUGAGCUGGCACACCUGGGGCCACCCCUGGGUCACUGCUUGGUGGCCCCGUGGGCCCGGCUGGCCCACUUGACCAGGGUCAAGAUGCUGACUGGGCUGGUCCCAGCAGCUGACCAGUGGCCCCCACACUAUAACUAAUUAAAUUAGUUAAUCUAAUUAAUCUGGGCUAAUUAGUCACUGACUACUGGGCCCCGCCCGCUAAUUAACCCAUUUAGUUAGUCUAAGCCCCCUGUUAGUGCACCUGUCAAUGACAUGUGGGUCCCACUGGACCCACAAGUCAGUUUUGACUCCAGUCAACCGCACUGUUGACUGCUGACAUCACACAUACGUCAUGCUGAUGUCAUCCCAUACUGUUCUGGAUAAUGUUGGAUUUAAAUAAAUAACUAAAAUCAAAAAAUGAUUAAAUCUUUAGAAAAUCAUAUAAAAUAAUCCGUAACUCGGAUGAAAAUACUUUCUACAUGAAAGUUUCUCAGAACGACGAGAAGAAUCCGGAUACGCAGCCCUUUCGUCCGCCACACAUCCCUAACAUAUCGAACUCGCAACUUUCCCCCUCCGGUUCAUCUGUCCGAAAACGCGAAACACCGGGAAUACUUUCCCGGAUGUUUUCCCCAUUUGCCGGUAUCACCUAGUACCGCGUUUGGGCACACCUAGCAUCACGCUUUGUCAUGUCAUGCAUCGCCAUGCAUUUGUUUGCAUUGUAUUUAUUGUUUCUUCCCCCUCUUCUCUCGCUAGACACCGAGACCGACGCUGCUGCUACCCAGUACGACUACGGUGUUGACGACCCCUCCUUCUCGGCUGAGCUUCCAGGGAAGCCCCCCCUUUGAUCACCAGAUAUCGCCUAUUCUACUCUAUUUCUUGCAUUAGAGUAGUGUAGCAUGUUACUGCUUUCUGUUAAUCCUAUCCUGAUGCAUAGCCUGUCCUUGCUACUACUGUUGUUACCUCUACCUACAAUCCUACAUGCUUAGUAUAGGAUGCUAGUAUUCCAUCUGUGGCCCUACAUUCUUGUCCGUCUGCCUUGCUAUACUAUCGGGCCGUGAUCACUCGGGAGGUGAUCACGGGUAUAUACUUAUAUACUUUACAUGAUACCUGUGGUGACUAAAGUCGGGUCGGCUCGUAGGAGUACCCGCGAGUGGAUCUUGUGGCAGAGUGACAGGGCAGGUUGAGACCACCUAGGAGAGAGGUGGGCCUGGCCCUGGUCGGUGUCUGUGGUUACUUCAAAAUAACACGCUUAACGAGUUCUUGGUAUUUUAUCCGAGUCUGGCCAUUUGGUCUAUACGCACUAACCAACUAUGCGGGAACAGUUAUCGGCACUCGACGUCGUGGUAUCAGCCGAAGCCUUCGUGACGUCAGCGACUGAGCGGCGCGCACCGGAUUGGAAUAGAACGCCUGCUAGGCUAGGUCUGCUUUCGGCCGCGUUCGCAACGUGCAGGUGUGCAAUGGUCGAUGGGCCCAGACCCCUGCGCCAUAGGAUUUAGACCGGCGUGCUGACCUCUCUGUUGUGCCUAGGUGGGGCUGCGACGUGUUGAUCUUCCGCGGCCGGGCAUGACCCAGAAAAGUGUGUCCGGCCAAAUGGGAUCGAGCGUGUUGGGUUAUGUGGUGCACCCCUGCAGGGAAGUUUAUCUAUUCGAAUAGCCAUGUCCCUCGGUAAAAGGACGACCCGGAGUUGUACCUUGACCUUAUGACAACUAGAACCGGAUACUUAAUAAAACACACCCUUCCAAGUGCCAGAUAUAACCCGGUGAUCGCUCUCUAACAGGGUGACGAGGAGGGGAUCACCGGGUAGGAUUAUGCUAUGCGGUGCUACUUGGAGGACUUCAAUCUACUCUCUUCUACAUGCUGCAAGAUGGAGGCUGCCAGAAGCGUAGUCUUCGACAGGAGUAGCUAUCCCCCUCUUAUUCUGGCAUUCUGCAGUUCAGUCCAUUGAUAUGGCCCUUUACACAUAUACCCAUGCAUAUGUAGCGUAGCUCCUUGCUUGCGAGUACUUUGGAUGAGUACUCACGGUUGCUUUUCUCCCUCUUUUCCCCCUUUCCUUCUACCUGGUUGUCGCAACCAGAUGCUGGAGCCCAGGAGCCAGACGCCACCGUCGACGAUGACUCCUACUACCCCGGAGGUGCCUACUACUACGUGCAGCCCGCUGACGACGGCCAGGAGUAGUUAGGAGGAUCCCAGGCAGGAGGCCUGUGCCUCUUUCGAUCUGUAUCCCCGUUUGUGCUAGCCUUCUUAAGGCAAACUUGUUUAGCUUAUGUCUGUACUCAGAUAUUGUUGCUUCCGCUGACUCGUCUAUGAUCGAGCACUUGUAUUCAAGCCCUCGAGGCCCCCUGGCUUGUAUUAUGAUGCUUGUAUGACUUAUUUAUGUUUUAGAGUUGUGUUGUGAUAUCUUCCCGUGAGUCCCUGAUCUUGAUCGUACACGUUUGCGUGCAUGAUAGUGUACGAUUGAAUCGGGGGCGUCACAAGUUGGUAUUAGAGCCGACUGCCUGUAGGAAUCCCCCUUUCCACACUCCUUGGCCGAAGUCGAGUCUAGACAUUACAAAACUUUUACUAACAUGACUCUGUGUCUUACGGGCCCACGUCGCCAUUGGGUGGUACUAGGAUCUUUUACUCCUCGACCUUUACUCUGGGACUCUGAACUCUCUUCUACUCGGGUUAAACGAAUUUACUAACUCUAACACUAGGAUCCGUGACCACAUUCACCCCAAAGUUGGAUAAGCCAUAGUUAUUUCUUAGAAUAGUAUUUUGAACAAUUCCCACACUGUCAUUUAACUCCUUUGAAACAUCUUUGCUUUCAGAUGGAACCCACGAGGCAGGUCGUGCACCACACGACGGCCAUUGGUGCCUCGGGAUCACCUGCUGUGCUAGCUGAGAUGUUGACCUAUCUGGGUUAUCGCUGGCACCCUGAGUACACCGUCUACGAGGAGUACCAGGACUUUAACCAGGAGCAGUACCGUGCCAUCGUCCACCUCUACUCUCGGGAGUAUGACUCCACUACUGUGCUGCACACCGCUCAUGGUGUUGGAGUGACCAUCGAUAUGGUUGUCCACGAUGCUGCUUAUGCUGCUCUGACACGUCUUCGUGGAGAGUAUCGGGAGUUGGACACCUCCCCUUUCAGGCACAUUGCUAUCGCAUCUGAUGUUGGUGCGGAGGGAUACUAUACUGCUGCCUACUCCAUUGUCACUCGAGAGCCCUUCUACCAUCAGAACCUGGUUCUGCAUGCUGAUGGGCUGGAUCGAGCUAACCGAGCUUUUCGCCACGAGUUGUACACCACCCGUCAGCACCUUUACCGUGCUAUGACGCUGUUGCACCCCUUUGUCCGAUCUAGAGAGCUGCCCCGUUCUGCGAUCUACCCAGCCAGGACUGUGAUGCCCCAGGGUGUCGGCUGGCCAGAUGUGGGAGGCUACUCUCCCGCACUUGGUCCUCUUCUGCUACCUGAGCGUCAGGUUAUGCACCAGAGUAUUCGCGGACCCCAGGUUGCUGACGUGGAGUUCCCGAUGCGACAGUACCAGCUUUCAGGCUACACCUACCUCCAAAGUACCUCUUGGGACUGAUGUAGGCUUGCUUGUUAGUGUUAGAUGCAUUCGCCGCGAGCCUGUGUGCCGCCUAUGGUGUUUUAGUCUAUGUACUGAACUCUAUGCAUGACCCCUUUUGUAAGUUAUGCCGACUACUAUGUAGCAGCUAUCGUGCUCCUUUCAUUAUGCAUGUUUCAUCAUGAAUGAUUCUUGUCUUUGCAAAUUUCUCAAUGCUGAACUACCCCUGUUGUAUAUUAGCGGGAUGGUUAGACCAGGUGGUCAUGAUAGUGGUGGCAAUGCCCCACCACCACCUGAGUACAUGGUUGGUAUGAUCCAACAGUUCGAACUGAACCGCCAAUUCAUGGAAAAUAUGAUGGCUCAGUUUCCUCGCCCCAAUAUGGACCAGCAGCCAACCCCAGCAACUCUGCAGGAUUUCAUGCGCCUCAACCCAACUGUGUACCGCAGCUCAACUCAGCCUCUGGAUGCUGAUGACUGGCUCCGUGACAUCACCUAUGAGAUGGAGUCUACCGAUGUAGCCCCUGCCAGCUAUGUCACCUUUGCUUCCUUCUUCCUGAAGGGACCCGCAGCUCAAUGGUGGGCAGCCACAGGCGUACUCUGCCAGCUGGAACAAUCAUCACCUGGCCAGACUUCCAAGCUGCUUUCCGUGCCUGCUUCAUUCCUCAGGGAGUCAUGGACCGGAAGAAGCGUGAGUUCCGUAACCUCACCCAAGGCAACAAAACUGCUGAAGCUUAUCAGCGGGAGUUUCUGGACUUGUCUCGCUAUGCUGAAGAGGACAUUGCAACUGAUGCACGCAGAUAGGAGAAGUUCCGUGAUGGCCUUCAAGCUGACAUCAAGCUCGCACUUCUAGUGCAUGACUUUACUGAUUUCGCCACCUUGGUGAACAAGGCCAUCAAUGUCGAAACUGGUCUGCAGGAAUACCAGAGCUCUCACAGGCGCAACCGUGACACGGGCUCAUCUUCGGGCCCGCCCUCGCAGAAGCGUAAGAUAUGGAUUCCCAACAGCAUGUACCAGCCAACUGCACCUGCCCCAAGGCAGACCUAUGCUGCACCUCGUCUGCCUACUCCUCCAACUAGGCAGCCAAGGCUUCCAGCACCACCACCCCGAGCUCCUGCUCCCACUCCCAAUAAUGGUUUGUGCUUCAGGUGUGGUCAACCAGGACACCGUGCUAGGGAAUGCCACCAGAACCAGAAUCAACUGGCCCUUCCAGCGACUGGCCAUGGAAGCAACCAGCCCCGCAACAACACUGCCAAGUCUUAUGGUCGUGUUCAUGCCAACCACGUUGAUCUCAACGAAGCUCAAGACCAACCUGCUACCGUGAUGGGUACUCUUCUCGUAAAUUCAGUACGAGCAUCCGUUUUAUUUGAUACAGGAGCAUCCCAUUCAUUCAUAUCAGCAGAAUUUGCAUUCAUGCAUGGCAUUAAAUACGAAGAGAUGAACACUCCGCUAGUGGUACACACCCCUGCGGGCCAAUGUCAAACCUCUAUGGUUAGUCACGACGUUCCUGUUGAAAUUGAAGGACUGGAAUUUCUUGUCUCUCCCAUCGUACUGAAGUCCUGUAGCAUUGAUCUCAUUCUGGGAAUGAAUUGGUUAAAAGCGCAUACUGCUUCUAUCGUUUGCGCCACCAAGACCGUCCAUCUACUACACCCUUCAGAUGAAAUAGUUACUUACCAAGCUCAUCUGGUGGAAAAUGCCGAUGCAAGGCUCUAUGCAUUGAAUGCAUUGAACGCUGCACCACUCGAGGGCAUUGAAAACAUUCCCAUCGUGCGUGAAUUCCUCGACGUCUUUCCUGAAGAACUUCCAGGGAUUCCCCCUGCUAGAGCUGUUGAAUUCAUCAUCGACUUGAAACCAGGCACCACUCCUAUAGCCAAGCGACCCUACAAGAUGCCGCCGCAUGAACUCCUUGAGCUUAAGGAGGAAAUCGACAAAUCCCUUCGCAAAGGAUUCAUCCGCCCAAGUUUCUCUCCUUGGGGAGCACCUUCUCUCUUUGUCAAGAAGAAGGAUGGGACAAACCGAUUAGUUCAAGACUACCGUCCUAUAAACCAAGCUACCAUUCAGAAUAAAUAUCCUCUUCCUCGGAUCAAUGAUCUGUUUUAUCAACUGGCGGGUUCAUCGGUGUUCUCUAAGCUCGACUUGAGGUUGGGUUACCACCAGAUCCGUGUUCGUGAAGAGGAUAUCCCAAAGACCGCCUUCGUGACUCGAUAUGGUUCAUACGAGUACACCGUCAUGUCUUUCGGUUUAACCAAUGCUCCAGCCACCUUCUCUCGUCUGAUGAACUAUAUAUUCAUGGAUUACCUCGACAAGUUCGUCGUGGUUUAUCUGGAUGAUAUCCUGGUAUUUUCCAAGAACGAAGAGGAACAUGCUGAACAUAUUCAUCUUGUGCUGGAAAAGCUACGAGAGCAUCAACUAUAUGCCAAGUUCUCCAAAUGUGAAUUCUGGCUACCCGAAGUAACCUAUCUGGGGCAUGUCAUCUCUAAGGAUGGUAUUGCCGUCAACCCUGAACGAGUCCAGGCUAUUCUUGAUUGGACUCCUCCGAAGAACGUUAAGCAAGUCAGAAGUUUUCUCGGUCUCGCCAGCUAUUGCCGUCGAUUCGUCGAGAACUUCUCCAAGAUCGCCAGGCCUCUGACUAACCUGUUGCAUAAGGGCGUCAAGUUCCAAUGGACAGACAAAUGUCAGGAAAGUUUCCAGGCACUCAAAGACAAGUUGACUUCUGCCCCAGUUCUAGCUCCACCUGAUACUAAGAAGGACUUCAUCAUUUACUGCGACGCUUCCCGUCAAGGAUUAGGCUGUGUCCUAAUGCAAGUCCGCAAAGUGAUUGCUUAUGCCUCUCGACAAUUGCGCCCUCACGAAGAGAACUACCCAAUUCACGACCUCGAACUUGCUGCUGUCAUUCAUGCGCUGAAGCAGUGGCGACAUUACCUUCUCGGUAAUCGUUGCAAGAUCUUCACUGACCACCAAAGUCUGAAGUAUCUGUUUACUCAGCCAGACCUGAACCUCCGUCAGCAGAGAUGGAUGGAGAUUGUUGCAGACUUUGACUUGGGUAUUUCCUAUACGCCAGGCAAGGCUAAUGUAAUGGCUGAUGCCUUGAGCCGCAAGUCUUACUGCAACCACCUCCAGGUUCACAAAGUUCAGCCCUCGCUUGUUGAAGAAUUCAGAAAGCUAAACCUCCAUAUUGUUCCUCCGGGUGCACUCGCUCCCCCUCCUAAGGAGUUUCGCAAGAUGAACCUCCGUGUUGUUUCCCAGGGUUUCCUCAAUACCCUGGCUGUCGAACCAGAUCUCUUGGACUCCAUCAAGAGAAUACAGGGAUAUGACUCUGAAGCCCACAAGAUUAAGCGCUACCUCGCAGAAGGAAAGCCCUCAUUCUUCACUAUUGCUGAUGAUGGCACUUUGUACUUCAAGGGCCGCCUAGUGGUGCCAUGUGCAGAGAAAAACAUGGAUAUGACUCAGGAAGUUAUGAAAGAAGCUCAUGAUACGCCUCUAUGUAUCCAUCCUGGUAGUACAAAGAUGUACCAAGACAUCCGCCAGAGAUUCUGGUGGUCUAAUAUGAAGCAAGACAUUGCUCGUUAUGUUGCGGAGUGUGACGUUUGCCGUCGUAUCAAAGCAGAACAUCAAAGGCCUGCUGGAACUCUACAACCUAUGUCUAUUCCUGAAUGGAAAUGGGACCAUGUUGAGAUGGACUUCAUCACUGGAUUUCCCAAAUCACAGAAAUUUAAUGAUGCUAUUCUUGUCGUCAUUGACCGGCUUUCCAAAGUUGCACAUUUUCUGGCGGUCAAAGAAACAAUCACUGCUAGUCAGCUGGCAACGCUCUAUAUGUCCAGGAUUGUUCCACUCCACGGUAUUCCAUUGGUUAUCAGCUCAGACCGUGGCAGCUUAUUCACUUCAAGAUUCUGGGCAAGUUUCCAAGAAGCUAUGGGAACUCAUCUGUCGUUCAGUACUGCGUUUCAUCCUUAGUCGCAAGGGCAAGUUGAACGUGUUAACCAAGUUCUCGAAGACAUGCUUCGAGCUUGUGUUAUUUCCUUCGGCAAGAAAUGGGAGGAAUCUCUCCCGUAUGUUGAGUUCUCUUAUAAUAAUAGAGAUCAAGCUAGUCUGAAGAUGGCCCCCUUCGAAGUGUUAUAUGGGCGAAAGUGCCGAACCCCUCUGAACUGGUCAGAAACUGGGGAACGUCCACUCUUUGGUCCGGAUAUUAUCCAACAUGCCGAAGAACAAGUCCGCAUUAUUUGUGAGAAUCUCAAGACUGCCCAGUCGCGUCAGAAAAGUCAGUAUGACCGUCAUCAUAAAGACAUGGUCUAUCAACCUGGCGAAAAGGCUUAUCUUCGAGUCACACCAAUGAAGGGUGCUCACCGCUUCGGAAUCAAGGGCAAACUAGCUCCUCGCUAUAUUGGCCCAUUCACUAUUCUGGAAAGGCGUGGAAAAGUGGCAUACCAACUGGAGCUUCCGCCGAACCUUUCUCAGGUUCACGAUGUGUUCCAUGUGUCACAGCUCUGCCGUUGCUUCAAGGACCCAAUCCGAGCAGUGGAUCAUGAAGUGCUCGAAUUGCAGCAGGACCUCUCCUAUAAAGAGCAUCCGGUCCGCAUUCUCGACCAAGCUGAACGCCGCACACGUCAGAAGGCGAUCAAGUUCCUCAAAGUCCAGUGGUAGCACCAUUCUGAAGAUGAAGCCACUUGGGAACGCGAGGAUCGCCUGCGUGAUGAAUACCCCGCACUGUUUCCUUCUACCUCCUAAAUCUCAGGACGAGAUUUCUUGUAGUGGAGGAGAUUUGUAAUGCCCGGAUAAUUAGGCUACAGUAAAACUCUCCUGAUGAUGCCGUGUCAUCUCUAUUACUAUUGCUAAUCAAGUGUUAGUUCAAAACAUUUCAAAUUCAAAAAAAUGAAUUAGUGACAAACACCCAAAGUUUUCAAAAGUCAAAACAAAAAUGUUCGGUGGGUGCCAAAUAUUGCACUGGUAAUUAUUGUGGAGAAAACAUUUUUUUAGAAAGUGCCUAAGUAUUUUAAAGUGAAAUAAAACAGAAAAGAAAAAUAAAGAAAAGAAAAUACAAAAGCAGAAGACAAAAAAAGAGAGAAAAGGACCCCCUGGACCAGACGGCCCAGCUCGCAGCCAGGCCGGCCCACCUGGCCCAUCCGGCCGGCCCAGCCGCCUCCCUCGGUCGCUCCCUCCCCUUCCCUGUUUCCCCGACCAGGGUCAGAACAGGGGCGCAUCCCCGCCGGACCCCCUUGCCGGCGUCGAGGAUAAGGCCGCCACGCCCCCCACCUCCUCGAUCCCGCCUCCCACUCACCCCCGCUCUCCCUCUCGGCCUUUGCGCCUCCCCCCUCAGAUCCACCUCCCUCUCCCCUUCGUUCCCCACCGCGUCCGAAUGCCGCCAUGGACCCGCCGCCGUGAAACGCGCGGCCAUAGCCAUCGCUUCGCCAGCGUGUCCGUCGUCUCCGCCAUCGUCUUCCUCGUCGACCGGUGGCCGCAGCUAGAGCUCGGAGGCGCUGCUGCAACAGUCCCCUUCUUCCGCAUCUCCUGUCGCCGCCGCUCUUCACCAACUCCGGCGACGCCCCUCUGCUGCUACUAAACCUUUCACCGGCCUCCGUGUGUGCCGCUCGAUAAGCUCCUCCGCCUCCCGCCCUCUCCGUUAGCUUCCUAGCACACCGUAGCUAGUUUGCCACCGCGCCCGUUUCUGUCCGCCGCCGACGAGCUCGUGGCCGUCGCCACAGCCGUCGUCUUGCUCGCCUGAGCCCGUCACCGUGUUCCUGGAGCUUCCAGGAACCCAACGCGCGCGCGCACAUGCCUUCCCGUGCCCCCUAGCACUGGAUCCACUCACGCCCGACUCCGGCCGUCCGCCGAUGUGCUCGCCGCCGUCGCUUCCGGCUACCUCCGGCCACACCACCGCCACCACUAGACGCGGGGAACUCUCCUCGUUCGAACGCAAGAGGUGGCGGUCGUUUUGGUGCCCUGUAGGCGAAACCCGACGCCCGCCGGCGCUCGGCCGCUACGCGCGAGCUCGCCGGAGCUACUCCGGCGGCUCCGCUGAGCUGGCACACCUGGGGCCACCCCUGGGUCACUGCCUGGUGGCCCCGUGGGCCCGGCUGGCCCAGUUGACCAGGGUCAAGAUGCUGACUGGGCUGGUCCCAGCAGCUGACCAGUGGCCCCCACACUAUAACUAAUUAAAUUAGUUAAUCUAAUUAAUCUGGGCUAAUUAGUCACUGACUACUGGGCCCCGCCCGCUAAUUAACCCAUUUAGUUAGUCUAAGCCCCCUGUUAGUGCACCUGUCAAUGACAUGUGGGUCCCACUGGACCCACAAGUCAGUUUUGACUCCAGUCAACCGCACUGUUGACUGCUAACAUCACACAUACGUCAUGCUGAUGUCAUCCCAUACUGUUCUGGAUAAUGUUGGAUUUAAAUAAAUAGUUAAAAUCAGAAAAUGAUUAAAUCUUUAGAAAAUCAUAUAAAAUAAUCCGUAAUUCGGAUGAAAAUACUUUCUACAUGAAAGUUGCUCAGAACGACGAGACGAAUCCGGAUACGCAGCCAGUUCGUCCGCCACACAUCCCUAACAUAUCGAACUCGCAACUUUCCCCCUCUGGUUCAUCUGUCCGAAAACGCGAAACACCGGGAAUACUUUCCCGGAUGUUUUCCCCCUUUGCCGGUAUCACCUAGUACCGCGUUUGGGCACACCUAGCAUCACGCUUUGUCAUGUCAUGCAUCGCCAUGCAUUUGUUUGCAUUGUAUUUAUUGUUUCUUCCCCCUCUUCUCUCGCUAGACACCGAGACCGACGCCGCCGCUACCCAGUACGAUUACGGUGUUGACAACCCCUCCUUCUCGGCUGAGCUUCCAGGCAAGCCCCCCCUUUGAUCACCAGAUAUCGCCUAUUCUACUCUCUACUGCAUGCAUUAGAGUAGUGUAACAUGUUACUGCUUUCUGUUAAUCCUAUCCUGAUGCAUAGCCUGUCCUUUCUACUACUGUUGUUACCUUUACCUACAAUCCUACACUACUAGGAAAAGGCCUACUAGUGGCGCACCAGUUUUGCCUACUAAUGGCGCAUCACGCCGUGCGCCAUUACUAUCUGACUUACUAAUGGCGCACCACAUAGAAGUGCGUCAUUAGUAACAAAAAAAUUUCAAAUAUUUUUUCAUAAUUUUUUUUUAAUUUUUUUUUCAUUUUUUUCUUAAUCUCGGGUCAAUAUGCUUAAUCUCAAGUCAAAUCGCACUAAGUGGUCAAACUUCCCGGAAGGUCACCCAUCCUCACACUACUGCAGCCCGAGCACGCUUAACUUCACAGUUCUAUCCAACCCCAGCACCACCUCACUUAACAUGCACUUGUUGAUAUAUCUACCAUAUCAAUCCUAUUAAACCUUGUUGAUGUCUAGGACUUUGUUCAUGUUCAUGAGUAUGAUGAAAUUUUGAAAAAUAUUUCAAACUUCCCGGUCAUAUUACGUAUCAUUUUUUGAAAAAAAAUUCCAAAAGAAAAAUUCAACACCAAUUUUUUUCUGUUACUAGUGGCGCACCUAGCAAACGGUGCGCCACUAGUAAGUUUGAAUUUUUUUGAUUUUUUUGCCUCUAGAUCUUGAAAGCCCCGUAACUUUUUUUCUGUUUGGUUUUUGAGGAUUUUGAAAAUGUUUAACGGGGUUUCCCCAGUUAAAUUCGGAUGUAACUUUUCGAGUAGAUGAUUUUUCAUAUAAAAAACUUUUUAAUCCGAGUUCGUAUGCAAAAGUUAUGCCCAUUUUAAAAAUUCCAGAGAGAUUUUGCAAAUAAAGUCGAAAUUCAUAUUUGUAAAUUUUCCCAACAACUAGACCACAUAUCACAUGGGAAACUUAUUUUAUUUUAUUUUUUUGACAUUUCCAUCAUUUUCUUUCUUUUUAAACUGAAAAGGCNNNNNNNNNNNNNNNNNNNNNNNNNNNNNNNNNNNNNNNNNNNNNNNNNNNNNNNNNNNNNNNNNNNNNNNNNNNNNNNNNNNNNNNNNNNNNNNNNNNNNNNNNNNNNNNNNNNNNNNNNNNNNNNNNNNNNNNNNNNNNNNNNNNNNNNNNNNNNNNNNNNNNNNNNNNNNNNNNNNNNNNNNNNNNNNNNNNNNNNNNNNNNNNNNNNNNNNNNNNNNNNNNNNNNNNNNNNNNNNNNNNNNNNNNNNNNNNNNNNNNNNNNNNNNNNNNNNNNNNNNNNNNNNNNNNNNNNNNNNNNNNNNNNNNNNNNNNNNNNNNNNNNNNNNNNNNNNNNNNNNNNNNNNNNNNNNNNNNNNNNNNNNNNNNNNNNNNNNNNNNNNNNNNNNNNNNNNNNNNNNNNNNNNNNNNNNNNNNNNNNNNNNNNNNNNNNNNNNNNNNNNNNNNNNNNNNNNNNNNNCUAGUUUUGAAAAAAAUUAAAAAAAACUUGAAAAAAAAUUGAAAUUUUUUUACUAGUGGCGCACCGUGGAUGUGGUGCGCCAUUACUAGUUUAACUAGUAAUGGCACAAUCCCCUAGUGCGCCAUUACUAGUUUUGGAAAAAAAUAAAAAAAAUUGAAAAAAAAUUACUAGUGGCGCACCGUGGAUGUGGUGCGCCAUUACUAGUUUAACUAGUAAUGGCGCACUAUCCCCUGGUGCGCCAUUACUAGUUUUGAAAAAAAAAUAAAAAAAAUUGUUACUAGUGGCGCACCGUGGAUGUGGUGCGCCAUUAGUAUUUGGACACUAAUGGCGCAUCAACACAUGGUGCGCCAUUAGUAUAUAGUAGUGGCACACCACAUGUCUGGUGGGCCAUUAGUGUCCAUAUCAUCUAUAGCCCUUUUCCUAGUAGUGCUACAUGCUUAGUAUAGGAUGCUAGUAUUCCAUCUGUGGCCCUACAUUCUUGUCCGUCUGCCUUGCUAUACUAUCGGGCCGUGAUCACUCGGGAGGUGAUCACGGGUAUAUACUUAUAUACUUUACAUGAUACCUGUGGUGACUAAAGUCAGGUUGGCUCGUAGGAGUACCCGAGAGUGGAUCUUGUGGCGGAGCGACAGGGCAGGUUGAGACCACCUAGGAGAGAGGUGGGCCUGGCCCUGGUCGGUGUCCGCGGUUACUUCAAAAUAACACGCUUAACGAGUUCAUGGUAUUUGAUCUGAGUCUGGCCAUUUGGUCUAUACACACUAACCAACUACGCGGGAAUAGUUAUGGGCACUCGACGUCGUGGUAUCAGCCGAAGCAUUCGUGACGUCAACGACUGAGCGGCGCGCGCCGGAUUGGACUGGAACGCCUGCUAGGCUAGGUCUGCUUUCGGCCGCGUUCGCAACGUGCAGGUGUGCAAUGGGCGACGGGCCUAGACCCCUGCGCCAUAGGAGUUAGACCGGCGUGCUGACCUCUCUGUUGUGCCUAGGUGGGGCUACGACGUGUUGAUCUUCCGUGGCCGGGCAUGAUCCAGAAAAGUGUAUCCGGCCAAAUGGGAUCGAGCGUGUUGGGUUAUGUGGUGCACCCCUGCAGGGAAGUUUAUCUAUUCGAAUAGCCGUGUCCCUCGGUAAAAGGACGACCCGGAGUUGUACCUUGACCUUAUGACAACUAGAACCGGAUACUUAAUAAAACACACCCUUCCAAGUGCCAGAUAUAACCCGGUGAUCGCUCUCUAACAGGGCGACGAGGAGGGGAUCGCCGGGUAGGAUUAUGCUAUGCGAUGCUACUUGGAGGACUUCAAUCUACUCUCUUCUACAUGCUGUAAGAUGGAGGCUGCCAGAAGCGUAGCCUUCGACAGGAUUAGCUAUCCCGCUCUUAUUCUGGCAUUCUGCAGUUCAGUCCACCGAUAUGUCCCUUUACACAUAUACCCAUGCAUAUGUAGCCUAGCUCCUUGCUUGCGAGUACUUUGGAUGAGUACUCACGGUUGCUUUUCUCCCUCUUUUCCCCCUUUCCUUCUACCUGGUUGUCGCAACCAGAUGCUGGAGCCCAGGAGCCAGACGCCACCGUCGAUGAUGACUCCUACUACCCCGGAGGUGCCUACUACUACGUGCAGCCCGCUGACGACGACCAGUAGUAGUUAGGAGGAUCCCAGGCAGGAGGCCUGUGCCUCUUUUGAUCUGUAUCCCAGUUUGUGCUAGCCUUCUUAAGGAAAACUUGUUUAACUUAUGUCUGUACUCAGAUAUUGUUGCUUCCGCUGACUCGUCUAUGAUCGAGCACUUGUAUUCGAGCCCUCGAGGCCCCCUGGCUUGUAUUAUGAUGCUUGUAUGACUUAUUUAUGUUUUAGUGUUGUGUUGUGAUAUCUUCCCGUGAGUCCCUGAUCUUGAUCGUACACGUUUGCGUGCAUGAUUAGUGUACGAUUGAAUCGGGGGCGUCACAUUGGGCCUAUUGGGCCCUAGUGAGAGAAGAGGAGGGGCAGCCAGGGCAGACGCGCGCCCCUCCCCCUCUAGUCCGAAUUGGACAAGGAGGGGGGCGGCGCCCCCCUUUCCUUCUGUUCCUCUCUCCCUUCCCUCUCCUCUCCUACUCCUACUUGGAAGAGGGGAGUCAUACUCCCGGUGGGAGUAGGACUCCUCAUGGGGCGCGCCAUAGGGGGCCGGGCCCCUCCCCCUCCUCCGCUCCUUUAUAUACGGGGAGGGAGGCACCCCUUGGAGACACAACAAUUGACCAUUGAUCUCUUAGCCGUGUGCGGUGCCCCCCUCCACCAUAAUCCACCUCGGUAAUAUCAUAGCGGUGCUUAGGAGAAGCCCUGCAUCGGUAGCAACAUCAUCAAUGUCAUCACGCCGUCGUGCUGACGGAACUCUCCCUCGUAGAUCUGGUAGAUCGGAGUUCGUGGGACGUCAUCGAGCUGAACGUGUGCUGAACUCGGAGGUGCCGUGCGUUCGGUACUUGGAUCGGUCGGAUCGUGAAGACGUACGACUACAUCAUCCGCGUUGUUCUAACGCUUCCGCUUUUGGUCUACGAGGGUACGUGGACAACACUCUCCCCUCUCGUAGCUAUGCAUCACCAUGAUCUUGCGUGUGCGUAGGAAUUUUUUUAAAUUACUACGUUACCCGACAGUGGCAUCCGAGCCAGGUUUAUGCAUAGAUGUUAUAUGCACGAGUAGAACACAAGUGAGUUGUCGGCGAUACAAGUCAUACUGCUUACCAGCAUGUCAUACUUUGGUUCAGCGGUAUUGUUGGAUGAAGCGACCCGGACCGACAUUACACAUACGCUUACGCGAGACUGGUUCUACUGACAUGCUUUGCACACAGGUGGCUGGCGGGUGUCAGUUUCUCCAACUUUAGUUGAACCGAGUGUGGCUACGCCCGGUCCUUGUGAAGGGUAAAACAACACUAACUUGACGAACUACCGUUGUGAUUUUGAUGCGUAGGUAAGAACGGUUCUUGCUGAGCCCGUAGCAGCCACGUAAAACUUGCAACAACAAAGUAGAGGACGUCUAACUUUUUUUUGCAGGGCAUGUUGUGAUGUGAUAUGGUCAAGACAUGAUGGUAUAUUUUAUUGUAUGAGAUGAUCAUGUUUUGCAACAGAGUUAUCGGCAACUGGCAGGAGCCAUAUGGUUGUCGCUUUAUUGUAUGCAAUGCAAUCGCUCUAUAAUUGCUUUACUUUAUCACUAAGCGGUAGCGAUAGUCGUAGAAGCAAUAGUUGGCGAGACGACAACGAUGCUACGAUGGAGAUCAAGGUGUCGCGCCGGUGACGAUGGUGAUCAUGACGGUGCUUUGGAGAUGGAGAUCAAAGGCACGAGAUGAUGAUGGCCAUAUCAUAUCACUUAUAUUGAUUGCAUGUGAUGUUUAUCCUUUAUGCAUCUUAUUCUGCUUUGAUUGACGGUAGCAUUAUAAGAUGAUCUCUCACUAAAAAUUUCAAGGUACAAGUGUUCUCCCUGAGUAUGCACCGUUGCAAAAGUUUGUCGUGCCGAGACACCACGUGAUGAUCGGGUGUGAUAAGCUCAACGUUCUUAUACAACGGGUGGAAGCCAGUUUUGCACACGCAGAAUACUCGGGUUAAACUUGACGAGCCUAGCAUAUGUAGAUAUGGCCUCGGAACACUGAGACCGAAAGGUCGAGCGUGAAUCAUAUAGUAGAUAUCAUCAACAUAGUGAUGUUCACCAUUGAAAACUACUCCAUUUCACGCGAUGAUCGGUUAUGGUUUAGUUGAUUUGGGUCACGUAAUCACUUAGAUGAUUAGAGGGAUGUCUAUCUAAGUGAGGCUUCUUAAGUAAUAUGAUUAAUUGAACUUAAAUUUAUCAUGAACUUAGUACCUGAUAGUAUUUUGCUUGUCUAUGUUGUUGUAGAUAGAUGGCCCGUGCUGUUGUUCCGUUGAAUUUUAAUGCGUUCCUUGAGAAAGCAAAGUUGAAAGAUGAUGGUAGCAAUUACACGGACUGGGUCCGUAACUUGAGGAUUAUCCUCAUUGCUGCACAGAAGAAUUACGUCCUGGAAGCACCGCUAGGUGCCAGGCCUGCUACUGAUGCUACUGGUGACGUUAAUAACAUCUGGCAGAGCAAAGUUGAUGACUACUCGAUAGUUCAGUGUGCCAUGCUUUACGGCUUAGAACCGGGACUUCAACGACGUUUUGAACAUCAUGGAGCAUAUGAGAUGUUCCAGGAGUUGAAGUUAAUAUUUCAAGCAAAUGCCCGGAUUGAGAGAUAUGAAGUCUCCAAUAAGUUCUACAGCUGCAAGAUGGAGGAGAAUAGUUCUGUCAGUGAACAUAUACUCAAAAUGUCUAGGUAUAGCAAUCACUUGAUUCAACUAGGAGUUAAUCUUCCGGAUGAUAGUGUCAUUGACAGAAUUCUUCAAUCACUGCCACCAAGCUACAAGAGCUUCGUGAUGAACUAUAAUAUGCAAGGGAUGGAUAAGACAAUUCCCGAGCUCUUCGCAAUGCUAAAGGCUGCGGAAGUAGAAAUCAAGAAAGAGCAUCAAGUGUUGAUGGUCAACAAGACCACCCGUUUCAAGAAAAAGGGUAAAGGGAAGAAGAAGGGGAACUUCAAAAGAAUGGCACACAAGUUGCUGCUCAGGAGAAGAAACCCAAGUCUGGACCUAAGCCUGAGACUGAGUGCUUCUACUGCAAACAGACUGGACACUGGAAGCGGAACUGCCCCAAGUAUUUGGCGGAUAAGAAGGAUGGCAAGGUGAACAAAGGUAUAUGUGAUAUACAUGUUAUUGAUGUGUACCUUACUAGAGCUCGCAGUAGCACCUGGGUAUUUGAUACUGGUUCUGUUGCUAACAUUUGCAACUCGAAACAGGGACUACGGAUUGAGCGAAGAUUGGCUAAGGAUGAGGUGACGAUGCGCGUGGGAAAUGGUUCCAAAGUCGAUGUGAUCGCCGUCGGCACGCUACCUCUACAUCUACCUUCAGGAUUAAUUUUAGAUCUAAAUAAUUGUUAUUUGGUGCCAGCGUUAAGCAUGAACAUUAUAUCUGGAUCUUGUUUGAUGCGAGACGGUUAUUCAUUUAAAUAUGAGAAUAAUGGUUGUUCUAUUUAUAUGAGUAAUAUCUUUUAUGGUCAUGCACCCUUGAAGAGUGGUCUAUUUGUGUUGAAUCUCGAUAGUAGUAAUACACAUAUUCAUAAUGUUGAAGCCAAAAGAUGCAGAGUUGAUAAUGACAGUGGAACAUAUUUGUGGCACUGCCGUUUGGGUCAUAUUGGUGUAAAGCGCAUGAAGAAACUCCAUACUGAUGGACUUCUGGAAUCACUUGAUUAUGAAUCACUUGGUACUUGCGAACCAUGCCUCAUGGGCAAGAUGACUAAAACGCCGUUCUCCGGAACAAUGGAGCGAGCAACAGAUUUGUUGGAAAUCAUACAUAUUGAUGUAUGUGGUCCGAUGAAUACUGAGGCUCGCGACGGGUAUCGUUAUUUUCUCACCUUCACAGAUGAUUUGAGCAGAUAUGGGUAUAUCUACUUAAUGAAACAUAAGUCUGAAACAUUUGAAAAGUUCAAAGAAUUUCAGAGUGAAGUGGAAAAUCAUCGUAACAAGAAAAUAAAGUUUCUACGAUCUGAUCAUGGAGGAGAAUAUUUGAGUUACGAGUUUGGUCUACAUUUGAAACAAUGCGGAAUAGUUUCGCAACUCACGCCACCCGGAACACCACAACGUAAUGGUGUGUCCGAACGUCAUAAUCGUACUUUACUAGAUAUGGUGCGAUCUAUGAUGUCUCUUACUGAUUUACCGCUAUCAUUUUGGGGUUAUGCUUUAGAGACGGCUGCAUUCACGUUAAAUAGGGCACCAUCGAAAUCCGUUGAGACGACGCCUUAUGAACUGUGGUUUGGCAAGAAACCAAAGUUGUCGUUUCUUAAAGUUUGGGGCUGUGAUGCUUAUGUGAAAAAGCUUCAACCUGAUAAGCUCGAACCCAAAUCGGAGAAAUGUGUCUUCAUAGGAUACCCAAAGGAAACUAUUGGGUACACCUUCUAUCACAGAUCCUAAGGCAAGACAUUUGUUGCUAAGAAUGGAUCCUUUCUAGAGAAGGAGUUUCUCUCGAAAGAAGUGAGUGGGAGGAAAGUAGAACUUGAUGAGGUAACUGUACCUGCUCCCUUAUUGGAUAGUUGUUCAUCACAGAAACCGGUUCCUGUGACACCUACACCACACUACAAAAAAAAUACACUUCCGUGAUGAUACGUGUUUGUCACAGUAGGUCGCGUUUUUUGUCAUGCAUGUACAUCCAUGACAAAUUUAUGACAGAAUCAAGAUAGUCAUACCUGUGAUGUCGUAGAAGUGUUCCAUGACAUUACCAAAAUUAUCAUCACGGAAGUGUCCACUUCCAUGACGAUAAGUCGCGCGUCACAGAAGUGCUUUCGUCAAGGGUGACCGACACAUGGCAUCCACCGUAAUGGAACGCCGUUAAGCUAUCGGGUCGGGUUUUGGAUCCGAUAACCCGUUAAUAGCCAUGACCAAUGGGGAUUUUCCACGUGUAAAAUCAUCAUUGGCUGGAGGAAACACGUGUCGGCUCAUCGUUGGGACAGAUGUCAUCCACUCAUUGGACAGAAGGCGCCUAUGAUACGUCGACACGUGGCACGGCCCAUCAAGUUUAAAUGGGCCGGCCCAACUAAAGGCCCACAAGAUUUUGCGGACCAUAAUGGGUCGGCCCAACUAAAGGCCCACGAGAUUUUGCAGACCAUAAUGGGCUGGCCCAGCUAAAGGCCCACAAGAUUUUGCAGGCCAUAAUGGGCCGGCCCAGGUAAAGGCCCACAAAAUUCUUGCGGAUCAUAAUGGGCCGGCCCAGCUAAAGGCCCACGAGAUUUCGCCGACACUAAUGGGCCGGCCUAGCUGUAGGCCCACAAGAUUUUGAGGACCCUAGUAGGCCGGCCCAUUAACUGGCUGCCAUGUCUUGGGCCAAAUGCCGGCCCAUAUUUGAUCCGGUCCAUUAAUGGCCUGCCACGUUCCGGGCCUAAUAAUGGCCCAUAUGAGACCCAGCCCGUUAAAAGCCUCCCACGUUCUGGGCCAAAUCACGGCCCAGAUCAGGUCCGGCCCUUUAAGAGGCUUUGGCCUCAAUUAUGGCCCAUAUCAGAUUGGGCCCGUUAACUGGACGCUAUGCUUUUGGGCCCACUUGCUAAAGGCCCAUUUAGUAAUUCGGCUUGAUAUUAGUUUCGGCCUGUUAAGGGCCCGUUUAACAUUUCGGCCCUAUAUUAAUUUUGGCCUGUUAAAAGCCCGUCAUAUAGUUGGGCCUAACUACGGCCCGGUUUGCAUCCGGCCUGCUCGCAGCCGAUAUCUGAUUGGGCCAAACAAGGACCGAGACAAUUUUGGCCUGUUAAAAGCCCGUGAUUUGAUUCGCACAAUCAUGGGCCGGGGUCCAUUUCGGGCUGCUGCCGGCCCGUGAGCUGUUCGGCAUGUUUCAGGCCCAACCUACUUCUCAGCCUCCUAAAAGCCCAUUGAGUUUUCUUGCGAAAAGAGGGCCGGGGUUACUCGGCCUAUUAAAGGCCCGAAUCUACUAGUGGGCCAGUUUGACGAGGCCCAUGAUGCGGAUCAUACAUCGUGAUUGCAUGACGGCCCGAUUAUGUACCCUAAUUUUACGGUUUGGCCGGUUUACUGCGAAGACAGGAUAUAUAUACAGUAAAAUAACUGCAGCAUCGUGAAUAAAAAAAACCUAGACUAUACAAUAAAGAAAUUACGGCAUAUUACAUCCACUGGGCAUCAAAGUUCGGCACUAUGAUAAUAAAGCACAAGCAGACAGUAGAUUACAUACACUGGGCAUCAAAGACCGCCACCAGUGCAAAUAAACACGCCGACAAAAUAAUAUACAAAACCGACAAAACUUCAAUAGAGUUCAAGAAAGGUUAGCCCUGCUAGCGAGCUGCAGCGCAACCACCUGAGCAAGAUGAUGAGACUGCGCUUGUUCAACACUUAUAUCUUCCUCACUUUGAAAGAUAAACAAGCAGACAUAUGACAGGUUUUGCACAUAAAAGUAUCAGUGCUGACAAUUCAUCACAUUUCUUACUGACGAAUAAAGUGACACAGUUUAAAAUUGCAUUAACACAAUAUGGUAUUGUUCAGGUCAAGACAUGGCAGGAUAUGACAUUGUGAAGGAGUUGGCAGCUUCACGACACCACUGGAUUACAGAUCAAGAACUCAUAAGUAUCAAUGGUUAGUGUGCUAUCAAUUUAUCCCAUUUCAGAUUGGCAAAUAAAGAGACGGUUUAAAUAAUAGUAGAAUGAUAUGACAUUGUUCAUAGUUAAGACAUUGCAGAAUAUGACAUUGUGUUGUAGUGGGUAGGUUCACCACACCACUGGAUUACACUACUAGGAAUACAGUUUUUAACGACGGUAUAUGUGAUCGUUAAUGGUUGGAUUGUGGUCGUUAAAAGUCAGUAACGACCACCAUCUGCUAGUCGUAGUAGGCUCCGUCGUUAAAAGUAUAACGACCACGUACCUUUCGUGGUCGUUAUUCUUAUAACGACGGGAUGGUGUGUCGUCGUCGAUCCCUAGGCAAUAACGACCACUUUUGUCGUCGCUAAUAAUAGUGGGAUGGUGUGUCGAUCCCAAGGCAAUAACAACCACUUUUGUCGUCGCUAAUAAUGUUAGCAUGCUGGCCAAAGUAUCAUUACCGACCACUCUCUUCACACUUUCAUAUCCUUUAGAACCACUUAUAUUAUAACAUUCCUUCAACAAUCACUUUAUGCAGCAUCCAACAUUUCAAUAUUAACAUCCACAUUAAUAUAGAAACAAAAGAAUCUUAAUUGAAAGGAUCAUAACCUCUUUUAUUAAUAUAAGUACCAAUAUUCUGACAUACAAUUCUGAAACUAAAAUAUCUUGUAAGAAAAUUGAGUCAAAAGCACUCCUUAUAUCACCAAUGUAUUUGAACAUAUCUAUAUGGAAAACGAGACAAGUAGAAAAGAUAAUAUUUAUUAGUCUUCAAUAGAGGGACGCCAUCGUUGUUUGAAUGGAUAUCAUUCUUCACCAGCGAUUACAAUGCCUCCUUAUGCUUAUAUAUAUUCUGGUGGACCAUCAGUCCUACAAAAUGUUGAUUAGUUUAUGAAAGUCAGUCCAUGUAAAUAAAUGGCAUCAAGUAUAAUGACAAAUAAAACCAAUGUGUGAGAACAACUUACUUGAUCAUGUUGGCGUUCAUGAGAACUAUCAGUCAGAGAUCUACCAGAUAGAAGACGCUUAAUUUCUGAUACUUCUUGCGCCAUCCCGUUGACCUUUUCUUCGAGUACUUGUUUCGCUUGCUCAGAAGCUUGAAGUUGAGAAACUAAUUCAGCCUUACUUAAUGCUGGUCCUCGCAAAUCUCUUGCUCUAAUUCCACCACGAAAUCCAACUACGCAAUCAUGCCGCUUAGAUGUGUCACAUUUCUGCAUGACUUCAUCAUUUGAAAGACCAGGAUUCAACUGAACUAUGGUCUUAAUUUGUGCCUGAAGUGCCAACAGUAAGUUAUUUGCAUAAACUUCUAUCUCUAAGUAGGAAUUGUACACGUGAUGUUCAUUAUGGAAGUUAUGAAUGUUAAAUUAAGUCUUACAUGUUUGGCGGAGGUUGUAGAAUCAGGGAAGUCUGUACCCUUCUUGUGUGUCUCUGAAAAUAGUUUAUCCAUACUCGGUGGCUUGUUUUCCUUUCCUCCCUGUUCCAACAUAGGCAAUUGACUAUUAUUAGUUGAAACAAAAUGGCAAGACAACUCACACUGAUCUUAUAUUAUUGGAAAUGAAAAACAAGAGAAGUCAAAGCAUGUACCAUGUCCCAAAUUAUCAGUCUAAAGGGUUUACUGCCAGAUCGGUGAAGCAUUUUGAGGUUAGCUCUGUUUUGGGUGUUUCUCUUGCUCUUUUUCUGUAGUUAAAGAGGAUUAUAUUGUCAACUGCACAAAUGGUUGAAAAUUAAGAGGCAACAUUAAAACAUACCAGAAACUCCCUGCUGAAAAAUGCUCCUUGACAAGCCAUUCCCAGUCAUCCUUUGGAAUAUCUUUAGGUACCUUUUUCAUAGCCUCUUGCAUAGUCUUGUUGGGUUUCACAAAAUGCCGGUGCAAGUCUCCACGCCAGUUGAUCCAAAGUUUCUUGACAUGGUCUAAUAUCUCAUCUUUGUACACAUCUAUUGCAAUGUUGUCGUCAAUAUUUUCGAACUUGUCCUAAAUAGUUGUUCAUAAAACAGAGUCUCAUAAAUACAUCAGUAUAGAAAAUCAGAUUAUAAUGCUAGAACUUUUAACCAAACAUACCUUAAUUGCAUCAAAUAUAUGUUUCCGAGCUGCAUCAGUAAUAUUGGACCAUUCCUUUACCCUCAUCGGGGUAAUUCUAGGAUUACGGACAAUUCUACCCAAGUGUCGUGCAAAACUUUUGGAAAGUGCACGGUUAUUGUAAAACCGGACUUUAAUUUUUUGGGACUCCAUGAGAUCAGCUACUUCCUUGCAUUUAUUUUUCCCACGGACCCUGCGCUUUUCACCUGUUUGAGGUCCUGCACCAUUCGAAAGAAAUAUGUUAAUCAAGUACAAAAAAAGAAAAACAUUCAAGCUACAAUUUAUAUUGUAGCGGUCCGACUGAAGUAUCAACUAAUCAAGUUGCAUUGCUGAGCUUACUAGUCUUGGACGUAGCUGUAAGGUCAUGGUUACCCCGCACUUCUUCAUUUUCCAGAUUUUCAUCAACUAAUUCAGUUGCAUUGUUGUGCUUACUGGUCUUUGAGGUACCUGCAAAGCCAUGGCUAUCCUGGGAUUCUUCACUUUCCAGAUUUUCAUUACCCAUUAAUUCAUCUGCACCAUUUGCACCAUCUGAAAAUAUACAACAAAUCGGUCAGCAUGGUGGAUGAAGGAAAAAUGAAAAAAUUGAAGUUUUUCAUACCAUGAAAAUCAUGCAUAUCAUUUCCCAUGUCACCAUCAUUGCUGGUAUCAGCUUCAUCACUCAUAGCUGCAAUAUAUUAUGAGUUACUUGAAGACAAUAAAGCUUAGAAACAAUUCUUGGUACAAUAUAUGGUACUUAGAAACUCACUUCCAGAAUCAUCAGCAUCCCAAUUUGUAGUAAACAAGAUUGGUGUAUUUGUUGCCGCGUCAUUUCCAUCUAUGAAAACAAGCAACCACAUUAUAUCAUCCUUUAGUAGAUAGCUUGAAUAAUAUUUUUAUGUUUCUGUAGUACCUUUUGCAGCUAACUCAUACUUUUUCCACAGUUUCUCUUCUUGCAAAUGAGGCUUGUGAGUAACCCUUUUUCUGCUGAAAUCUGCUAUUUGACUUGAUUUCUCUGGCAAGGUCCGCCUAGCAAUACCCUGGUGUACAAGUCCAGACUUAUUCAACUGUGAGGAGCAUCUUUCCCGAGCUAAUGCUGUCAAGUUUCCAUACCUGUGCUAACUCAUUGUGAUACCCUACACAUAUAGCGUUAGUUUGAAGUGUGCACAAAGGCUAUACAAAGUAAAAUUGAAUUAAAUAAGUGAAUAUUGAUAUACUGAUAAUGAAUUAUUGAAUGCUAAAUCAAAUUAAGUAAAUACAGAACUACUUGUGUCACUAUUUAUUAAUAAGGUAAAAGCAAAAAUAUGAAGCAAAUCGAUUGCUAUAGAUUAAGAGUUGCAUAAACUAGUGUCAUCAUGUUGUUCUCUUUCUACGUGAUGUUGAUGUCGAAUUUUGAAGCAAGUCGUCUUCAUCGCCAUUGUCAGGUUUAGCUUCAGAGGCUUCAUCAUCAGACUGUCCAUGUGGUACACUAUAAGCAUGACGUGAUGGAUUUUUCACGACUGCGUGCCAUCCUUUUAUAAGAUUGUCCUUGACAAAAAAUACUUGAGAGACUUGGCUAGCUAGAACGAAAGGCUCAUCUGUCAGAAGCAAACGCUGCAGGUUAAGACUAACGAUUCCAUGCUUGUUGUGUUUCUUCAUCCCAUGCUCUUUGUCAAAUACGACAAUCCAGUUGCAACGGAAUAAUGUCACAUGCCUUCCACCUAAGUAUUGCAGUUCGACUAUCUCUGUCAAUAUGCCAUAAUAUUCUACUAUAUUACCAUUAUCCCCUUGUUCUGAAAGUACAACCACCCCACUGUUCUGUGUGCAGAGGUGUCUAUCUCGACUUUGAACACGAUAUCUGAAUCCAUUCAUGUCAUAGCCAGUAAAACAUGUUACAUUUUCCAAUGGACCACGUGAUAGUGCCAAAAGGUCUUCGGUGAGCUCACUCUUAUCAUGUUCGUGCAAGCUGGCUACCUAUGCAGUGAAAAAUAGCUAUGUUAACAUCUUCACACAGAAAUACUGAAAUGUACGUGCACAUGUAUGUACAUACAGACUUUAUUCUGGAAUCUUUACCUUCUCUUUGAACCACUGAUUGAACUUCUGGUUCCACGUGGUGGUAAAUGAUUGCAGUGAACAUCCAUCUUGACUACUGGAGUACUCACUACAAUAAUACAAAGCUUAAUUGAUAUGGGCAUGCAAAAAGUUGACUAAGUACUUAACAAGUGAACCGAAUAAUCAAUACCUGAUAUAUGGUUGAACUUCAUCACAAUUUCUCAAAACAUAAAUAUGAGCUUGCUCUGCUUCAAGAAGAUUAAGAUCUCUAGGUCUACGACCAUCGGAUGGCCUUCCAUCCGGAUUGAAUAUUGACAAAUAAUAGUUGUCAUCCCCUGGUGCAUCAUUGAUUCUGCCUGGUCGGUUAUGCUUUGUCUCGACAUCAUCCAAAUACCUAGAGCACAAUGUAAUGAACUCUUUUGCAAUGUAUCCCUCUGCAAUGGAAGCCUCAGGUCGUGCCAAAUUUCGCACUAGCGAUUUCAGACACUUUAUUUGUCUCUCAAAGAGAUACAUCCACCGAUAUAUUGUAGGUCCACCAACAAGAGCCUCAUUAUCCAAAUGAACAGGCAGAUGCAUCAUGAUAUCAAAAAAGGACGGUGGGAAUUCCUUUUCAAGCUUACAUAGUGUCACAGGUAUUUGGGCCUGCAUUUCAUUAAGUUCUUCUACUGAAAGUGAUUUGGAGUUUAAUUUGCAAAAGAAUUGUGAAAGCUCAACCAGAGGGUCAUAAAUAUUCUAGGGAACAAGUCCACGCAGUGCAAGAGGAAGUAAAUGAUUUAGCAUAACAUGGCAGUCGUGGCUCUUCAGUCCUGAAUUUUUUUUCUCUUUCAUAUUAGUGCCGCAGCCAAGGUUUGAACAAAAUCCAGCUGGAACUUCGAGGUCCUUAAAAAACCGAAGGAACAAAAUCUUAUUGGGUGGAAGCAAAGUGAAAGGCGCAGAUGGAAAAGUAGGCUUGUCCCCUUCCUUGUCCGGAUGCAUACCUGGCCUUAUUUUCAUUAGUUGCAAAUCGCGCCGAGAAUUUAUGUUAUCCUUCGUUUUACCUUUGACAUCCAUAUUGCCAUGAUGCUAUCACAUAUAUUCUUUUCUAUAUGCAUGACAUCAAGGUUAUGGCGCAACAAGAGAGUUUUGAAAUAUGGCAAAUUACAAAAUAUACUUCUUUUGUUCCAGCUAUCUCCUCUUUCAUCGUGGGACACCUUUGUCUUCUUACUUGCAUCUUUAGACAAGAUAAUCCCCUCUAGAUCAGCCACUUGGUCCAUCACAUUUUGUCCUGUUAAGGGUGUUGGUGGUUCUCUGGUUUCUGUGGUACCAUCAAAAGAUUUUUUAUCUUUCCUCCACCUAUGGUUUUUAUGAAGAAAGCGUCGAUGCCCCAUGUAACAGAACUUCCCACCUUUUUAAGCCUUAAUGAACAAGUCCCACUGUGGCAUACUGGACAAGCCAAUUUUCCUUUUGUGCUAUAUCCAGAGAGGUUGGCAUAACCAGGGAAGUCAUGGACCAUCCACAGAAGUGCUGCACGCAGUGUGAAACUUGUUUUCGUUGAUGCAUCAUAAGUGUCAACACCCUCGUUCCAUAGUUCAAUAAGUUCCUCUACAAGUGGUUGCAGAUAAAUAUCAAUUGCAUCACCAGGACCAUCAGGCCCUGGAAUCAACAUGGACAACAUCACAUUUUCUUGUUUCAUGCACAUCCAUGGGGGCAAAUUUAGGGGAACAAGGAAUACGGGCCAGAUGCUAUGAGAUGUUCGCAUUGUUUUAUAUGGUUGGAAGCCAUCAGAAGAGAGACAAAACCUAAGAUUGUGAAUUUCUUUUGCAAAUGGGAUGUUUUUUGCAUCAAAAUAUUUCCAAGCUUUCGAGUCAGCAGGGCAUCUAAUGACACCAUCAUCUACCCUGCCCUCCGCAUGCCACCUAAAGGAUUCAGUAGUUUUGUGGCACAUGAACAUCCUUUGCAGCCUUGGCUUUAAGGAAAACUACCGCAUAGUUUUUUGUGGAAUCUUCUUCCCUUUUGCCGAGUGCAGAGUGGUGCCUGUGCGCUUGUCUUCUUUCCAUCUAGAUGCCCCACACACCUUGCACGACUCCGCAUUUAUAUCUUCUUUCCAGUAGAGCAUGCAAUGAUUCGUGCAAGCAUCAAUUUUCCUAUAACUCAGUCCUAGUUCCUGAAUAGUUUUUUUCGCUUCAUAAUAAGAAUUUGGCAAAGUAGAGUUCUGUGGUAGGAAAGCCUUCCGCAGAUAUACCAACAACAUGGUGAAGGACUUGUUGCUCCACUUUCCCAAAUUCUUAAUGUGAAGCAAGUUAACUAGUGCAGAUAAUUUAGUGGUACUAGAACCUUCAUAAAGUGGCUGGUUGUAGUUGUCAAGCAAUUUAUAAAACUUUGCUGCUUCAUUAUUUGGUUCCUCUUCGUUAGUUGGUGGUGUCGUUGUUUGCUCAGUUGGAUUAUUAUUUUGAGGAAACAGAUCAUGCAACAAAUCUUGCAUUGGGUCAUAUCCAUCUGCACUCUCUGCUUGCAUUUCUUCAUCGCCUUGACCUUCAGAAACUGUUUGAGGUUCCCUCGCAACUUCACCAUGAUGGUACCAAAAGGUAUAAUUUCUCAGAAUUCCGUACACUUUCAGGUGAGCAGAAACCAAUGCACGAGGAUGAGAGUCUGUGUUGCAGCAUUUGACGCAUGGACAUCGAAUUUCAUUCUCCCUGCCUGCUUGGCUGAACGCAUAGUCAAGGAAAUUCUCUACCCCUUCUAGGUAUUCAUCAUCUAAUCGCUCAUCCACUAGUCUCAUCCAUAUCUUACUUGGAGCCAUCUCCAAAUAUAUAUUACUGUUUUAGUACGUAGUUAUCCUGCAUUUAUGUUAUUCGAUGUAAGACAUAUCAGACUAUAAAAUAAAUCAUAGUGUGUAUGAUCUAUAGAUGAAUGGAUUGUACUGAACAUGGCAUAACAAAAUUCUAAAUCGUAAUAAGCAAACGAAUUCUACCUACAUAUUUUGUAAUCAAGAUCAACAACAAUGCAUCAAGGUUCCAUGGGAAAAAACAGAGCAAGGAGGAAUACGAAAAAACAGAGCAAGGAGGAAUACGAACCAAGCUGCUGCGGAGUUGCGUUGGCGACCGGUGAUGUGCAGGCGGCAGCGUGGGCGCACCGGGGUCGAGGCUAACCAGCGACGUGGAGGCGGCAGCCCGGGCGCGCCGGGGGUCCAGGCGACCGGCGAUGUGCUGGCGGCAGCGCGGGCGUACCGGGUCGAGGCUACCGGCGACGUGCAGGUAGCAUCGCGUAUGCGCCGGAGUCGAGGUGACUGGCGAGGUGCGACCUGCAGCGUGGAGAGGCGUAGAACACAAGGAAGGAGAUGCGAUCUAUGGACUAUGGAGGUGUUGAAUUGAGCAGGGCAGGGGAGGCGAAGAGAAAGAGGCGCCGGGAGAUGAGAUCCUAACAGAUUAAAUAGUUAUUCCCUGUUACGAAGGGUUAUCUAGUCGAAAUUGCCAGCAGUUUGCGCCAAAAAAAUUCAGCCGUCCCGCUCUCUUUACUCGAGAACCAAAAAUAUUUAUGCCUAGUUUUGUGCUACAAAAUCUGAGGAUUUGGUCUAAAAAAUGAGGAUUUCAACUUUUGAAAGGCACAGUGGCCUCUACCUCCCUGUACUUUUAGGUAUACCUUAUGAAACCAAUUGAGUCAAGCACAAACUCUGUUCAUAGGUUGACAAGAAAGAAUGCAGGCGUGGUGGUUUCAGUGUACUUUGACACACACGAAGCAGGGGAAAACUGAUAGGUUCAGUUUCAGAUACAGAAGCACACAAUUUUGACACAAUGGAUUCCUUUUUCUCUUUUCUUUUUUCUUACAUCGACUAUGCCAAGCAAUGAAUGGAACAACUCCUAUUUAUAAGUUUCUCAGCACUGCAAGCAACCCACUUGCUUUUGCUGCAACAAAUGCAUGCAAAAGCCUGAAAUUAGCUUCGCCAACAUGUACACGCAGGGCACACCUGCACUUAACUUGCAAGUUGCAGCCGAUCUGCCACAAUCACUUCACAUUGCAAUAGGAAUUGUUUGACUACAAUCAGGUUUAAGCUAACAUGGUGAUGCUUUGGCAUCCAUAAUGCCUGGUGAUCUGAAGGUACUGGUGCAGAUCAAAUUCAUUGGUGAAACCCUGUCCAUGACAUCGCCAAAAUACAGUGCCUAUUUCUAAGCACAUGCAUAUAUUUGUACCGUAUAAUACAAUGUCAGCGGAUAUGAAGAUCCAUUUAUGGAUAGGAAAAUAUUUGAAAGUCAGUCUCUUGUUCAUAGCCUGACAUAUGAAUGACAAGAACAAAUGUUAAAAGGCACUAAUGUUGAAUUCUGCUGCCGAUGAGCCAAACUUGAAAAACUAACAAUAAUACUGUUCUCUAGCAAACAAUAUUUAUUUUUCAACGAUCUUGUCGUAGUCAGGAAUAUAAAUUCGCAAAAAGUCUCUACGUAUUUUGUUCAGAUUACUCUUAUGCCUAGGUGCAUUCCUGGCUCUUGCUUCCCUCCUCAAUGCAGCAUCACUAGCACGCCUUUCAUUAAAUUCCUUCCUGACCUUCUGGUAUACUUCAUCUUGUUUGUCUUCUUCCUCGGAGUCUUCAACAACUUGCCUACGCAGGUACUCAAUAGAGUCUUCAUCGACAUCGGUUAUCGAGACAUCGCUGCUACGUUCUUCAUCUGGAGACUCUUCUGCCUACUGAUUAAUUGUAUCUAGAACAAACUCAACCAUUCUGUCUCCUUGCACGUUCUGGUUCUUUGAAUCAGGAGCAAAAUCAACAAUCAGUUCUUCUUUUACCUCAGGAUAUAUUGAACUAUAUUGAAUCUGGAGGAGAAUUAAUGAUUAAGUUAUGUACCUCUUGAUCCGUAGUAUGGUGAGUAAACUCAACCAUGGAAUCCGCUUGCUCCAUCAAGUGCAUCUCUACCGAGCUUGGCGAGGAGUCGCGGUGGCCGGGAGAAUUGUGUGGUUCAGCAGAGGCGCCGGACGGAGAUGGAUGGGCAUGAACGACCAUGCAGGCUUCCAUCGGGAUGUUGUGCAAAAAUGAGGAACGCGAGGACUAACUAAUAGGAUUAGGAGCAGAUUAGAUUAGUUGGGGCUGGAGAGAUUUACCGCCAAUAUUUGGAGAACCCGCCAACAUUAGUUGGGAUGUUUGUGGGGGAGAGAUAAAGGAGAGAAGAGUUUUUUCUUUUCUUUUUGAACACAAGGAGAGGGAGUUUGUUAGAGUUGACCACGUACAUGCAAACCCCAUAAUAGUAACGACCGCUCACCUAGUGACGGGCAGACCCAUGGUUGUUGAAUGUAUUACGUAGAUUGGUUUCCACCACGGGGGGACUCCACUCGGGUAUUCAACGACCAAGAGUUUUUGGGCACCGUCGUUAAUGCCAGUAUUUGUAGUAGUGUUACAGAUGAAGAACAGAAGCAUACAUGCAGUGCAAAAGAAGAUCACUUGCUCUGUCUAGUUUAAUUUACAUGGUAUGAAGAAGGAACUUGGUUGUACAACUGAAAACUUAAAUUGAGAAGGACAAACUUUUGUUUAUGAACUACAUAAUAAACUUUAAACAUGCAAUUUGAUGCAAACACCAAAAAUAAACAGCUGUUGCAGUCAUGCCUAACCAAAUAUACACAACAAAGUUUGAAGGCUUGAGAAGGACAAACUUACAUUACUGGUGAAGACAGGCUCUAUAAAGCCCUUGUCCAUGCUGAUGGGGGGGGGGGCAAUUCAAGAAGUUUACCAUAGAAUCUUCUUCAUAAGCAUUGCCUUUAUUCUACAUUUUGUUAAGAGUAAAUAUAGAUGUGAUAAUAUACGAAAAAAUGGAGAAUAUUUAAGAUAAGAUGAAGAGUGAUGCUACAUAACCAAGUAGCUAUAAAUGUAUGUGCAGCGAUAUAGGCAAAAGGCACAGCCAAGAGCAAUGCACAGCUAAACUUCUUCAGUACCAACCUUAUGGUAAGAGUAAAUAUAGAUCUGAUGUGUAGAAAAUGGAGGGCAAAGGAAAAUAAGCUACAGAGUGACAGUACAUGAACAACUACCUGUCAAUAUAAGUACACUGAUAAAGGACAUCAUGUACUUACAAGAACAAUGCAGAGCUAAAAAAAUCAUUGGCAUUGGAUAUAUUCUACACUGAUGUAACCAUUCAUACAGAUCCGAUAAUUUGGAGCGAACAAUUGAUAAGCAAGCUAUCAUGCAUACUGCUGUCACAUAAUGAACAAGGUAUGUAUGCAAGUACAGUGAUAUAGGACAACAGGUACUAACAAGAGCAAAGCAGCGGGCAACAUAUUUGCGAUAUCCUGUUGUUCUUUUCAAACCGGAAUUCUUCUUCGAGCAGAUUUCCUGCAAAAAAGAUCCGUAAGGCACAUGCGGAAAAGUAGAAGUUCAAAUUGUCAUUUGAUUUCAUAGACAGUAGCUCAUCCUGGGAACAAGACCAGUGCAUAACAAGGUUUUUCCAUUCAAUGUCUUCUAAAUUUAGCAUAGGAGACUUCACCAGAAAUUCGUUUGUAGACUUGCCAUCAAAGUGCGAUUUCCUCAGGUAACACCGAUACUGCUGCAAUGCUUCCUUGAAAAGCACAAGCAAUCUUUGCUCGUCAUGACUAUCCAGAUUGACCCUCGCCUAGUUACAACAAUGUAAUGCAAAUCAUUGAUGUGUUCGAUCAGCAGAAAACAGGAAAAUAAUAACCAUGAAUAAUAGCACUUACACGUAAGUUGGACAGGAAGAUGUGAAAAUGGUGUUUGUCUUCACUAUAAUCUUCCCAUGAUGGGAAUAUAUGCACGUAGUCCCUAACACCAUUGAAAGCAUUGUCUUUUAAACUGGGAAUAAAUGGAAUGGGGUUCCAAUCUGCAGGAAUUGGCCAUCUCUGCAGUUGGGAUAGGUCUUCGGCCGGUGGACUUGCUGUACUUUUUGCUGGAGUGGGAUUUUUCUGUGGUACAGCUGGUGCUAUGGAAAAUGAAAUCGGUAUACCUUUUGCUGGAGUGCAGGUCCUGUGUGGUGGGGCUAGUGGUGUGGCCAGUGAAGUAUGGGUACAGUCUGCUGGAGUCGGUCCUACGUUUAGUGUCACUGGUUGUACAGCCAAUAUAAGUGGGGCGCUGUCUGAUUUCUCCGGCACCACCACGUAUUUCAAGGACUUUGCUGGUACUCCUUCAGGUUCGACAAUCACCCUCUGUCACGCCCAAGAUGCGACCCUAUCCUAAAGGAACACGAAGGUCCCACCAAGGAUAGAAGCACAUCUUGAAGACGCUUUUGCGAGGUGGAUAUCAUUACAUCAACAUUACAUAAUAUUUGGGGAUACAUACAAGGCAUACCAAUGCCGCAAGAAUACAUCAAUACAUCAUACAUAAGCUCAACAUCCGACUACGGAUGAAACAUAAACAGAAACUCAAACGACAUCCACCCUGCUAGCCCAGGCUGCCGAUCUGGAACCUAUCCCCUGAUCGAAGAAGAAGCAGAAGAAGAACUCCAAAACAGAUAAACAUCGCUCUCGCGUCAUGAUCAUCGUAAAACCUGUACCUGCAACUGGUGGUGUAGUAAUCUGUGAGCCACGAGGACUCAGCAAUCCCAUUACCAUGGGUAUCAAGACUAGCAAAGCUUAAUGGGUAUGGAAAGGAUAAGUGGUGAGGUUGCAGCAGCGACUAAGCAUGUAUGGUGGCUAACUUACGCACAUGAGAGCGAGAAGAGAAGCAAAGGAACGGUCGUGAAACUAACAAUGAUCAAGAAGUGAUCCCAAACUCCUACUUACGUCAAACAUAACCCAGAAACCGUGUUCACUUCCCGGACUCCGCCGAGAAGAGACCAUCACGGCUACACACGCGGUUGAUGCGUUUUAGUUAAGGUCAAGUGUCAAGUUCUCUACAACCGGAUAUUAACAAAUUCCCAUCUGCCACAUAACCGCGGGCACGGCUUUCGAAAGAUAAUACCCUGCAGGGGUGUCCCAACUUAGCCCAUAAUAAGCUCUCAUGGUCAACGAAGGAUAUUCCUUCUCCCGGGAAGACCCGAUCAGUCUCGGAAUCCCGGUUACAAGACAUUUCGACGAUGGUAAAACAAAACCAGCAAAGCCGCCCGAUGCGCCGACAUCCCGAUAGGAGCUGCACAUAUCUCGUUCUCAGGGCAACACCGGAUGAGCAAUCCGUACAACUAAAACCAGACCUCAAGUUUUCCCGAGGUGGCGCUACAAGGGGCUCUAGUUCGGACCAACACUUAGACAAGCAUUGGCCCGGGGGGGCUAAAUAAAGAUGACCCUCGAGAGAGCGACUCCCAAGGGAAAAGUAGGUGGUGGUGAGGCAAAUGGUAAAACCAAGGUUGGGCCUUGCUGGAAGAGUUUUAUUCAAAGCGAACUGUCAAGAGGGUCCCAUAAAUCACCCAACCGUGUAAGGAACGCAAAAUCCGGGAACAUAACACCGGUAUGACGGAAACUAGGGCGGCAAGAGUGGAACAAAACACCAGGCAUAAGGCCGAGCCUUCCACCCUUUACCAAGUAUAUAGAUGCAUUAAUAAUAUAAGAGAUAUUGUGAUAUCCCAACAUAAACAUAAUCCAACAUGGAGCAAUCUUCAUCUUCACCUGCAACUAGCAACGCUAUAAGAAGGGCUGAGCAAAGCGGUAACAUAGCCAAAACAACGGUUUGCUAGGAAGGGUGGCAUAGGUUAGAGGUUCAUGGCAAUUUGGAAGGCUUGAAGAGCAAGUGAAUAGGUAGCGCAGCAUAGCGAUAGAACGAAGCAACUAGCAUAGAAAUGAUAGUAAUGAGAUCCAAGGUGACGGUCAUCUUGCCUGAAAUCCCGCUAGGAAGAAUAACGAGUCCAUGAAGAAGAUGAAGCCACGAAGACGAACGAAUCCUCACGAUCGCAACGACACGGGAACUAUCGAGAAGAAGCACACAACAUGGUAAACACACCACACAUGAACAAGGCAUGAUGCUCAAACAAGAAUGAUGCAUGAUAAGGCUAAAUGAAGCUACUCAUGACAAGAGAUGAUGCAUACAAGAUGAACACAUCAAGGCAAGUUUAAAUGAGGCCGGAAACAACAUAUAACAAAUCCGGUAAGUCCUCAUAUGCAAAUUUCGAAAUUGGUCCAGAACUGAAUAAACAUUAAGUUGAAGUUGUUAAACAGCAAGUUAAAGAGCACCAUGAUGAUCUACACGAAAUUCUAGUCAAGUUACAUAUAAAGUUCAUUAGAUUCGGAGCUACGGCCUAGAAGAUAUGAGCAAAACAAGUUAAACAUGGCAUUGAUGCAAAAUGCAUACAAACAUCAAGCAAACACCUCAAAACAAGGAUGCAACAUGAUAAUAUGAAGCUACAUGCAAAAUUAAGCAAGUUUCAUACAGAGUAUGCUCAAAACGGAGCAACGGUGCAACACAUACACUCCAAACAAUAUAUUUUUACAGGUGAAAAAACAAGGCAUGGACAUGAUAUACAGGUAAAGCACAAUAAAACAUGAGCACUGAACUAUCUCUAGAAAUCACUAGAUCAAGCUCAAAAGGACAUGGCAAGAUUGCAAAUAAUAACAGAUUCACAGACUUGGUAGAAAUACUGGACAUGGCAGAAAUAAUAUCAGGUUGCAAUGUUUAGAGCUAUGAAGAAACAAGCUACAGGAACCUACCAUGGCAAACAAAGGCAUGGCAUGAAUCUACUCAAAGCAUAUAACAAAUGUCCCUUACUGACCAUAAGCCAAAAAGGCACAGAACAUAUGAUGGCAGCCAUGUAAACAUAGCAAGUUUCGUUAACAGGUUUCAGACACAGCAGAAAACAGAGUAUGGCAGAAACAAUAAUAUGAAGGCAUCUUGGUGAGCUUGAUGCACUCAUCACAAGGAAAUGCAUGACAAGAAAAGCAUACAUACAGCAAGAUGGCAUGUUUAUGAAGCUAACCAUGGCAAGAGCAAGUACAUAGCAUGAAAGGAUCAACUACAACAAGCUUGGCAACAUUGAAUAACACGUAGACAAUCUGCCAGGAACAUUUUAUAGCAAAAGUAGAGCAAGAUUGAGACAUGCUAUGGCACUCCAUAAUUGCAACCAAGGGCAUGAAUGGAUCAAUUACAACAAUAUCUAUAAAACAUCCUUACUUAACAUCUCCAAAAUAUGCAUGGAUCUUUCUGUAGCAUCAAGUUUACAUGGCAACAAAAUAACAGCAGACAAGAACUUGGAGAAAUCACCAAGUCCCUGAAAUCAGAAACAUUACGGAGCCUAGUUUGCAUACUUGUGCUAGUCACCACAGAGAUCACAAAAAUAAAUGGCAUACACCACUGGAAAGACGGCAUGGCAUACAACAAAACACAAGUAGAUCUCAUGCCCAUAAGAUGCACAGAUUAAAUUCAACAAAAAUAACAAAUCACCAAGUUCUGAUAACAGACAGCAGAUAACAGCAACUAGCACUCUUGCAACGAUGAUUUGGGCAUCAAGAUGGCCUCUAAAGAACAUGGUGCACUGGAAUAAAAUGAAGAGCAUCACGAGACGAACAUUUUGAUAUAUUAUAUGCUUCAAACGGUUUAGCAAGCACGAAGAUACGCUAGGUCAAACAUGCACACUUAACAUAGAAAAUCUGGGACUUGGUCAUAUUUCUCGGAAAAAACGGAGUGGGCGCAAAAUGACUAAAUGUCGCCCGGGCGAGGGAUAGGGCUGCCAGGGUGCUCACCUAGUGUGCUGCAGGCCCAGGUCGGUGGAGGAGGCGGCCUGGCAGGCCGGCUGGAGCUGGGCCGGGGCGCCUUGGCUGGGCCUUGGCGGGGCCCACACGGCAGCCCACGGCGGGCCGGGAGGCGUGCGAGGUUACGCGCUCGCUGGCCUUCGCCUUCCCGAACGAGGAUGGGGCGGCGGCGGCGGCUGUUCUCCGGCGAGCGGGCAGGCGCGAGGGGGGGCGCUGGGAACUGGUGGAUCCGGGCGGCGCGGUGCCGGAUCCGGCCACGGGAGGAGGUCGGAGGGACUCCGGCGCCGGCGACUCGCAGCGGCGGCGAGGAAACUCCGGCGGCGGCGGCUCCUGCUGGAAAGAGAGAGAGUGAGGCAAGGGAAGGAGAGAGGGAGAGAGGGAGCGCUGCGGCGGUGCUCACCCGCGGCGUCAGGGACGAGGCGNNNNNNNNNNNNNNNNNNNNNNNNNNNNNNNNNNNNNNNNNNNNNNNNNNNNNNNNNNNNNNNNNNNNNNNNNNNNNNNNNNNNNNNNNNNNNNNNNNNNNNNNNNNNNNNNNNNNNNNNNNNNNNNNNNNNNNNNNNNNNNNNNNNNNNNNNNNNNNNNNNNNNNNNNNNNNNNNNNNNNNNNNNNNNNNNNNNNNNNNNNNNNNNNNNNNNNNNNNNNNNNNNNNNNNNNNNNNNNNNNNNNNNNNNNNNNNNNNNNNNNNNNNNNNNNNNNNNNNNNNNNNNNNNNNNNNNNNNNNNNNNNNNNNNNNNNNNNNNNNNNNNNNNNNNNNNNNNNNNNNNNNNNNNNNNNNNNNNNNNNNNNNNNNNNNNNNNNNNNNNNNNNNNNNNCGGUGAGGGCGCGAGGGCGACGGGAUCCCGGCGAGCAGGGCGCUCGGGAGCGGAGGCGGGUGGCUGCGGGCCUCGGGCCCAGAUCGGGGCCCGGGCGGGCCUGGCAUGGGCCUGGCGGCGCGGGGAGGCAGGGUGAGGUGGCGAUGCCACAUGGCGGUGGGGCAGUGGCUGGAGACGGCCAGGGGGCGACGUGGCGCGCCUAGAUUGGUCCGGGGUGCGCCGGCGGCGGCGCCAAGUGGCGGAGCAGGGUUGGAGCGGCGCGGAAUGCGAGGAGGAGGGGGUUGGCUGCGGCUAGAGGUAGGUGGAGGGCUAGCGGGCUAGGGUUGCCCAAAAAUGGCAAGGGGGUUGAUUAAAUAGGCAAGGGGGGCUAGGUUAGGCGUUUUGGAGCGUUUUUUGGAGCCUCCGAUCGCCAUCGAACGGAUCCGGAUCGGAGGGGGUUUGUAGGUGGGCACAUGGGCUGUGUAGAAGGCCUCGGGCAAUGGGGAGAGAAGAUAAAGGCAGCCCGGCGGCAGUUUCGGAGACCGAAACAUCCGACGAUUAAACCGGCAACGGUGCCGCUACGGAUGACAGUUGGGCUAACAAACGGACUCCGAACGCGAUGAAAUUUGGCAGGCGGCCUACCUACACUGUAAUAAGACCACACGCCAAUUUUCAUCCCAUUCCGAGAACAUUUUCUGGCCACUUAUAAAAUAAUAUCUCGGAGGUGCCUCGGGCGCGUGCGGGUGUGGUUGGGCUCAGAACGGACAACGGGGAGAACCGGGGGAACCCGAACGGAUGCAAGUUUUGAAAAACAUGAAGAUGCAAUGCAGAUGAUGACAUGGCAAAAUGCAACACGCAGGCACAUGACAUGGCAACAACGAUGAAUAACUGGGGGACACCUGGCGCAUCGGAUCCGGGGCGUUACACCCUCUUCCUUUUUGAUGUCUGAUGCACAAGAACAGCAUUUGAGUGAAAAAACAUGGUAUGAUGACAGAUGGAAUAUGUAUUGAUAAUGGGUGGGCAUGGCAUCUCGAGUUAUAUGAUGAUUAAACUAAGCAGAUGUCGGUGCAACAAAGUAGAAGAAAUGCAAGACAACAUAUGCAAGAUACGCGCAAUUAAUAAAACCUUGCCAAAUUAGAACAGGCACCUUGAUGGGUGAAUGGGACAGGCCAUCUGCCUAUGACUCCUCGAGGUUAGAAUAGUCAUUAGGAUGAUAUUCUGAACAAGAAUCAACAGGUGGGGAGCGUAUGAGUUUCAUUGCUUCCAGAAUGGCACUCAAUGCCUUGGUGCUAAUUUUGUAAGUCAUUGCAGUGUUCCACAAUAUUCUUCUGAUGUGCGGAUUCUGAUAUUCACUGUAAUUGCGUAUAAUAUCUGAGAACCAUGAAAACAUAAAUAGUUGUGAGAUUAUCUUUGUAAUGCAGAUGAUAUUCUAAUAUAGGGGCGCCCCUGUAAACACUUGUGUGCUAUCACUGGAUUCUGAUGAGAGAGCUCAUGUGUGCUGUAAUAUGGUGCGUGCAUUUAUAUAAUCAGUCACAAGUACACAAAAAAAUAGGCUCCAGAAGUAAGGAUAGCUGGCAGAUGAUAGGUUCAUAAUAUACUAUAUAGAGAGUUUAUUGCCAAACCAUGAUAACAAGAGCACACAACAACUAGGCAGAUCAUAGUGUACAUAACAGGGGUACACCAUAACCACGAUAUAUAAAUCAGGAAAGUGGAACUGGCUUGAAAAUACGGUGUUGUAUUGCCGCUAGUAAUUGAAAGCCUAUCGAUCACGUACAGGCCAGGUCUAUCAGCUGUUGACUGCAGAUGUCCCUGCGCCCCUUCCUGACAAGGAACAUACUGUACGUGCUAAAUACAGAAUAAACAAAGAGGAACAUGUUAAAGAACAGAAGAGGAAGCAUAUUCUUGAGGUUCCGCUUCAUUGCAUACAAUGUUGGUUGCCCACUCAUGAUGAAUCACAGCGCCCAAAGAAAUGCAAUUCCAUGCUGUCUCUCUAUAUGUGGCAAUUUUGAACAAGAGUCAUUAGGAUCAUAUUCUGAACAAGAAUCAACAGGUGGGGAGCGUAUGGGUUUCCUUGCAUCUAGAAUGGCACCCAAUGCCUUGGUGCCAAUUUUGUAAGUCAUUGCAGUGUUUAGCUUCAAGAGUGGACUGCUGCUAGUGCGACACAAAGCAGCUACACAGAUCAUAGUGUAGAUAUAACGGGGAAAACCGUAAGCAUCAGAGUAAAAUCAGCAAAGUGGAACUUGCUGGAAUAUAUGUGCUAGUAUUGCCGGUACGGCUAGAAAGGCUUCGGAUACCAGCUCUCUUCAAGUGAAGGUGCGGUACUGUUAAUAUCAGUGUUACUCUCAAAGGCGACACAUCUCCCCACAUUUCCUUGCUAUUCUUAUAGGAUUCAAGUGGGCACGUGACUACAAAUCCUAUUCCUAUGUUUACAAGAUCCUACGAAUCAAAGAGGCUCAAAGUGUCCAUCACAACCGACCGUAUAGACCUCUACACUGCAAAAGUCCCUGCUCAUCUUCAAUACAAGGAACAUACUGUACCACUAUCAUACUCCCUCUGUUCCAAAAUAUAAGUCUUGGUAGAGAUUUCCACUAUGGAUCACAUACAGAUGUAUCCAGAUACAUUAGAGUGUAGAUUCACUCAUUUUGCUCCAUAUGUAGUCCAUGGUGGAAUCUAUACAAAGACUUGUAUUUAGGAACGGAGAGAGUACAUAUUAAAGAAGAACGGAAGAGGAACAUGGUAAAGAAGAGCAAGCAGAUUUUGGAUAAUAAAAUGUUGGUUGUGUAGUGCCCACACAUGAUGAACCAGAGCGCAUUAAGAAUGCAACUCCCAGCUGUCUCUCGACCAUUUCAGGCGCUUGGAUGAAGAUCCUACGUCUCCUAACCCAUCUUCUUCCUCGUCUCUGAUUCUUCCCAUACAGAACACCGCACGGGCUGCCGGCCGGACCACCGGCCCCCGCCGCCUGUGUUCCUCCGCCACCCCCACCCCCCACCCCCGCCCCAACCCCCACCCGCGUCGAGUUUUCUUCGUUCGGUGAGGCCCCACAACCACCCGAGCCCCUUCGUUCGCACCGGCGAACUCCGGCGAGCUCUGAAAAAUCGACUGACCCAAUUUUGAAAUUUAGUCUACUGUGAUUUAACUAGUGUGGAAUAUAAAAGGGGAAAACCAUAAGCAUUGGGAGUAUAGUGUUGACCGUGCCAUGGCGGAUCUGAAGGUGCAAACCGGACAAAGGCAACUUCGCAACCAAGACAAGAAAUGAGAGUAAAGCAGUGGCGAUCUAUUUUCUUGCUGCGAUAAAUAAGUUGAGCAGAUACGAAAGAGUACCGCCUCUGGUGCGGCGCCGUGUACGCAUCUGCUGAGAAUUUGACGGUGCUGCGGUAGCGAUGGCUGUCGGCGGUGUGGAAGCAGAUCUAGGAGGGUAGACGGUGGCGGCAGGGCGCGGUGGACGAGACGAUCGUAGGAGCGGUGCCGGCAAGGUGGACGACGGCGGGGAUGAAGCGAGAGGACGGGAUGCAAGGAUCCCGGUCUGAAGCCGUGGAUGAGAGAGGUCGGUCUCUUGUAAUGGAUGGCGGCGUUGGGGUAUCAGCUCCGGCAUGGUGGAGGAGGAUGGCGGUGGAUGGGGUGGCGGACGGCGGCGGACGGAGGAGGGUGGGGUGGACAGGGUGUUUUGGCGCCCACGGAGUACGAAUGGGGAAAAGGGAGGUAGAGAGGAAGGGGGAACCAUGUAUUCAAGGCGCACUUGUCUCAAAUGUGAGGAAAUUUACAAACUUAGCCCCCGUUUCAAAUUUCUACUACAUCACAGCAACAUUAGUCGGUUGGGGAUAGGACGGUAAUCUCGCAUACACCGAAUAUUUGCCGAUGAGAGUUUGUUUUUGGCGCCCACCGUGUAUGAAUAUGAAUCGGGGAGGGAGUCGAUUUCGGCCGAGGACACACUGUGUUUUGGUGCCCACCGUGUAUGAAUCCGGGUGAGAGGCGGUUACGUCACGUUUGGGUAAAAUUACAAACCUACCCCUAUCGAAACCUAUAGAAAUCCAGCAGAUAGGCUUUGCGUGGCAGGGAUAGGCAGUAGUGAUUUCCAUCUCGCAGAUUUUGGUUUCGGGCGGUUACUGCGACUUUCCCUGCUUCGUUCAAAUUUUGCAGAGUGCACGUUUACCGUGCCAACUCAAUUCGAAUCCCGUUUGUAUUCUAAUUUUUUUCAGGCGGGAUCCAUUUUCAAUUGGAAUUACAUUCUAUAUACAUCAUUUUUUAUAUAUACUUUCAAAAGCACGACACCAUUUAUACAUAAAUAUGGUUUACAAAUGGCAUGAUCUCAGAUUCAUAAGGUUGUAUCCAUCAAUUUGGAUUUUCAAAUAUUUGAAACCACCUUAUGUUGAAAUCCAAUGUAUGCAUUCCUCGCUAACUGUCUCCAAUUAAUGUGUGUUUCAUGCGGGUUAUUUUUUUACUUCUCAAACAUGUAUAAUGUGUUUCACACACGCAACAUAUAGUGUAAUCCCGUUUAGACAUUAAUUGCAUAUAAACCAUGCAUUGUUUGUAAUUGAAGAAUCUAUGGAUCACCAAUAUUGAUAAACUAUAUAACAUUACACGUGUGCCCAAAUUCAAAUGAAUAUGCAUGUUUGAUACACCAAUUUGCGUUAUGAUAUUAUCGAUGUCGUGAUCUCCAGUUUAAAUAUUUGAAUCCCCUUUAAUCCAGAUAUUCGUCUCAUAUAGCUAUCACUCAUGCUUAUAUAGGACUAUCUCUCUGGACCUAUACGCGUUCAUCGUCUCUCAGGUAUCUCUCGUGCUACCUGUAUGUCGACAAUGAUCUUUUAUCUUCGUAACACACUGACGGUACUCUCACCCUCGACCUUCAUCACUCUAUCUCUCUCUAAGUAUAUCUCGCUCCCUGCUAUGUGUCUCUAACUAUGAUUCUCCAUGUGGAAUCUCUUUCUCUCACACAAAGACAAAACUUUGUCUCCCUGGGUCUCAUUUCUCUCUACUAUUCCCAUGUGUGCCACUCGCACACCCCUCAUACAGAGAUGUCUUUCGCUCCUUAGAUAUGAGAACCUACGACUCUUCCUCUUCAAUGUCUCUUUCUCACACACAAACACAAACUCUGUCUCACAGGGUCUCAUAUUUCUCCAUUGUUCUCUUGUAUGUCGCUCACACACACCCUCUCUCCCUAGAGAUAUCUUGCGUUCCCUCGUAUGUCUCUCUAGCUAUCACUCUUGUUGUGAAAUAUCUUUCACUCUCGCAGACACAAAACUCCGUCUCUCUGGAUCUCAUUUCUCUCUGAUAUCUGUUUGUAUGUGACUCACAUGCACCCUCUCUCUAUCUCUCUCACACCCACACACAUAACCCAACCUUCUGAUCCACUCGACUCCUAUCUCUAACGCACACUAGCUAGCAUCUUUAUCUUUCUAUUUAUCUGUUUCUCCAUCAACCUUCUUUCUCGCCCUCACUCUUGAUUCCUAUCACGCACACUACAUAUGUUUCUCUCUACAUGCAGUCAAGUGCCCUCUCACACACAUAUAUAACUUCACCCUUUGAACCACCCGACGGUCAUCUCCAACACCCAAACUAGCGGAUGUCCCUCUAGCUAGCAUCUCCAUCUAUGUAUCUAUCUGUAGUUUCUCCGUCAACAUUUCUUUCUCGCACGGAGUCUUGCUUCCUAUCGCCCACACUAUAUAUGUCUCUCCAUACAUAUGCAUUUAUAUGUUGGUCUCUUUUGCACAAUCGUUGCGCCUCACUCCCUCUGCUCGCCAUAGAUGCAUGCUCCAGCCCACGCCACUAUCUCUUAAAGACAAAAACACAUGCUCAAUUGUCGGGCCUUCUUCCCUGCAUUCUCACAUGCAUGCAUAUUGUCAUACCGAUCCGUCUCUCCCAUGUCGUUGAUCUUAUGACUUAUGUCUUCUUUCUUUUAUCUCGAUCAUGCGCGCGCGCACACACACACACACAUCCCACGUAUACAUGUAUACCUCUCACACAUGCACGUUCAAGGUCUCUAUGUCUCCAUACGUAGUUAAUUACCCUCAAUCCUAACGCCACAUCAAAUCGUUCUCCUCUUUUGUGCACAUAACUUCCACCUGGAUGGGUAAAACACACACUCACACUUAACAAUCUCCUUCUAGCUACCCCCCCCCCCCGCCUCUCACUCUUCCCCUAUAUCCCCGAAACCAAUAAGACCAUCCCUUUGUUUAAUUCCCGCCUACAUGCACCAUCGAUAUAUAGCAGUCUUCCUCGGUGUCUCUCGAACAAACACGCUCUCUCGAUGUCGACUCCUCUCACGCGCACACACCUUCUCUUCCCUCUCUACGGGCAUUUUCUCUCUCGCACCCCAUCGUUGGUGGCCUCUGCCAUANNNNNNNNNNNNNNNNNNNNNNNNNNNNNNNNNNNNNNNNNNNNNNNNNNNNNNNNNNNNNNNNNNNNNNNNNNNNNNNNNNNNNNNNNNNNNNNNNNNNNNNNNNNNNNNNNNNNNNNNNNNNNNNNNNNNNNNNNNNNNNNNNNNNNNNNNNNNNNNNNNNNNNNNNNNNNNNNNNNNNNNNNNNNNNNNNNNNNNNNNNNNNNNNNNNNNNNNNNNNNNNNNNNNNNNNNNNNNNNNNNNNNNNNNNNNNNNNNNNNNNNNNNNNNNNNNNNNNNNNNNNNNNNNNNNNNNNNNNNNNNNNNNNNNNNNNNNNNNNNNNNNNNNNNNNNNNNNNNNNNNNNNNNNNNNNNNACACACUAAGACUCCAUCUCUCUCUCUCUCACACACACACACACAAACUAAGACUCCAUCUCUCUCUCCUCUCUCUCUCACACACACACACACACCCCACACACACACUAAGACUCCAUCUCACACACACAUGCUCUAGGCGGAGCAUUUGUUCCUACCACCCUUCAUCCAAUCUUACCCGUAUGAUAAACAAUCACCUUUAUUUACUUGCAUAACAUGGACAAAUUCCACUUUACUUUAGUAGUCAGCAAACUUAUCAUCUGUACCCUUAUAAAAAACGAGUUGGCGGUGAUGGUGUGCCUGCCAUCUUGUAAUACAGACCAUAUUAUCUAUAUCUGAGGAUAGAAAGCAAACUAUGAUAAUUUUACAAAAUAUACCCGUACCUCUCUCCACAUCAUUAUCUCCCGCAACCUCAUUGCUUAGCAAUUAAAAAAGGAAUAAGUCUCUGGAACAACCUAGCAUGCAUGGUGGCCGCUGCCGCCUGCCGGCGCCGUCCAUCCCCAUGCCUCCGCCCAUUCCGACCACCAGUCACCACCACGCUCCACUCCUCCUCGCCUUAUCUCUCAUCUUUCAUUUUUUUAUGACAUUCUCGAGAUACCAGUUUUCCGAUAAAAUUCUCGAGAUAUCAUUAGUUUUUACACAUGGGAUUACUCCUGCAUGGGUCAAUCACAACAGGUGUUCUGUAAAAAAAGGCAUAUUGAUGUUCCGUGCAAUGCACGAGAAUCUUGCUUGUAAUUAUAUAACGCAAAUCACGAGCAGGAAGUGACAUUUUUUUGACACAACCACGUUAACAUGGCCACGUAAAUCACUAGCUAAAGUAAAUACCAUUAUACUUAUGUCCCGAUGCAAAAGGUUGAGUACAUGUUCGAAGAGUAGAGUCGCACACACGCACUCUGUCUCUCAGAAUCUCUCUCACACACACCAGUUACGUGACACCCACUUAAGCAGACAUGUUACAAUUUGUGCACCCGCGGGUACACGUGAUGCUGCGCAUUUAUUUAAGCCGGAAGGCGAACCCAAACAGUAGCUGCAUUCAUUCCCCUCCCGCCGCCUCUUCUCUGGUCGCCGUCGCCUGGUAGCCAUGGGCCGGCCGAAGGUAACAACAUACGCCAUACUCCCGCCGGAGCGGCGCUUUAAUAUGGAAAUUUUAGUCGUCAUGCAUGCAUCUUUUUGUGCUGGCACUCCUAUAUAAGGGUUGACCGAUCGCUUCCCGCGGACGUGCGCGGGCGGUGGAAGAGGAAGGAGAAGGGAAGUGGGCUGUGGAGUAACGUUUUUUACCACAAUUUCUUAGGAAACUGAGUGCAAUAAUUGAGUAAUUUUGCAAACUACCAUUACUACACCUGAAACGGUUCAAAACCUAUACUCCCUUGCCAGCGCGCGCUUCCCGUGUGAAACGGUCAGCGUCGCCCUGGAGCGUUAGUGCCGCAUUAAUGCCCGGCCAGAGCGGAGGCGACCUCUCACUGGCGCCGGCUUUGAAGUGGCGUGACGGCCGAGAGAGCGCCGCUUCCCGGUGCACGCGACUGCUCCGCGUCGAGACUGGCCAUAGGCCCUGUUUGGAUCCAUGGGUUAGAGUUAGUUUGAGCUAGUUGGGCUCAAAUAGCCCUAAAGUAUCCAAGCAUGAGGGUUUAAAUUGGAGCAAGUUGCACCGAACCCACCAAAAAAAACUAUCCCACCCAAGAGCUGCUAACUGGAGAUAGUUCUCAUUGGGACCACUGAAAAAUCACUUUUCUCUCUCCAUGAAGUGCAUUUAUUGUCAAUCUAACCCUGUCACCCAAACACCUCUUUGGCUACAGUUAGUUCAGGGUUAGUCAUGAGUUAGUCUAACCUCUAGCUAAGUUAGAGUAUCAAACAGGAGCAGUAUAGGACAUGAAAGUUGCUCAAAGCAUACAGGCAAAUUCAUACGUGAAAGGAUUUUUUUCUUUUUGAAAACGGAACGUGAAAGGAAUUUUUUUGGAAUGCUCUUGGCAUGUCGCUAACAUGUGAUAGUUAACCGACCUCAAUAGAUGGCAGAAACGCCAGCCCGCCGCACUUUGAUAGAGACGAGGAGGGAGAAGCGAUACAGGCUGCUGGAUUACUAGAGAUAGGUGUCGCACGGAAGCCAGGAAAUAUGGUGAUAGCGUGGGUUAGCCAUGUACUAGUAUGACGUAACUACACUGGGCUGCCAUGUUUCGUACUCUUCCAGUCCACUGUGGAGAUGAUUGGUUAAUUUUAUAUCGCUGAAUAAUAUUAAAUAUUAUGAGUGCAGACGCUCCACCACGAGGUUCCUUGCUCCUUCUCGGUCGUCCGGAAUCUAUGUUCUUCCACUCUAUUUUUUACGUGAGCUUUGUUCAUCCUUUUGCCAACACGCGAGACAUCUAGCAUCAAGGUGCACGUGUUAUGCAAGGAUCGUUCCAUCUAUAUGAAGAACACGUGGGACUGGAACUACGAGACGGACAUGUACCCAGGAGUGGACAUACGAACUUGAGUAAUGCAGCGCAGUAAGUGAAGUAGAAAGGCACAAAUGGUAUGAACAUGCGUGGCAUAUAGGGUGUGUUUGGUUGUGUUCUCGUCUCAGCAUAGUUGUUCCCUCUUCAUGCAUGCUCAACUCAACACCCCUCUUCAUGCAUGCUCUCUUCAUGCAUGCUUCUAGUGUAUUUGUGCUAAACUAGUGUGGACUCAUGCACCCUCCAUACACUCUACCAAACACCCAAAAGUAGGUCGAGAAGGGAACUCUUGGGCGGCAUUUGUCUCUUACUACGUACUACCACUAAAUGUUGUACGUGCAAUGCACGGUGAUGUUAUGGAGUACGUGCCUAAGUACUCUACGACUACUAUAUUAGUUGGAGGCACAUAUUAACUUUUAUAUUUGUUUACGUGUAUGCCCCGAGACCUUCCAACUAGACGUGUCUUUCUCUCUAGGUCGCACUUUGUAUCGUUCAUACCACUAAGUACUACUGCAUGUGGUCUCCGACCCAGAAGUGGAAGAAGUGGAGACGCUCUACCACACUUUUUUUACGCUGGGCUCUACCACGCUGUUCAUGUCCCACUCCUUUCGCUGACGUGUGGGACAUCCAGCACGUGCCGUGUUUGGCACCCUUCAUCAUAAGAGUUGAAACGCUAGCAUUCAUCAGAAAUAAAAAAUAAUUAUAAAUCGGCAGUGAUACUAUUUUUUUGCGAACCAAUCAGCAGUGAUACUAUACCACGCGGUUUCCUUGCUCCUCAAUAUCGGAAAGAAUACUUCUGUUCGCCAACAUGUGGGACGUCGACCAUCCUGGUCCACUUGCCAUGCACGCAGAACUCCAAGGGAGAGUCACCCAGGUCAUCGCGCCGCAGUAACAAUGACUAAUGAGCCGUCAAAUCAUAGGCCCACUUCCCACUUUGAAGUUGCUCGGACGAAGGAACCAUCAUGACUUCGUUGAAUUCCGCUUCUUGAAGAAAACUACUGUACCAGCAGUACUGCUAGCUACAGUAGUUACUCCAACAGAGGCCUCCUUUCAUUCAUAGGAUAGGAAUAUGAAAAUCAUAGGAAGUGAGAUGACAUGCAUCUCAAUUCCUAUAGAGAAAGAGAUGCCAUUUGAUGCUUAGGAUAGGAAUUUUCCAUUUAGUCUAGGCUAAUGUACUGGUAAUUUGCUCUAAAAACUACAGUAGUAACUAGUAGUAUUGGUACAUGCUCGUACUCAGACACAGACACACACACUGACUACUAGUACUACUACUUCUCACAUGCUGGCCAGACGCCGUCGUUCUCCUUCCCGGCUUUGUCGGCGACACCCCACCGUGCUUGGAUUUCCGCUGACCUCUCCGCAGCAGCGCGUGCGUCCUUUUCUUUCUUGCGACGGUGGGCCUCUCUUUUCUUGAGUGCUUUCUGACUUUUCCGCUCCCUCUAUGCGGCUUUGGCCGCCUCUUGCUCUACCGCCCAUUCGGCCUUGGCAUCUUCAAAUUCCUCCCACGUAGUUGUGAGGUCGCGAGCAGCGAUGAACUCGGCACGGCGGGAUGCCAUCGCUUCCCUACCAUUUUGUGUGCGGUCGUGGGCGGCGAGGAACUCGGCGUGGCGGGAUGCCAUCGCUGCCUUACCAGUUAGUGUGCGGCGCGGUGGCAUGAACGACGCUUGGUGAGAGCUCUGGGGUGGAGUGGCCGGACAACCGUAUAGUGCAUUGGUUUGUCAAGAGCUCAAGGACAGAAGACGAAGCAAAUUUGGAUUCCCCUUCAAUCCUGGUCAUUUAUUACCGACUAAAAUGCAUUGGCGGUCAUCGAACUUGUCUUGAUAGCUCACUGGCUCAGCGUAUAGCUCCGUAUUUGUCUGGUUGACCAGUCAAACAGUCCGCAUGCGCCUCAUCAGCUCGUGUUCUUUAUCUAUCUACGCGGGCCUACCUAUCAAUGGAGAAAGAAAUACUGUAAAAACCAAAAUUAUGCGUAUGUGGGGAAUCAAACCACGGACUCAUCGCUGCAACGCACCCUCGUCAGCCAAAUGAAAAUGAAAUACUUUGCGCCAGACACUCACGCUCACGCUGUCAAAGCAUGCUAAUGCAUGCAUGUCGCCCUCUAAAUCAAAGUCCUGCUCAUGGCGCAACGCAAACGGCGAGCCCAUCACCUGCGCGCCCCGGCGGUGCCUGACAUUACUGUUUAGACGUUUGAUGGAGGCCUAUGCGAACGCCGAGCAUGUAUUCACCUGGCUCAAUACCAACGGUCAUACUCGGACCGCCUUGCUCAUGUAUAUCGUCCAUCACAACGACAAUCCAUAAAACAGCCUAAGCUAGAGAGGGUACUAUGGUAGUAUGGUACGGAGUAUGUACUAUUGUGAGCGACCGAUCUUAGUGCCACUGCACACCGAAACCCCUUCCAUCGCUAGCGCGCGCUUCCUACCUGAAACGGUCACCGUCUCUCCAGAAUGUCAAUGCCGCAUUCACCAGACUUAACUGCAGGUGCAAUUGGUGUGUCACUGACAUGCAGGCCAGAUGCCCGUUGGGCCCACAUGUCAGUAACCCAAACGCAUCUGCACUUAAGUCACUGAGGCAGCGUCCGCAUUCACGCCCGACGAACCUACUCCGGUGCCAGUUGUCCAUCUGUCUGCCGCGGCUCAUUGCCAUUCGCCCGCUAUAUUAACUUCAGCCCCAGCUCCCAGCCAUAGCCAAAGACCCACACUUAUUCUCCUCCGGUCCCUUCCUUCUGUCGGCACCAUUUCAACCAUGGCCUCCUGGCGCUCCGAAGCUCUCUUGGACGUACUGUCGCAGGAGCAGACGAGGGACAUCGGCGGCUCCGCUCCGGGCGCGCUCCAAAGCUCUCUUCGACGUACUGUCGCAGGAGCAAACGAAGGAGAUCGCCGGCACCCCCCGGCCGCCCUCCGCCGCCACGACCAUGAAGCUGGCGUGCGUGCGCGGGCGCAGCCGGCAGCGAGGAAGAGUAGUACACGGUAGGUCGCCGCCGCUCUGGAGGAGGAGGUUAUCGAGGCGGAUGAGGAGGAGGCAAAGGCAAUGGUCGGCUUUCUCGGGUUCAUGGCUGGACAUGGUGGUCGCGCGCCGGCGAUCGUUUAGAUUAGGUUUACAGUAGGUUUUAGUACGGUUUGUGCGAAAUAUGUAAUGAAUUUCGUCCAGUUUGUAGGAAAAGUUUUCGAAAUGUAAUGAAUUUCAUCCGGUUAAUUUGAAAUUUGCUUUGUUUGCACGAAUUUCGUCCGGUUAGUUCAUAUAGUUUUCGAAAGGUAUGCGGGCAGCAUCGGAUGGCAUCCAUCAGUGUCCUCGGACAUAUGCUGGUGUAAAUUUGUGGACCACCUCUAGAGAUGCCCUAACUAUCAUGCUAUAUUCGCUAACAAUCCUCCAUUAUUUGGCAGGGAACAGUUAUCCCUCGAUCAAAAUCAGAUCCGCGGUGUUUCGCACUCCUCCCGCGUAAGAGUGUAAACUGUUGCUUACAUAAAAAUGGAGCAAGUGGACGGCACUGUAGCACGUCAUAUCACUCGAACUAGCCCGCCUAACGAGCGGGAAAGCACCGCCCUCGUCAUUUUGUUCUGGAUUUCUAUCGAUCGAUCGCGCGAAAAUGUUACGCUUCGCAAGUUCUAAAGGAAAAGGCGGCACACUUACGACUCGUACGCGUCGCAACCCCGACAGUCCGGCUCGCACGCCGCUCACCAGAGGGGACACAGGUUGUCUUGCAAUUUCACUGACAUGUGGGACCGUAAUUGAAUAAACCGUCGAUAGCCGAAAUCUAAUCACUUGGCGGGUGUCGGCUGAGAAGAGAGAAACGGGGGAGGGAGAAGAGAUCGCCCGCCCGCCGCGCACGGACUCCAAGAAAUAUAUGGUGAUAAUGUGAGGUGGGCCAUGCUGGAGUCCAGACCGCUUCCGGAGCCCGCUCUCACCGCCCUGGCCCCUCAAGACGCCAGCUGCCCGCCGCAUGCAUGCAUAGCAAGUAGUACUCCUUAUGUGGAGGAGAGAGAGGCAUUGACAAAGUCAAGGAGUGGGCUCUGCAAGAGCCCAUCUCUACACGUGCUCCUAGGUAUUAAAAAAUAAUUCUAAAAAAGGCAUAAAAAACAAUUGUGUCUUAAAAAAAGAAAGGUAAAAAACAUUUGAGAGGAAAUAGAUAGAGAGAAAGUGAGAAAAAGCUGUAACCUGGGCAUUACAUGAGGAAGGAGGGAGUGGUGCACAUGCCAAGUUCACUGGGCUGCCGUGUUUCACACUCCUCCGUCGUAACAGUGGAGACAAUAGCUUUCAUAAAAAAUAAAUAAUGAAUACUCGUUGCUCGUCCUCUAUAUCGAAAAGAAUACUUUCAUUCGCCGACAUGUGGGACGUUGACCAUCCUGGUCCACCUGCCAUGCACAAAAUUAUCCUGGUCUACCCCGGUCGUAUCGCAGGCCCAACCUUUCCCACUGUAAGUUGUUCGGACGAAGGAACCAUCAUGACUUCGUUGAAUUCCGCUUCUUCAAGAAAACUUAUUGUACCCGCAAUACUGCUACCACACGCGAAGACUGGACGGCACUGUACCACGUCAUAUCACUGAAACCCACUAGGCCAAACUAACCCGCCUAGGUCAUCUUGCACGUUCUAUGUACUUUUGCUACGAUUUUCCUACCCUAUGAACCAAAUGAGGCCUGAAUGUAUGUCGACUAUUGUCUGAUCGAUCGCUAAGCCUACAAUUUUAGGAGCUAGGGCUAUUGGUCGAUCGACGAGGGAUAAGUAUAAGCGUACCACGAGCUCAUCAGCCCCAACGUUUCUCUUCGGUGAGUGUUUUGCAAGUACUAUAGCUCGCACAGUAGCUAGCCUACUAACACCAAGAAUCAUCAAACAAGCCAUGCUGAUAUGAUAAACAGUUCAAACUUACAUCUAAGCAUGACAUAUAUUACAUCAAAAGCUGGUGAGGAUACAUCUGUUUCCAUAACUCGGAGAGGGUUCGCAUGAUUCAUCGCAUGAUUCACUAUCAAACAAAAGUAGCAAGAUCCGCCCACACAAGACAGUGCACUAGCCCUAAGAUGGUUUGAUAACACGCAUCGUUCUGGUAAUUAAACACAGGGCAAUGCAAACUACCCUGAAGGAUUAGCGCGACCAACUAUUUCUUGUCAUCGAUCUCUCGAGCAAUGACCACAGCACGGACAGCGGCAUGGGAAUCGAUUUCUGGGGCGAUGUCCACAGGACUGACCGCGACAUCGGAAUAGAUCUCUGGGGCGAUGUCCACAGGAUGGACAGCGGCAUCGGAAUCGAUCUCCGGGGCGAUGCCAACAGGACGGGCCACGACAUCGGAAUCAUCAAGGACGUCCACCAGCACCUGCACAACCCUAACAUAUUAGCAAGCACAUUGCAAAUAAUCAAAAACCACAACUCUGGUAAUAAGCCAUUAUUUUUUACCUUGUGCAGCUCAUCGGGGGAUCUCAUCCCUCCGGGGGCCAUCUCCUCGUCCUCGAUGGGGGCCAUCACCUUGCCAGGGGAAUACCGCUUCUCAAUGGCGACUAUCUACUCAAACUCGGUCUUGAGCCUCACAUAGGUGGCAAUCAGCGUUCCCGGGGUAGGCACGGUGGGGCCCUUGCUGUUCUUCCAACUUUCUUUGAGGAGUUCGUCUGCCAACGUCCUCAACUCUUUGGCCAGUGCUUGUUUCUUGGAGUUCUUCGUCUCCAUGGGUUGGCCCGCCAACAUGGUCAACUCGUUGGUCGGUUCUCGCUUCCUGGAGAUCGCUGUCUCCAGUGGGUUGUCCGCCGGCAACUCUUUGCCUAGUGCUCCAGGAUCCAUCAAUGAACUGACAAACAAAAAGCAAUCGAAAGGAAACCACAAUCGCAAUGAAAACGGGAAAAGAAUAGGAUGUGAGAAUCGGUCGGUGCUUCGCAAAAAGAAGAUUCUUGGAAUGAAAAUAUAGCAGCAUAACUGAUUCGCCCACCUUUCCUUCAUCGGUACAGAAGAAAAAUGGCAGAAGUGAGUAGCUUGGAGUGAGGUUUCCUUCAAGAAAGGGAAGAAAGGGCUUGAACGAGCGUUCCAGUGAAAUGAUGGUUGCUUCGUCCAGUCCAACUUGGAGGCCACCUUACCACUGCUGGUAAAGGUGUGGGUUUUGUGAUAUGACGGGUCAUGACGGCCACACCGGGGUGACAGGUGAGUCUCGACUGUACCACCUCGCUGUGAUUUGGUGGAUGGCACGCGGGCCUGGAUGCUUUGAAAUGUCCCGCAUGUAGAUAGAGCGGCUAGUCAUAUAGGAGUGCUCAAUAUUGUGCACCGCGACCAAGGCGGAGAGGAAAACGAGAGAACUACGUAAUUAAUGCAUGAGUUUAAUUAGGGUAGUUUUGUAAAGUACGAGAUACAUUCCUCCAAUCGCAAAAUGCCUUGGUUCAUGAGAUUUGAGAUUUGAGCUCUAUAAACCGGAAGGGAGGGAGUACUGCACAUGGUGUAGUCUAGUCACUUGUUGAAAUCUCUAGAAAGGCAAAUACUCCUUUCCGGUUUACAGGGCUAUACUACUCCCUCCGUCUAGGUGUGUAAGUCAUCUUACGAAAACCAAAUAGUCCCAAAACACUUAGGCGCGGUGCAUUAACUUCUACCUUGUUUCUUGUUUCUUGACAUAUCAACCAAUAAGAGAUGAGAGGUGUGCAUGCUUUUAAUGACUUGCAAUGGCUAGUUCAUUGCAUGCAAUGCUACUAAUUAGCAAAUAAACAUUGGUGACCCCAGGAGGAAACGGUGCUAAGCGCGUGGACCUAUGCAGAAUGAGUAUCAACCAAUGGAUAAUGGAGUUUAAUUAUUAAACAAUAGCAAUUUUGUCUCAUGCAAGAGCCUGGCUAGUACUCCAAGGAACCGCACCACGCGAGCGUUCGCAACUUCCACGUUCGGGUUGCGCUUGGCUCUUCGCCUCUUCGAGAAGACGAACAAUGAUGUUACUCCUACUUCUACAGUAUCGAAUCCACUACUGCAUGUCCGUCCACCUCAUGCGGGAGGGAUAGCGUGUAGCGAAAGCUUCUACUUACUGCUCCUGCCUUUGCGUCUAUGACAGGUGGGCCCAACAGGUGGUUGGCCCUCCUGUCAUGCAGCCAAAGGCAGGUGCAGUUAAGGCACCGGAGCUCAGUCCGCGAGGGAGAGGGCGUUGUAGUAAUCAAAUUUCUCGGUCUUGUACGAGUUUACGCGACACAUCAAAGCACUACACUCGAUAUAAGUCUUUUUACACAUUUAAAAUGGGCUACUUCGUAUGUAGGAGUAGUCAUAUUCUGCUUCGUAUGUAGUCACUUGUUGCAAUCUCUAAAAAGACUUAUAUUUGGAAACGGAGGGAGUACAACGCAUGCAUGGAUGCCGUGACUUUCCUUUUGAUACUUGCAUGUGUUGAUUUGAUGCACCUUGCCAAAUUUUGACUAUAAAUUUAACUAACCAAAUUUCCAUGCAUGUCACAAAAAAUUACGUGGCUGUUUGGAUUGUGACUAUGUUUGUCUUAUGUUGACACAUUAUUUUUCCCACACUUGUCACACUUGCCUAACCUGAGUUGCUCAAAUUGUUAGACACACUUUGGCUUGCCUAAGGGAAUCUUGCCACAAUUUUUGUGUCUAUGACAUGUGGGGUUCACUGCUAAUAAAAAAAUUCUUGUCUUAGGUGUGGCUUAUAAAAAAGACUUAUAUUUAGGAACGGAGGGAGUAGAAAAUAUAAAUAAUAAUGCAUGUUGGGGCAACCCACGUUUCCGCUAAUUUUAGCCGUGGGCUUGUUCACAAUUUUUAUGAGGGGUUGGUUGUUCAUUUAAUGGAGGGACUUGUAGUACCAUACUUGAACGAUACAAAGUGCGACCUGGCACACCGUAACACCACUUGGAACAAGCGGGUAGCUAUCUCAAAAAACAAUCAACAACUAAAAAAACCGCGACCUGGCAUGUAGUAGUACACAAUUUUAAACGAUUGUUUUGAUGGAGUGAAAAAGGAAAACUACCCCACUACGUAUAUAUAGGCCGGAGCCUCCGCGCUUGCUUGCUAGGGUUGCUCUGUUCACACACUCUCAUCCUCUCCAGAUCUAAACAAGAUAGGGGUAGUAACACUGUCUUUCUCCCUUCAAAAAACACUGGCUUUCUAUCCUCACCGCUGGUUAUAGAUCCGGACGUAUCCCCCUCCACUGGUGAAGGGGAGGAGGGGCAGCGUUUAGGCCGUCGUCGACAGCGAGGGAGGAGACCCACUGCCGGCCGCACCGUUAUCUCUGGCCGAGCGCCGGCGCAGGAGGUCCUCCGAUCCCUUCGUCGUUGCCUGUGGGCGGAUCUGGCCUCCCGCCGCCCACCUAUCCACAUCCUGACGACCUUCAGGUAUAUCUUCGUUCGAAACCGCCUUAGCUCUACUUCCCCAGCUCACUACGUCGCUGCAUGUGCAUCAUUUUCUACCUCUCAACCCCUCUCGAUCGGAUGGUCCAACGUCACAUAUUUUUUUCUUCUAUUGUUAGAGGUAAAGCUACUUCAUGGAGUCGAAUCUUGUACUCCCUCCAUCCGAAAAUACUUGUCAUUGAAAUGGAUGUAUCUAGAUGUAUUUUAGUUCUAGACACAUCCAUUUUGAUGACAAGUAAUUCCGGACGAAGGGAGUACUUGGUUCAAACAAGAAAUAAAGUGGGGGUGGGGGAAUUUAGUAUGUACUCCCUCCGUUCAGAAUUACUUGUCUCGGAAAUGGAUGUAUCUAGAACUAAAAUACAUCUAGAUACAUCCAUUUCUGCGACAAGUAAUUCCGAACGGAGGGAGUACAUCGGACUUGGUACAAAUAGGAAGGAAAGGGAGUGAAAGUAGUACAGACUGGUCAUCCAACCGGCCUCUUGGUCGAAAAGGGAAAUAUAGGGGUAACGCUGUACACAGUGGUAUGACCAGGACUAGAUUUGCUAUCCACACAUAGGAGUAGGUGGCUAGAGUGAACAAAAAUGGGACCAACCCAGAUAUGUUUCUUGGAUUUUUGUUUCUCGGGGCAACAAACUAUGAAUCACCACUUUAUGCCCCUGUUUACGUACAUGGUGCUGGACUGCUGGUGCACCCACUGUCCCAUGCCCUUAUACCAAAUAUUUAGGCUCCGUUCGGAAUAAAGGGGCAGAAAACAUAGGUCUUGAUGAAAAUAGAGGAAUAGGAAAGGAAUGUAGGUAUAAAACUAUGGAACAGCGAACCGGAGGAAACUCUCAAGAGAAUGUGUUCGGAUGGACUACGAAAUGUACAGAUUUGUUUUUUUAGAGUAGCAUGCUUGGCAGUAUGAGAUGCUACUUGUUUAUUCAGCUGCACAGUGACUACUCUUGUCCUCACCUCACGUACCACACAUAGGUUGAUUUUUUAUUCUGGCAACACAGCACAGCAACCUGUCUAACGCAUGGCAGCGAGCGCCUGCCUCGGGCUUCCGCCCAAAAAAUGAGCAGCGCGUGGAUGUUUCUAAUCCUAUGGAAUCAGUACUACCAGACCAGCUUUCCUAUGAAACACUAUUCACCUUUCCCGUGUUCCGAAUGGUUGGGAGGGAAAGAAUACUGUAGGAAUUGUGUUCCUACGAAAAUCCUGCACCAAACCUGUGAACCGAACGUAGCCUUAGCUGUUCUUAAUCUAAUGUCCCUGGUAAAAAUGAAGCCACAUGCCACUUUUAUAAGCCAUGACAAGUUUAGCCAAAUGUUUUUGCCUGUAAUUGUUUGAGACUCUGACUGUUUUCUCUAUGCCUUUUUGUGCAAAUAGGGAUAUCCAAUUCACCUGGUUGCUGUUGUGACCUUUUGGUGCACUGCACAAAACUCUUCUUAAAAGAAGUGACUUUUGUGCUGUUUAACUGGAAUGUCAGAAUGGAACAGUUGGUUCAUUUUGGUGGAACUGCACAAAGGGAGAUUUGUGUUCCAAUCCUCAUCAUCCAUAUUGGCGCCAUAACCUUCCAUUAGGUAAGAAUGAUAUUUAAUGCAUGUGUUCAUCUCUAUUUUUCCGACUGCCAUGAGAAAAUAAUGUUGUUUUUUACUAGUACACUUGUACUCCCUCACUGGCAAAACCAAUUCUGAAUUAGAAGGCCAAUCAUGUACUUGGUUUCACCAACUGGUGAGGAGAAAGAGAAACAGAGCAUGAAGAGGAAGAAGAAGAAGAAUAAACAGUGCCAAGGCGAUCUUGCUGAAGCCAGAGGCCUCAGUCGAGGCCAUUCAAGGGCUCCGGCAACGACUACCUUACAUGUGAGACGAACCUCCAGGGAGCCCUUCCACUUCUGCUGUCUCACUUAAUUAAUUAGGAGUACUUAAGUACCACUAAUUUAUUACUGCCUAAUUUUCCUGUUGGAGUUAAACAAAUCUUUAGUAGGACCCUAUGCUGAAUCAUGUACGUGUGUAUGUUUUUCUAUGGAGGUGAAUCAUGUGGUGGAGCAGGGAGGGAAUAUUAUUAGUGUCAUGACAUAAUAGUGCUAUUGUUUUGCAUGUCAAUUUAUUGCCAUUGGUUCAAUGAGGCAAUGUUUUGCGUUUUGUCCAUCAUGAAUUUGAUGCUACUGUUUGAGUAAUAUGCUAAUGUCUUCCUAUCCUUUCUCACUAAGCUAAUGAAGGUUUCACCUUGUUCCUACUUGUGCAAACAGGGAUCAUGUUGUGCCAAUCAUACAUUUUAGUGGAACUACACAAGACAAUACAAUGAACUGUAUCCCAGCCAGUGCUUUAACUCUGCUGGAAGUUCUUGAUAAUCUUUCGAUAUAAUCCCAGCACUGGUAAACAAGAGCGAUUUCAACCAUACAUUUGAAGUGCACAAAAAUAUAUACUAUUGUGUGAUUCCAGUGAGUGCUUUAUCAUCUCUUAUGGGACUACAUGAAUAAGCUUUUUUUCUUAGGUUGGUAGGGGCCUAAGGCCUUCAUCCAUAUUAGUUUGCUGUCAUCUCUAUUUGUAUCGUGCUACUGUCAUGAGAAACUCCUUUAUCUUUGCACGUUAAAGUUUUGCAACCUAUGAUAAAUGGCAAUGCUUUGAGUGUUGAGUUGAGCUAAUUGGCACUGAUUAAAUAAACUAAUGCCUCUCUUUAAGCAAGAAUACUAUGUUGCUAACUUUACCCAUUAAGAUAAUGAGGGUGCUUCUAUUUGUUAGUGUAUGUUUCAUCAACUAGUCCCACUAUUACAGUAAUCUCACUCUCUCAAUAUAUGUGCCAACAGGGAUGCUCGAUUUUGGUGGAACUGCACAAAAACUUUGGGUGCUUCAUUGCCUCGACAGCUUCCGUCCGUUCCUGUCAGUCGCUAAUCUCCGCUUGCUUUCCUCAUUUGUUGUGAGUCGCUUGGCUUCUCGGCUUCCAGUCAAAGGAAAUAGUAAUUGAUAUGCUACCUCACACAGGUUGGUACUGGUCUUUAUCCUGAUUAUUGUGCCUGUCAUAUGUAUUGGUAAUUUGGUAUUGUGCUACUGUUUGUCGAUUUCAUAAAGGAGUAAUUUGGAGCCUGAACUCGCAGGCAAAUCAUUACAUCGGGUGAUUUCAGUAGAACUGCACAAAAUGAUCAGAUGGACAGGAACUUAUGCUGCUGCUAUGUACUCCAAAGUUCACUUAGACAAGCAUCGAUGUUGACAAGAAGUGCCUAUAUUCAUUCGAGUAUUAACCGGCGUCAACCAAUUGUCAAACUCCAAGUAUUAGGAGAGUGAACGCCAAAAAUAUUGCUUGGUGCAUAGCCCAGAAAAACGCAGUCCAGUCUUUGGUCCCAACUUGUGCCUUUUGGUUAUCGGCACAUAUGGUAGCAAACUAUAUGGCAUGGAGUCUAAAGAUUCCAGACAAGUUGGUUGACGCAUAUAUUCAUCUGGCACUUAAUCAGUCUUCACGCCAAGGAUGCUCCAUUUCAGUUGAACUGCACAAAAAAUUUGGGUGGUUCAUUUUCUCAACCGCCUACUUUCUCGUCUGCAAUGUAGAAUUUUGGCGAGAUACAGGACCAAGAUGAGCCAAUAAACUAGUUGGAUGAAAGUAGUGGCCAAGUUGCUCAAACCUCCCUCGGCACGAGGCCACUAUUUGAGGAUAAACCUACAAGCAAAGUUCAGAUUGUCUGUGCUGCCUCUUAUGUACUCGAAAGUUUACUCGUACAAGAACUAAUUUUAGCAAGAAGUACCUCUGAUUGAACACCAUUUACCAGUCUGUACCCUAGGUAAUUAAAGUUCGUCCAUGGAUCAUAUUGGCUGUGAUCUCAAUCAUUUGGAUGCAUAAACAUACUGAACAUGUGUAUAUCUGAAUCUUUUUGUGAAUUAUGUAUGAAUAUUGUCGUGUGAUCUAUCAAUCAUUUGGAUGCAUAGAUAUGCUGAGCUUGUGUAUAUAUGAAUCUUUUGAGUUGUUGAUAGUGAAUGUUGGCUAUGAAUAUGAACGUGUCCUGUGAACCUGAGUUUGAUAUGAAUGUUUACCUUUUCUGUUGUAUUUGUGUGUGAACUUGUUAGUAUGCCUACUGUGGGGUAUAAAACGUAGGUCUCUUAUAAAAGUAAUGCUGUGUCCAAUUUAUGUUUUCCCUUCUAACCACAUUAUAUAUAUUUAUAUUAUUACUAUUAUCGUAUAUUUAUAGAGACUUAUAUAUACAUUAUAAAAACAUCCCACGUGUUAUUAACUUAUAAAAGUAAAUGUUUAACAGAAGUUGGCAAGGAAAAUCCUGGUUGUUUUUUACUCACAGGCAAGGAAAAUCCUGGUGAUUGCGUACAAAAGCUUGCGAAGAUUUUAAGGACCAAUUUAAUAAUAACGCGCUCAUUUUUAUUUUGAGCAAUAAUUCGCUAAUUUCUUAAUUAUAUAUAUAUGUGCCUCUUCGGUUUAUUCUUUGAUAUUAAUUGCUCCUUCUAACAUAACAUUAUAUAUAUAACGAGCCCACCUAAUACGUGUAUUUCAAGGAAGUGCAAAUGGGCUGGGUUUUCUUAGAAAAUAUAAAUGGGCCUGAUUGAUGCGAAAUUAUUUGUUCACCCAGCCCAGCAAAUGGACUGUACAUUCUAGAAAACAUGGGCUAAAUAUAUGCCACAUUUUUGCAGGCUGACAUGUGGGCCAAUAGGUCGAAGCCUAUGCAGGGCGUUGUCAACUUGGUCAACAAAUGAUUGUGUCAUCCACAGCCAUUGGAUUUAUAUCCAACGGCCGGCAUGCACCUUCAAUCUCUCGUCUUCUUCCUCCAGCAUCGCCGGGACCGCCUGGUCCGGCCUCCGGCGGCUAGCGGCUCUGCUUAGCACGCAUCGCUGCGAAGCGCUACCCCACCGCCGGCCAGGCUAUCCCUCCACCCCUCGACACCUCCUGUUAUUCUCCACAGACUAUAGCCCCACACCGCAACAGAACCAGUUAUAACCCUUCUCCUCCUCUCAAUCUGCGACUCCACUGCCGCGUUUUCCCAUCUCCGAGUCGUUCCCGUCCGGGGCCUCACCGUCGUCCACCGCCUCGCUGCGUUCGGUGCGGCGUGGUCAACAAACGAGAGUCAUCGGAAGAGGACUAUACGUGGAGAGCCUGACGGCUGGGACCCACGAGGUCCAUGGUCGCACGCAAGGAAAGUUCCUCCUUAUUAAGCUGAAAGAAAUGUUUCCUCCACCUGACAGCUGGGACCCACCGGCUGUAUGUUCGCACGAAAGGAAGUGCCUCCUUGUUUUGCGAAAAAAAUUAUUCAUCCCGUUGGCAGCUGGGACCCGUCAGAUUUGGUGACUGACUUGUGGGCCUACUAAGCAGACAUGUACGCACGACUUUGUCAACUUAAUCAACAAAUGAUUCUAGCAGCUGGACCGUUGGAUGUUAAUCCAACAGCCGUGCUUCUUCUUCAACCUCUGUUCUUGCUCCUGUCUCCCGUGGGCGGCACCGUGGCUGUGCUGCCGUGCACCCGAGCCAGUGAAGUUUCCCAGUCCUCUCCAUCUGCGACUCCACUGCCCCAUCUUCCCCAUCUCCGGGUCGUUCCAGUCUGGGUGCGCUCGGCACGGUCUGGUCAGCGUGGUCAACAACCAAGAGUCAUCGGAAGAUGACUAUACGUGAGAGGCUGACAGUGGGGACGCACCACACCCAUGGACGCAUGCAUGCCACGGAACGCGGCGAGGUCAACGUGGUCAAGGAAUGACUUCCAUCGGAAGUAUACUGUACGUGGAGAGUCUCAGCUGGGUCCACGGCCGCAGCAAGUAAGUGCCUCCUUAUUACACGGAAAAUAAUGAUUCCUCCAACUGACCGCAGGGACCCACUGGACGGGCCACCGUAUUUUGUGAAAAAAACGUUCCCCCCGCUGUCAGCUCGGACCCACCGGAAGUGCCUCCUUAUUACGCACACAAAAAUGAAUACUCCCCCGGCUAGCUGGGACCCACCUUGGUGGGAGGCUGACUUGUGGGCCUACUAAGUUGACGGGGACGAAGGGCUUUGUCAACUUAGUCAAUAUGAACGAUUCUAGCUCCAGUGACCGUACGAUGUCCAUCCAACGGACGUAGUGCUUCUUCAACCUCUGGUCUUGUUGCUCCAGCCGCCCAAAGCAGCGCCGGUCGUGCCGCAUGCUCCUGCCUCCCGUGGCCGACUGUGCUGCCACGGAGGCCUCACUGUCCCCUACUAUUCCCACCGCUGGCCAGGCCCUGCGGCGACAGCAGCCUCACACCGCAGCCGAACCAGUGAACCCUCGUACUCCUUUCCGCGCGGGCUUCCACUGUCGCGUCUUCCCCGGCUCCGCGUCAUCCCCUUCCUAGGCCUCCCCGUCGUCCACCGCCGUGGUGCUCUCCGCGCGGCGUGGUCAACAUCGUCAAGGAACGACUUCCAUCGGAAGAGUACUGUACGUGGAGAGGCUGACAGUUGGGUCCACGGCCACAGCCCAGUUUUUUUUUGUGAUUUGCCAAGUAAGUCGCUUUGUCAGGCCUGUUGGGCUGCAAAUCUUUCAAGACGAGGAGAGCUUUCAUUCGGCUGGCAGAGAAAAUGGCCCAUCAGUAAUGAGAAAUGGGCUGUACAUUUUUAAAACACAUCAAACCAGCAAUUAGUUUCAAAUAUCUUUUUUUUCAUUUCAAGAUUUUAAAUUACAUUAAUUUUUAUGCGUGGAGAAUUUGUUGGAUUUUAUAUUGAUAUACAUUUAUUUUUUAAAUCAGUUUGAAUGUGAGUCGAAAUUUCAGGAUUAAAAACAGUUCGGACCGCACCGAAAUAUGCAAAAUUUCGUAUAAUUUUUUAACCGUGGCCACAAUAUGGGUUGUAAUGCUAACAAAAAGAAUAUGGGCUCCAAAAAGAACCUUAAUAAUUAGCAAAUGGGCUGUAAAUCAUUAGAAAUAAUGGCAGAUGGGUUGUAUGCUGUUUUCCACAGAUUUGAGGCUUUCCUAAAAAAAGGUUGACGCACAAGCAGUGACUAUUGGAUGGCCAUCCAACGGCCGUCGUGCUUCUUCAAUCUCUACUCUUCCUGCUGCAGCCGCUCAAACAAGCGCCGGCGGGACUGCCUGCUCCCUCCUGCCCGCGGCCGGCUCUGCUGCCGCGCAGGCCUCACCGCCCCACCGUACUCCCAUCGCUGGCCUAGCCAUCCCUCUACUCACCCACACCUGCUGUUAUUCUCCGGCGACGGCAGACGAACCAGUAAACCCUCGUACAGUCGUACUCCCCUCCGCGUGGGAAACAACUGUCGAGUCUUCCCUACCUCCGUGUCGUUCCCUUCCUAGGCCUCGCCAUCGUCCACCGCCCUCGUGCUCUCGGCGCGGCCUGGUCAACGUGGUCAACGACCGACAUGCAUCUGAAGUGGACUGUACGUGGAGAGGCCGACAGCUGGGUCCACGGCCGCACGCAAGGAAAUGCCUCCUUAUUACGCGCAAAAUAAUGAUUCAUCCACCUGACAUCAGGGACCCACCGAAAGGGCCUCUGUAUUUCAUGAAAAAAACAUUACCGCCGCUGACAGCUCGGACCCACCAGCUAUAUCUUCGCACGCAAGGAAGUGCCUCCUUAUUACGCACAAAAAAAAUGAAUACUCCCCCUGCUAGCUGGGACCCACCAUGGUGAGAGGCUAACUUGUGGGCCUACUAAGUUGACUGGGACGGGGGCCUUUGUCAACUUUAGUCAAUAUGAACGAUUCUAGCUCCAGUGACCGUACGAUGUCCAUCCAACGGCCGUAGUGCUUCUUCAACCUCUGGUCUUCUUGCUCCAGCCGCCCAAAGCAGCGCCGGUCGUGCCGCAUGGUCCUGCCUCCCGUGGCCGGCUGUGCUGCCGCGGAGGCCUCACCACCUCCUACUAUUCCCAUCGCUGGCCAGGCCCUGCGGCGACGGCAGCCUCACACUGCAGCCGAACCAGUGAACCCUCGUACUCCUCUCCGCGCGGGCUUCCACUGCCGCAUCUUCCCCGGCUCCGCGUCAUCCCCUUCCUAGGUCUCGCCGUCGUCCACCGCCGUGGUGCUCUCCGCGCGGCGUGGUCAACAUGGUCAAGGAACGACUUCCAUUGGAAGAGUACUGUACGUGGAGAGGCUGACAGCUGGGUCCACGGCCACAGCCCAGUUUUUUUGUGAUUUGCCAAGCAAGUCACUUUGUCAGGCUUGUUGGGCUGCAAAUCUUUCAAGACGAGAAGAGCUUCCAUUCGGCUGGCCGAGAAAAUGGCCCAUCAGUAAUGAGAAAUGGGCUAUACAUUUUUAAAACACAUCAAACCGGCAAUUAGUUUCAAAUAUCUUUUUUUCAUUUUGAGAUUUUAAAUUACAUUAAUUUUUAUGCAUGGAGAAUUUGCUGGAUUUUAUAUUGAUAUACAUUUAUUUUUAAAAUCAGUUUGAAUGUGAGUCAAAAUUUCGGGAUUAAAAACAGUUCGGACCGCACCGAAAUAUGCAAAAUUUCUGAUAAUUUUUUAAUCGUGGCCACAAUAUGGGCUAUAAUGCUAACAAAAAGAAUAUGGGCUCCAAAAAAACCUUAAUAUUUAGCAAAUGGGCUGUAAAUUAUUAGAAAUAAUGGCAGAUGGGCUGUAUGCUGUUUUCCACAGAUUUGAGGCUUUCCUAAAAAAAGGUUGACGCACAAGCACUGACUGUUGGAUGGCCAUCCAACGGCCGUCGUGCUUCUUCAAUCUCUGCUCUUCCUGCUCCAGCCGCUCAAACAAGCGCCGGCAGGACUGCCUGCUCCUUCCUCCCCGCGGCCGGCUCUGCUGCCGCGCAGGCCUCACCGCCCCACCGUACUCCCAUUGCUGGCCUAGCCAUCCCUCUACUCACCCACACCUGCUGUUAUUCUCCGGCGAUAGCAGACGAACCAGUAAACCCUCGUACAGUCGUACUCCCCUCCGCGUGGGAAACAACUGUCGAGUCUUCCCUACCUCCGUGUCGUUCCCUUCCUAGGCCUCGCCAUCGUCCACCGCCCUCGUGCUCUCGGCGCGGCCUGGUCAACGUGGUCAACGACCGACAUGCAUCUGAAGUGGACUGUACGUGGAGAGGCCGACAGCUGGGUCCACGGCCGCACGCAAGGAAAUGCCUCCUUAUUACGCGCAAAAUAAUGAUUCAUCCACCUGACAUCAGGGACCCACCGAAAGGGCCUCUGUAUUUCACGAAAAUAUGUUACCGCCGCUGACAGCUCGGACCCACCAGCUAUAUCUUCGCACGCAAGGAAGUGCCUCCUUAUUACGCACAAAAAAAUGAAUACUCCCCCUGCUAGCUGGGACCCACCAUGGUGGGAGGCUGACUUGUGGGCCUACUAAGUUGACUGGGACGGGGGCCUUUGUCAACUUUAGUCAAUAUGAACGAUUCUAGCUCCAGUGACUGUACGAUGUCCAUCCAACGGCCGUAGUGCUUCUUCAACCUCUGGUCUUCUUGCUCCAGCCGCCCAAAGCAGCGCCGGUCGUGCUGCAUGCUCCUGCCUCCCGUGGCCGGCUGUGCUGCCGCGGAGGCCUCACCGCCCCCUACUAUUCCCACCGCUGGCCAGGCCCUGCGGCGACGGCAGCCUCACACCGUAGUCGAACCAGUGAACCCUCGUACUCCUCUCCGCACGGGCUUCCACUGUUGCGUCUUCCCCGGCUCCCCGUCGUCCCCUUCCUAGGCCUCGCCGUCGUCCACCGCCCUGGUGCUCUCGGCGCGGCGUGGUCAACGUGGUCAAGGAAUGACUUCCAUCGGACGUGGACUGUACGUGGAGAGGCUGACAGCUGGGUCCACGGCCGCAGCAAGGAAGUGCCUCCUUAUUACGCGGAAAAUAAUGAUUCCUCCACCUGACAGCUGGGACCCAUCGGACGGGCCACUGUAUUUCACGAAAAAAACGUUUCCCCCUGACUGCUGGGACCCACCAGCUACAUCUUCGCACGCAAGGAAGUGCGUCCGGGCAAAAAAAAUGAUUCGCCCCCCUAACUGCUGGGACCCACCAGCUACAUCUUCGCAGGCAAGGAAGUGCCUGACAGUCGGGACCCACCUGGUCGAAGCGUACGUAGCAUUGUCAUUCUGGUCGCGAACGUGUACGUACAUACUGGUCCAUGUAGAGGCACGCACGUGUCGUAGUAGAGGCGCGCACGUAGCAUGUACACGUACAUACAGCGGCCAGUGUGCAAGAGAGAAAAUACGGCCACGUACGUACAUACGGGCAGGGUCUCGAACGCCUACUCGCGCAUACGUACGGCCAGGGCUCGUGUACAUGGCUGGGUCGGAACGGAGAAAUAGCAUCGUCGUCGUGUUCAUGGGGAGCCAACCGGCUGGGUCGGACCAAAAUGCGUCGUCGUGUUCAUAGGGAGGGCUUGGACGGAACAGCCGAUGGAAACGAGGCCUGGCGUACCGCAGAAUGGAGCAAACGGCCUUCUGUUCGACCGGCCACGUUUGAAACGGGAUCCUGUUCAUCGGGAGGGGUCUGGCAUACCGCAAAACGGAGGAAACGGACCUCCUACGGUCGAAACGGGGGUCCUGUUGAUCGGGAGGGGUGUGGCGUACCGCAAAACGGAGGAAACGGACUUGUGUUGGAGCGCUACGGUCGAAACGGGGGUCCUGUUCAUCGGGAGGGGUGUGGCGUACCGCAAAACGGGACUCCACGGGACACUGUUCAUCUCCACCGUCGACCCCCUCCUGCCUCCACGGGCUACUGUUCAUCCACCGUCGACCUCCUCCAGCCUCCACCUGCGACUGUUCAUCCACGGGCUCCUGUUCAUCCAGCCUCCACCACGCGCUACUCCACCGGCUACUGUUCAACCAGCCCUCUCCACGGGCUCCUGUUCAACCACCCCUCCAAGGGCUACUGUUCAUCCAGCCCUCCACCGUUUAUUCAUUCUGCCCUCCACGGGGUGGUCCUGUUCAUCCUGCCCUCCACGGGGUCCUGUUCAUCCAGCCCCAACCGGCUCGAUCGAUCGGGGUCCUGUUCAUCCAGAGGCAACACCACGGGGUCCUGUUCAUCCACCCCCACCGGGAACUAUUCAUCCAAACCCCCCUAGCAACGCUCACUGUUCAUCCAGAGGCAGCAUCGAUCGGCUUCAGUUAGCAGCAGUAGCGAAGGAAUGGCUCGAUCGGGUUCAGUUAACAGCCAUCGAUCGAUCGCUCGGGUUCAGUAACGCGUAGCCUGCAGUGCAAUCACUCGGGUUCAGUUAGAGCCCAACGCCUCGCUCGGGUUCAGUUAGAGCCAACGCCUCGCACACACGCGCGUACGUGUACGAGAGAAACGCGCAUCGCUCGGCCCCCGACCUCCCACCGUAACCGGGAACUCCCUGAAAUUUUCCUCGCCCUCGCUUCUACCACGGUUUUUUCCGUCAUGGACGGCCCAAAGAAUGUCAUGCAGCUGCGUCUCCGGCCUGCCCAGGACGAAAAGCCCAUUUUCUGUCAUGAUUUUUUGUCAUAGAAGUAGGAGCCCACCACAUCUAUGAUGAUACCGGGUUUUGUCACAAUUAUCAUCAUAGAAGUGUCAUAUGUAUGACAGAAAAAAAUCCGUUCGGCCCAAAAUGUCACGGAUGUGUCUUUUUUUUGUAGUGCCAAUUAGUGAGGAAGCUAAUGAUGAUGAUCAUGAGACUUCAGAUCAAGUUACUACCGAACCUCGUAGGUCAACCAGAAUAAGAUCCGCACUAGAGUGGUACGGUAAUCCUGUUCUAGAAGUCAUGUUACUUGACCAUGAGAACCUACGAACUAUGAAGAAGCGAUGGUGAGCCCAGAUUCCGCAAAAUGGCUUGAGGCCAUGAAAUAUGAGAUGGGAUCCAUGUAUGAGAACAAAGUGUGGACUUUGGUCGACUUGCCCGAUGAUCGGCAAGCCAUAGAGAAUAAAUGGAUAUUCAAGAAGAAGAUUGACGCUGACGGUAAUGUUACUAUCUACAAAGCUCGACUUGUUGCGAAAGGUUUUCGACAAGUUCAAGGGGUUUAUUACGAUGAGACUUUCUCACCCGUAGCGAUGCUUAAGUCUGUCCGAAUCAUGUUAGUAAUUGCCGCAUUUUAUGAUUAUGAAAUUUGGCAAAUGGAUGUCAAAACUGCAUUCCAGAAUGGAUUUCUAGAAGAAGAGUUGUAUAUGAUUCAACCAGAAGGUUUUGUUGAUCCAAAGGGUGCUAACAAAGUGUGCAAGCUCCAGCGAUCCAUUUAUGGACUGGUGCAAGCCUCUCGUAGUUGGAAUAAACAUUUUGAUAGUGUGAUCAAAGCAUAUGGUUUUAUACAGACUUUUGGAGAAGCCUGUAUUUACAAGAAAGUGAGUGGGACCUCUGUAGCAUUUCUAAUAUUAUAUGUGGAUGACAUAUUGUUGAUUGGAAAUGAUAUAGAAUUUCUGGAUAGCAUAAAAGGAUACUUGAAUUAAUGUUUUUCAAUGAAAGACCUCAGUGAAGGUGCUUACAUAUUGGGGAUCAAGAUCUAUACAGAUAGAUCAAGACGCUUAAUUGGACUUUCACAAAGCACAUACCUUGACAAAGUUUUGAAGAAGUUCAAAAUGGAUCAGGCAAAGAAAGGGUUCUCACCUGUGUUACAAGGUGUGAAGUUGAGUAAGACUCAAUGCCCGACCACUGCAGAAGAUAGAGAGAAAAUGAAAGAUGUUCCCUAUGCUUCAGCCAUAGGCUCUAUCAUGUAUGCAAUGUUGUGUACCAGACCUGAUGUGUGCCUUGCUAUUAGUUUAGCAGGGAGGUACCAAAGUAAUCCAGGAGUGGAUCACUGGACAUCGGUCAAGAAUAUCCUGAACUACCUGAAAAGGACUAAGGAUAUGUUUCUCGUUUAUGGAGGUGACAAAGAGCUCGUCGUAAAUGGUUACGUCGAUACAAGCUCUGACACUGAUCCGGACGAUUCUAAAUCGCAAACCGGAUACGUGUUUAUAUUGAACGGUGGAGCUGUCGGUUGGAGCAGUUCUAAACAAAGCAUCAUGGCGGGAUCUACAUGUGAAGCGGAGUACAUAGCUGCUUCGGAAGCAGCAAAUGAAGGAGUCUGGAUGAAGGAGUUCAUAUCCGAUCUAGGUAUCAUACCUAGUGCAUCGGGUCCAAUGAAAAUCUUUUCUGACAAUACUGGUGCAAUUGCCUUGGCAAAGGAAUCCAGAUUUCACAAGAUAACCAAGCACAUCAAGAGAUGCUUCAAUUCCAUCCGGGAUCAAGUCCAGGUGGGAGACAUAGAGAUUUGCAAAAUACAUAUGGAUCUAAAUGUUGCAGACCCAUUGACUAAGCCUCAUCCAUGAGCAAAACAUGAUCAGCACCAAGGCUCCAUGGGUGUUAGAAUCAUUAUUGUGUAAUAUAGAUUAUUGACUCUAGUGCAAGUGGGAGACUAAAGGAAAUAUGCCCUAGAGGCAAUAAUAAAGUUAUUAUUUAUUUCCUCAUAUCAUGAUAAAUGUUUACUAUUCAUGCUAUAAUUGUAUUAACGGGAAACAUAAUACAUGUGUGAAUACAUAGACAAACAUAGUGUCACUAGUAUGCCUCGACUUGACUAGCUCGUUGAUCAAAGAUGGUUGAGUUUCCUAGCCAUAGACAUGAGUUGUCAUUUGAUUAACGGGAUCACAUCAUUAGGAGAAUGAUGUGAUUGACUUGACCCAUUUCGUUAGCUUAGCACUUGAUCGUUUAGUUUACUGCUAUUGCUUUCUCCAUGACUUAUACAUGUUCCUAUGACUAUGAGAUUAUGCAACUCCGGAAUACCGGAAGAAUACUUUGUGUGCUACCAAACGUCACAACGUAACUGGGUGAUUAUAAAGGUGCUCUACAGGUGUCUCUGAUGGUGUUUGUUGAGUUGGCAUAGAUUGAGAUUAGGAUUUGUCACUCCUAUUGUCGGAGAGGUAUCUCUGGGCCCUCUUGGUAGUGCACAUCACUAUAAGCCUUGCAAGCAAUGUGAUAGAACACUCCCUCGUAUGUCAUGGGGUUAAUGUUGUAGUAAUCGUCUUCAUUCGGGUACGGUAGCUUACCAUGUGGUGACACCUUGAACACAACUUCCCAACCCUUUAGGUACUCUUUCUGUCAUGGGUAAGGCAGAUAAUAUACUUGUGUAGCUUGGGUAGCCGCAAUGAAGAGAUCGGCUCCGGCAUAGACGGUUGAUGGUUUAACUUCGACCAAACCAAUGGAAGGCUUAUGUUUUACCCCCUCCUGCGGAUCGAAACAUCGGCAUUUCAACACAGGCAGACAUAGGGUCUCGCGCCCCUUGCGGAAUUUAAUCUCGUAUAUAUUUUGUACCCUUCCGUAGUAGUCUACUGAAUUUUGACCGGGGGUGUACACUCCGGUAUUUAUAGUUUUGGGAUCAGGUUAGUUACGGGAUUUAUAGUUUUGAGACUUGCCGGUAACGAGAUUGAGCUAGGUAUUGAGAUACCGACGAUCAAAUCUCGGGCAAGUAACAUACCGAUGACAAAGGGAACCACGUAUGCUGUUAUGCGGUUUGACCGAUAAAGAUCUUCGUAGAAUAUGUAGGAACCAAUAUGAGCAUCCAGGUUCCGCUAUUGGUUAUUGACCGGCGACGUGUAUCGGUCAUGUCUACAUAGUUCUCGAACCCAUAGGGUCCGCACGCUUAAAGUUCGGUGACGAUCGAUAUUCUGAGUUUUUGUGUUUUGAUGUACUGAAGGUAGUUCGGAGUCCCGGAUAGGAUCACGGACAUUACGAGGAGUCUUGAAAUGGUCGAGACAUAAAGAUCGAUAUAUUGGACGACUAUGUUCGGACACCGGAAGUGUUUCGGGAGGUUUCAGACAAAUACCGGAGUACCNNNNNNNNNNNNNNNNNNNNNNNNNNNNNNNNNNNNNNNNNNNNNNNNNNNNNNNNNNNNNNNNNNNNNNNNNNNNNNNNNNNNNNNNNNNNNNNNNNNNNNNNNNNNNNNNNNNNNNNNNNNNNNNNNNNNNNNNNNNNNNNNNNNNNNNNNNNNNNNNNNNNNNNNNNNNNNNNNNNNNNNNNNNNNNNNNNNNNNNNNNNNNNNNNNNNNNNNNNNNNNNNNNNNNNNNNNNNNNNNNNNNNNNNNNNNNNNNNNNNNNNNNNNNNAGGGGCGGCCAGGGCGGCCGCGCGCCCCCUCCCCCUCUAGUCCGAAUUGGACAAGGAGGGGGGGCGGCGCCCCCCUUUCCUUCUCUUCCUCUCUCCCUUCCCUCUCCUCUCCUACUCCUACUUGGAAGAGGGGAGUCCUACUCCCGGUGGGAGUAGGACUCCUCAUGGGGGGCGCCAUAGGGGGCCGGCCUUCUCCCCCUCCUCCACUCCUUUAUAUACGGGGAGGGAGGCACCCCUUGGAGACACAACAAUUGAUCAUUGAUCUCUUAGCCGUGUGCGGUGCCCCCCUCCACCAUAAUCCACCUCGGUAAUAUCGUAGCGGUACUUAGGCGAAGCCCUGCAUUGGUAGCAACAUCAUCACCGUCAUCAUGUCGUCGUGCUGACAGAACUCUCCCUCGAAGAUCUGCUGGAUCGGAGUUCGUGGGACGUCAUCGAGCUGAACGUGUGCUGAACUCGGAGGUGCCGUGCGUUCGGUACUUGGAUCGGUCGGAUCGUGAAGACGUACGACUACAUCCGCGUUGUUCUAAUGCUUCCGCUUUUGGUCUACGAGGGUACGUGGACAACACUCUCCCCUCUCGUUGCUAUGCAUCACCAUGAUCUUGCGUGUGCGUAGGAUUUUUUAAAAAUUACUACGUUACCCGAUAGAUGGCUAGCUGCCUUUUCUCACCAUCCUCACCGACCACCUCAAUGUACCGAGACGAACCGCACUCCCUACAGUACUUGUCAUCUGCAUACUCGUGCCUAAACAAAAGGCAAUUCUUCGGGCAAACAUCUAUUUUCUCGUAAUCCAUAGAGAGUGCCUUCAUGAUUUUCUUUGUAUCGUACAUGCUUUUCGGCAGUUCAUGACCCUCACGGAGGCUGUUAGCCCAUACUCCCAGGAAUGCUUCGAAGCAUUUCUGGCUACGGCCGUACUCAGCCUUGACUGCAAUCAGUUGCGAGAUGGCAUCCAGCUGAGAUAUUUUCGCACCCGCAUAAAGAGGUUUCUUCGACGAGGCCAAGACCUCCAAGAAGGCCUUUGCGGUUGCCUUCGGGUCCUCCGGUUCAUUCUCUGAAGGUGUCGCAUUUGCCGUUUCUGCAACAAUGACAUCAUCUAGCAUGUCCCUGGCCCCGUCGUCCUCAUAUCCAUCGAUGCGUUGUGCAUCACCUCCUCUCUACCACGGUCCUGCUCGGCUAUGUUUAUCGGCGGCAUGUCAAAGUUUGGCAUAUAUCCGUGCGUGCGAAGGUGCUCAGUCAUGUCCUUCUGAUUUCUACGGUGAUGUCUGGCACAUCUCGCACAGGGGCAUGGUGGGAUAAUUCUCAUUGGACGACGGAAUAUCUCCUUUAAAAACACAUCGGUUUUCGCGAUCCACUCUGAUGUUACUCGAUUCCGACGGAUAAAACCACUAUACAUCCACUGAUUAUCUGCCAUCCUCUGCUUUUUUGCAAGCCACACAACAUAAUUAAGGAUUCACUUAAAUUAAUCACAUUAAAUUUUCAUUUUCUACCACGUUGAACCCACCUACAUCUCUAAUAGGUAAAGAUGGGUCCUAAUCCCACCCGAGGAUGUGUAGAUUGAGUACAUUCUCCAUUCUACCCUAUUCCCAGACAAAAUUUCGGUAGCACCUCCCCGCUGUUCUCCAGAUACAUGUCUCGUCAAAUAGCCGAGAGAAUGUGCUCCGAAGAACAAUGGGGAGGCGCCGCCGAAAUCCUGUCUCGGAACGGGGUAGAACAUGGAGAACAUACCCAAUCUAAACAUCCUCGGGUUGUCCGUGGAAAACGCUGGACAAUUCGAAAGAGCUGCGGUGAUAAAUAUGCAAUUGAAUGCAUAUUUAUCGAUGCAACCCUUUCGGACAGGAGACGCCCAGGUUACGCGAGGUGACAUGAGAAUGAAAUCUAGUGACAUGAAAAAAUGGAAGAGAUGGACUUGUAGCUCACCCUCGGCUGUAGGGGAAGGAGUCGAACAACGGAGGGAUGCUCAGGGACAAACGCGUCGGACGACGGUCACUCCGAUGAAAUGCAACACCACAAAGCCUGCAAAUUCCAUCGCGACAAAAAAUUUAGAACAUCACAACUCAUAGAGCAUAUUUAAAACAUUUAAACAUGCAUUCACUUAUUUUUGCAUCAUGUAGGCAAAAAAACUAUCAUCAUCAUCAUCUAUUCGUCACAUAUUCAUCAUCAUCAUCUAUUCGUCAUCAUCAUUGAUUAAUCUCAUCAAACCAAUUUUUUUGCAAUAUAUAGCAUCUCAUCGAACCACAUAUAUAGCAUUUUAACAUAAAACAUCAAAAAAAGCAGCAGCUAACCUAUCUAACUAAUCUAUCCAUCUAAACCCUAAACUAACUAAACCCUAAACUAACUAACUAAUCUAUCCAGCAGCAGCAGCAGGAAGCAGCAACCAGCGGCAACAGCAAGCACAGCAAGCAGCGGCGGCAGCAGCAGCAGCCUCACCGGUGAGGCAGAGGCGGGGUGGAGCAGGGCGGGGCGGCGACGGGCGGGGCAGUGGCGUCGGGGACGGGGCGUCCGAGGAUGGGGACGGUCCGGCCGAGGACAGGGACGGGCCGGGCCGGCGGCGACGGAGGAUUUGGGNNNNNNNNNNNNNNNNNNNNNNNNNNNNNNNNNNNNNNNNNNNNNNNNNNNNNNNNNNNNNNNNNNNNNNNNNNNNNNNNNNNNNNNNNNNNNNNNNNNNNNNNNNNNNNNNNNNNNNNNNNNNNNNNNNNNNNNNNNNNNNNNNNNNNNNNNNNNNNNNNNNNNNNNNNNNNNNNNNNNNNNNNNNNNNNNNNNNNNNNNNNNNNNNNNNNNNNNNNNNNNNNNNNNNNNNNNNNNNNNNNNNNNNNNNNNNNNNNNNNNNNNNNNNNNNNNNNNNNNNNNNNNNNNNNNNNNNNNNNNNNNNNNNNNNNNNNNNNNNNNNNNNNNNNNNNNNNNNNNNNNNNNNNNNNNNNNNNNNNNNNNNNNNNNNNNNNNNNNNNNNNNNNNNNNNNNNNNNNNNNNNNNNNNNNNNNNNNNNNNNNNNNGUGUUGGGGCGGGGGCGGGGCGGCGUCGGAGUUGGGGAAGGGGAUGGGGGCGGGGGCGCGCGGUGCAAGGCGGGGACUGGGGCGCGCGGAGCAAGGCGGGGACGCCGCGAUGCGGCCCGGGCGGGGGCGGCGCCGGCGCAGAAGGUGGCGGCGGCGCCGGCAAAGAUCGAGGGCGGCGGCGCGGGUGGAUCGAGCGGCGUGGAGGCACGAGUGGUCGGGGCGAGGUGGAUAAGGCACGGGUGGCCGGUCGGUACGUUGAGUGGAUAAGGCACGAGGUAUGUCGACGGUGUAACGGUCAGCAUAUGUUAACAGAACCUAUUCAUCCGGAUAGGCCGUCAGCAUACCUAGGACCUUUUUUUUUGUAUGCAUUAUUACUUACUCUAGUUAUGUCAUUAGUGAUUCCGUCAUAUCUGAAUAAUUCUUGUUUUAUUUGAACAAAUAGUAUCGUUGGUGCCAAAUUUCCACACCCAAACAUCUCUAUUCAUCCGGAUUUAUUUGACAAAUACUAUCAUGCUUAGCUUCAAGAGCUGCCGGAAGAAGAAGAAAGAACAUAAGGAUUUUGUGAGUUAGUUCUCAGGUGUUGGAUUUUGACUUCUUGAAAAAUAUUAACGCAAGAGAGCGGGUACAUGUAUAUACCUUUUUUGGGGGUGAAAUACCGCAACUAGAAGAACCCGUGCGAUGUUUCGGUGCCUGAGCUACACCCGGAAGCCCCACCGACCGGACUAACUCUAGCACUGUUGACCCGAUGAUCUACGCCUUUGACUUUCGCCGGACGGGCUUUAAAUAGUUGACUCUUCCACCUAGUUGCAAUAGGUCAGCACAUAGGAACAUCCCCGAACAGGGUCUGGACCCAANNNNNNNNNNNNNNNNNNNNNNNNNNNNNNNNNNNNNNNNNNNNNNNNNNNNNNNNNNNNNNNNNNNNNNNNNNNNNNNNNNNNNNNNNNNNNNNNNNNNNNNNNNNNNNNNNNNNNNNNNNNNNNNNNNNNNNNNNNNNNNNNNNNNNNNNNNNNNNNNNNNNNNNNNNNNNNNNNNNNNNNNNNNNNNNNNNNNNNNNNNNNNNNNNNNNNNNNNNNNNNNNNNNNNNNNNNNNNNNNNNNNNNNNNNNNNNNNNNNNNNNNNNNNNNNNNNNNNNNNNNNNNNNNNNNNNNNNNNNNNNNNNNNNNNNNNNNNNNNNNNNNNNNNNNNNNNNNNNNNNNNNNNNNNNNNNNNNNNNNNNNNNNNNNNNNNNNNNNNNNNNNNNNNNNNNNNNNNNNNNNNNNNNNNNNNNNNNNNNNNNNNNNNNNNNNNNNNNNNNNNNNNNNNNNNNNNNNNNNNNNNNNNNNNNNNNNNNNNNNNNNNNNNNNNNNNNNNNNNNNNNNNNNNNNNNNNNNNNNNNNNNNNNNNNNNNNNNNNNNNNNNNNNNNNNNNNNNNNNNNNNNNNNNNNNNNNNNNNNNNNNNNNNNNNNNNNNNNNNNNNNNNNNNNNNNNNNNNNNCGCACCCGCAUGAUUCCCCCUCCAAGUGAUGGCGGCACUGCCGUCCGUGGAGGGGGGCCCACACCACGGAGCCCCAAGACGAGCGCCUACGCAUGCCACAACACUUUCACACAUGCAUCGGGACCCGUGUGAUGUUUCAGUGGCAUAGCUACACCCCGAAGGCCACCCCUAAUCCCAGUUGACCAGGAGAUCUAGCCCUUUGACUUUUGCCGGACGGGCUUUGACCAGUGGUCUCUUCCACCUGGUUGCGAUAGGUCAGCCCAUAGCAACAUCCCCGCAACACCUGGUGGCAUUGCUACCCCUCACUACUAGGAAAAGGCCUACUAGUGGCGCACCAGUUUUGCCUACUAAUGGCGCACUACUGGUGCGCCACUAGUACCACCCCACUAGUAUUUUUUACUAAUGGCGCACCACUAGUGCGCCAUUAGUAUCUGGUAUACUAAUGGCGCACCAGGCAGUGCGCCAUUAGUAUAGGCAACGGUGCGCCAUUAGUAUGCCUCCCAGGGGGCCAUAUUUACCCAUGUGCUUUGCCAUACUAAUGGCGCACUGCGGGGUGAUGCGCCAUUAGUAUCCACAUUGGGGUGAUGCGCCAUUAGUAUGUAUAUUAGGGAUUUUUUUCUUUUCUGAUAUUUGCAAGGAUUACAAAAUAUAUUAUUGGACAGAAUAUAAACAGCACCACACAGCAACAGCAGAUUCAUCGAAUACAAUAGAAGAUUAGUCUCCGAAUACAAUUCAUCAUAUUAGUCUCCGAAUUCAAAAGACCAAACAAAGAUAGAACAUUACAAGUCUCGAGACCGCGAGUAGCGAGUUUGUCGAAAGUAAAACUAAUCCUAACAAGUCCUACUAAUCAUCAUCAUACAACUUCUACUCGUUAUUAAUAACAAGUCAUACGAUCAUCAUCCUGAUAGUCAUCGAACCAACCCUACUUAAUUGUUCUUAGCACAUGAUCAUCAGUAUUAGGCAGGACCUAAAUACCCUAUUUAAGGUAAAAUAGCAUAAAACAAUAUAGACCCUGACUCUCCAUUAUGGAGAAUGGAGAUCAUCCUGUCUCCAAUUCUUGCGCGGCGCUUCCUUUUGCUUCCAAGAACCUCCUUACGACUGUCCAUACAUUUUUUCCAUUCUCUGAUUAGCAUGUCUCCACUUCUUCUAGAAAUCCGGUAUGGACAGUUGAGAUUCGUAGGAUGACCUGGAUAUAAGUUCAAAACACGAAGGCUGCCAUUCUGAUACAGCAAAUGAGGCACACAAUCCUCUGGGAUUCUCUGUUGAAAAACAUAGUAAUAACUUCAUAGUUAGCAAUGAUGUACUAGUUUUAGAAGUAUGCAAAAGAUGCACGGAUGUCGUAAUAGUAAAAAAUCUUACCAGGGUAUCUCCAGGGUAGUUACCGUAGUUCAACACGUGCACUAGUGGCACGUAUUGACCAUAAUGUUGAGGAGUUUGAUUGUAGAUAUUGUAAUUCUCAAGAUCAGUACAAAAUCCGACCAGAUGAUUUUUCUCCUGAUAAGUUAACUCGGAGCCAUCGGUGUAGUGGGUUUUGUCUACCAUGUUCCGCACAUUUUUUGAACAAUCAAAAUAAGCUGUCAAUGGAAAUAAGUUGUCAACUAUUUUGAAAUAAACAAUAUAAAUUAGUUAAGAAUUAACUAUGUUUGAGAAACUCACAUAGCGGUAGAACUGGAGGCGUACCAACAAGGACCCAAAUGUCCAUAUUGUCUUGGUCGAUGUCAGGAUCACCAAGAUCCAUGGUGACAAGCAUACCCUCAUCAAAACCAUACAUCUUGCAAAAUGCUUCCCAAUUUUGGCAACCAAAAUGGGUUACGCUCUCAGCAUUAUACAGAUUUACUUCAAAAUCCACAUCAUGUUGUGUCCUUAGGUGAAUUUUCUUCGUUUCAAAAUUUUCAUGAUCUUCAAAAUCCAUCCUCUCCAAGACAUAGCGUCUUGCAUGGCAUGGGAUAAACUAUACUCGAAUUGUAAAAGAUGAAAUUACACGUUGAAAUAGUUGAAGUCAUGCUUAAUUAUGAAAAAAAACACUUGUCGUCGUUGCGUACCGUUUCAACUUCGAAGGUCUCCUCGAGCUUAAUGCUGAAGCGUCGAUCAUCGUCCAGGUGAGGCCUGUCGCACAGACCUCGACCGUCGUGGCACCAGUCGCACUCCCCCGGGAGACUUUCGUCGUCCGAUGACGACAUUUCCUAUGUUCAUAAUUCAAAACUACAUCAUCUCUGUUGGGUCCAAUAAGAUAAUCCACAGUGUGGUGAAAACAUGCCCUUCGAACUGGUUUGAGCAAUUGGUGAAUGGAGAUGGUCUAAGAUUUUCAGUAGUAAGAAGUGAAGUGGUAAUUUUGAGAGAAAAUGGUUAGGAUGAGUGGUUCCUCUUUCCUGUUUAGCUUUACAAUAGAAUAUUGUUAGUCAUGCACACUUGUGCAUUUUCAGCCAGGCCCAGUGGAUUUGGCCUAAAAACAUUUCUUUCUUUAAGCCUGCUACAUCCAUCUCAAGUAUUUAUGGUCAAGGGUUAGCAGGGCCAUCCAAAUAGAAUAUGUGGUAUGGGCUUUUUUAGUAGGUCAUCCUACCAGAUUAGGGUUUAUCGAUGACGAGCAACUGACAUUAGUAAUAACUAUGAGUAGAUAUCACACUUCUAUAUGUAUAACACAAGAGGCAGUUGAUCCUACUUAAUUAAGUACUAAGAUACCCCGGCCCAUGCAUUAGUCGCAAGUGCCCCAUAUGUCCUAUUUUUAGCAAAGUCAUGCUAAAAUUCACGGAAAAUUUCAGCAUGACCUUUGCUGAAAAUAGGACAUAUGGAGUGCCCGAAUUUGCCGGAACGGAAGUUAAUCGACAUUUUGGCAAACUCAAGGGCCUCUCGGGGUACAGCAGCAGCAUCACAAGUUGACAAAGACAGUAGCUUCCUUGCAACCCACAAAAGACAAAGGAAAAGGGGUGAAAAGGGGGAGAUGGUUAGCUUUGAUGAGCAGGCAGCAUCUUCCUAACCCCCUUCUUCUUGUCUCCUCUCACUAUGCUCAAAGAACAAUGGUAACACCAAAAUAUUGAAACCUUUGGUAAGCAUUAUAUUGCAAAAUAAAAAGAUAUGCAGUACUAUACAAUAUCCAUAACCAGAAAACAAGACAUGCAUAGGCUAUAUUUGAAAUAAGAUAUUCUGCCAAUCUUAGUUAACUGAAACUAUCUACAAUUCAUGUGUUCAAAAAUUCAGUUACAUUCAGCUGUUGCUGCAAGUAGCCAUUGAAAUGGACAUAAACCUAAUCACGGUCACAUCAAACAGCCAUGAGCUAUUUUGAUUUUAGUGUCUAUGAAUUUCAAAAAAAUUAAGGGAUGUAUCAUGAGACUCCAAAGAAAUAUCAUGGAUCGCAAAUAAGUCCGCAAAAAUUGAGUAAUCUCUGCAGUAUGCUACCCAGGACAAACCAUAGAAGUCAAAGAGAGUGCUAUCGAGGAUGCUAUCGAAUGAUUGUGAUCUGACAUGCAUGCACGAUCGCAGGUACUGAGAAGGCCCACUAUUCUGCUGAUGAGGCUCUCGUACUAAAGGUUAGGAGAUAAUGCAAUGAUGUUUUCCUUGGCAAGUUUACAUGGAGAAAUUCACACAGUUCAUCAACUAAUUGCAUAUUUGUGUUGAUAUGACUGACCUCCAUGUUAACUGCAGCAAAAAGCAAAGGACGUGCUCCCUUACCUGAAUGACCGUUGUGUUUAUCUAGUUGGUUAGUUCUUGCCCCCACAUCAGCUCUAUAAUUUGAAUGGAACCCUUCACUAUGUGUUGCCUAUCUAAUAUGUGUAUGCAUUUAAAUGUAGGAAUGAUGGGUUCCGGCAAAACUACAGUGGGGAAGAUAAUAGCUGAAGUACUAGGCUAUUCAUUCUUUGACAGGUUUGAACUUCUCUCUGACAACUGCAGCAACUGCUCAAAGCCAACCAAGAUCUUCUUUGAACUAACUUUUGAGUGAUCACAGCUUAGUUAACUGAAACUAUCCUCACUUUGUAUUCUUGCACCAAAUCUGUCCUAUACAGGUUGUAGUCUUACAUUCAGACACACAUGUGUGAAUCGGUUCAGAUAUCAUCAAUAUUCAGCAACAUCAAUUCAUGACACAUUUUUCACGGACAUUCAUUCGCAGUUGCAACAGAUCAUGCACAGCAACCAACAAUCUUCCAUGACAAAAGAUUAUUCACCUCGGUAUAGAUCAUGUAGCAUAUAGAUUGAGACUGGAAAAGAAAACAAUCAGAGAUGGGGGACAGGGGAGAGGGAGGGCGGACGCCGGCAGCCGGAGGGGCGAGAAGGGGAUGAGCAUACCUGCGCUGGACGCCGGUGGGUAGGGCUGGAGCUCGCCCCGGUUCUGCUUGAUGAUGGAGUUCGUCCGAUCCUGCAGAGAGAAGGGAAGGUGGAGGAGUCCGUCAAACGGAGCCAUAAAGAGAUGUGGGGCGGCGGGAAUGGAGGGGAGGAGGGAGGUCGAGGUGGACGCCGGCGGGUCAGGAGGGAUUUACCUGGCCGCCGCUCGAUUUGGCGCGUGGAAGACGAGGUGGGGCGGCGGGUAGACGGGCACCUUGGCGUGCAGGCGCUCGUAGUCGAAGAGGAAGACGGCGGCGGUCCUCCUGGGCGCCUCGGUUGGUCGUGGGGAGGCCGGCGGCCACGUGCUUCGCGGGUCGGCGCGGGGGCGGCGGCGCGGGGGAGCUGCAGUGGUGGGGGNNNNNNNNNNNNNNNNNNNNNNNNNNNNNNNNNNNNNNNNNNNNNNNNNNNNNNNNNNNNNNNNNNNNNNNNNNNNNNNNNNNNNNNNNNNNNNNNNNNNNNNNNNNNNNNNNNNNNNNNNNNNNNNNNNNNNNNNNNNNNNNNNNNNNNNNNNNNNNNNNNNNNNNNNNNNNNNNNNNNNNNNNNNNNNNNNNNNNNNNNNNNNNNNNNNNNNNNNNNNNNNNNNNNNNNNNNNNNNNNNNNNNNNNNNNNNNNNNNNNNNNNNNNNNNNNNNNNNNNNNNNNNNNNNNNNNNNNNNNNNNNNNNNNNNNNNNNNNNNNNNNNNNNNNNNNNNNNNNNNNNNNNNNNNNNNNNNNNNNNNNNNNNNNNNNNNNNNNNNNNNNNNNNNNNNNNNNNNNNNNNNNNNNNNNNNNNNNNNNNNNNNNNNNNNNNNNNNNNNNNNNNNNNNNNNNNNNNNNNNNNNNNNNNNNNGAGGGCGUCCGAGCUCGUCCGGGUCCUCGUAGUCGAAGAGGAAGACGGCGGCGGCCCUCCUGGGCGCUUCGGUUGGUCGUGGGGAGGCCGGCAGCCACGUGCUUCGCGGGUCGGCGCGGGGGCGGCGGCGCGGGGGAGCUGCAGUGGUGGGGGGCGGCGGGGGUGGAGUCCGGCGGGGGUCGGGGCGGCGGCGUCGUGGGUCAGGUGAGCGCGCGGGUGGACUGGCAAGGGAGAGGGACGAAGGGGAUCUGGCGAGGGAGAGGGAGGAAUUAGCUAGGGGGGAAACUUACUAAUGGCGCACCCCGAAGCGGUGCGCCAUUAGAAUGUUUUUUUUAGAUAGCAAUGGCGCACCCACGAUCGGUGCGCCAUUAGUAAUCUUUUCUUUUAUAUAGCAGUGGCGCACCAGCCAGUGGUGCGCCAUUAGUAAUCUUUUUUUUAUAUAGCAAUGGCGCACCAGCCAGAGGUGCGCCAUAAGUAAUUUUUUUAUUAUUAUUUUUUGUUGCAUCUAAUAAUUUUUUAGAAAAUGAAUAUGAAACAGUAAUAAUUUUUUUAUAAAAACAGUAAUAAUUUUUUUUUAAAUAUCAUCAAAUUUGUUAUUUGAAAAUAUUUAUGAAUAUGAAAAAAUAUCAUCAAAUUUAUUAUUUGAAAAUAUCAUCAAAUUUGUUAUUUGAAAAUGUAAUCAAAUUUGUUUUUUUGCAAUUUUAGUUGCAUUCAUUUGUGACGGUGGAGCGGGCCGGGGAGGGUGCGGGGGGUCGUCGGCGGCGGUGGAGCGGCCGGGGANNNNNNNNNNNNNNNNNNNNNNNNNNNNNNNNNNNNNNNNNNNNNNNNNNNNNNNNNNNNNNNNNNNNNNNNNNNNNNNNNNNNNNNNNNNNNNNNNNNNNNNNNNNNNNNNNNNNNNNNNNNNNNNNNNNNNNNNNNNNNNNNNNNNNNNNNNNNNNNNNNNNNNNNNNNNNNNNNNNNNNNNNNNNNNNNNNNNNNNNNNNNNNNNNNNNNNNNNNNNNNNNNNNNNNNNNNNNNNNNNNNNNNNNNNNNNNNNNNNNNNNNNNNNNNNNNNNNNNNNCGGCGGCGGUGGAGCGGGGGAGGGUGCGGGGGGUCGGCGGCGGCGGCCGGUGGAGCGGGGUAGAGGGUGCGGGGGGUGCUCGACGGCGAGGGGGCCGGAUCUGGCGAGGUGGGAUAGCGAUCGAGAUGGAGGGGGAUCGAGAUCAAGUGUCCAUGAAAUAUACACUAAUGGCGCACCGGGGAACAGUGCGCCAUUACUAGUUUAAACUAGUAAUGGCGCACUAUACACUGGUGCGCCAUUAGUAGUUUUGCAAGUGCGCCAUUAGUAGUUUUGCAAAAAAAAAAGAAAUAAAAAAUAUAUAGCAGUGGCGCACUAUGAGGCCGGUGCGCCAUUACUAGUUAGAACUAGUAAUGGCGCACUGUGACCUGGUGCGCCAUUAGUAUGUUUGGAAAAAAAAUUGUUACUAGUGGCGCACCAUGUGUCUGGUGCGCCAUUAGUGUCUUUCACACUAAUGGCGCACCAGCACAUGGUGCGCCACUGCUAUAUAGUAGUGGCGCACCACAUGUCUGGUGUGCCAUUAGUGGCCAUUCCAUCUAUAGCCCUUUUCCUAGUAGUGCCUCCAGGUACACCGUCUCAUCUAAACCUGACACAGACGACCGCCGGGUCUAGCCCUUUGACUUUCGCCGGACGGGGUUUGACUGGUGGACCUUUUCACCUGGUUGUCAUAGCCCAGCCCAUAGCUACACCCCCAACACCGUCCCGGCCCAACCCACCCCAAUAUUCCCUCCAUGUCGGCCCAACGUGGCUGUUUCCCCCUCCGUGACACGGCGGCAGCGACGCCCGUGAGGGGGGCACACCCCGGAGCAGCGUGUCGGGUGCCUGCGCCUGCCACCAUGCUUCCACAACCGUAGGAGGACCCACCGCAACAGCUGGCGGCAUUGCUACCCCCCAGGUACCCCGUCCCUGUAAAGUCAAAGGGCUAGAUCUCAUGGUCAAACACUACAGGGUUAGGCGGGACGGGGGCCCUGGGGGGUAGCAAUGCCACCGGAGCGUCGCACCAGGCCCUCAUACAUGCAGGGUGGUGUGGUGGCAUGUCUGAAUAGGCGGCACGCGUCUCCGGGGUGUGGCCCCCCUCAUGGCUGGCGCCGGUGCCCGCAACUAGAGGGGGAAAACGGACACGUCGGGUCUACACGGAGGGGAUCUUGCUGUGGGUUUGGCCCGGAUGUUGCUCCAAAGUGUUCCUAUGGGCUCACCUAACACAACCGGGUGGAGAGUUCCACUGGUCAAAGCCCGUCCGUGUAAAGUCAAAGGGCUAGAUCCCGUGGUCAUACGCUCUAGGGUUAGGCGGGACGNNNNNNNNNNNNNNNNNNNNNNNNNNNNNNNNNNNNNNNNNNNNNNNNNNNNNNNNNNNNNNNNNNNNNNNNNNNNNNNNNNNNNNNNNNNNNNNNNNNNNNNNNNNNNNNNNNNNNNNNNNNNNNNNNNNNNNNNNNNNNNNNNNNNNNNNNNNNNNNNNNNNNNNNNNNNNNNNNNNNNNNNNNNNNNNNNNNNNNNNNNNNNNNNNNNNNNNNNNNNNNNNNNNNNNNNNNNNNNNNNNNNNNNNNNNNNNNNNNNNNNNNNNNNNNNNNNNNNNNNNNNNNNNNNNNNNNNNNNNNNNNNNNNNNNNNNNNNNNNNNNNNNNNNNNNNNNNNNNNNNNNNNNNNNNNNNNNNNNNNNNNNNNNNNNNNNNNNNNNNNNNNNNNNNNNNNNNNNNNNNNNNNNNNNNNNNNNNNNNNNNNNNNNNNNNNNNNNNNNNNNNNNNNNNNNNNNNNNNNNNNNNNNNNNNNNNNNNNNNNNNNNNNNNNNNNNNNNNNNNNNNNNNNNNNNNNNNNNNNNNNNNNNNNNNNNNNNNNNNNNNNNNNNNNNNNNNNNNNNNNNNNNNNNNNNNNNNNNNNNNNNNNNNNNNNNNNNNNNNNNNNNNNNNNNNNNNNNNNNNNNNNNNNNNNNNNNNNNNNNNNNNNNNNNNNNNNNNNNNNNNNNNNNNNNNNNNNNNNNNNNNNNNNNNNNNNNNNNNNNNNNNNNNNNNNNNNNNNNNNNNNNNNNNNNNNNNNNNNNNNNNNNNNNNNNNNNNNNNNNNNNNNNNNNNNNNNNNNNNNNNNNNNNNNNNNNNNNNNNNNNNNNNNNNNNNNNNNNNNNNNNNNNNNNNNNNNNNNNNNNNNNNNNNNNNNNNNNNNNNNNNNNNNNNNNNNNNNNNNNNNNNNNNNNNNNNNNNNNNNNNNNNNNNNNNNNNNNNNNNNNNNNNNNNNNNNNNNNNNNNNNNNNNNNNNNNNNNNNNNNNNNNNNNNNNNNNNNNNNNNNNNNNNNNNNNNNNNNNNNNNNNNNNNNNNNNNNNNNNNNNNNNNNNNNNNNNNNNNNNNNNNNNNNNNNNNNNNNNNNNNNNNNNNNNNNNNNNNNNNNNNNNNNNNNNNNNNNNNNNNNNNNNNNNNNNNNNNNNNNNNNNNNNNNNNNNNNNNNNNNNNNNNNNNNNNNNNNNNNNNNNNNNNNNNNNNNNNNNNNNNNNNNNNNNNNNNNNNNNNNNNNNNNNNNNNNNNNNNNNNNNNNNNNNNNNNNNNNNNNNNNNNNNNNNNNNNNNNNNNNNNNNNNNNNNNNNNNNNNNNNNNNNNNNNNNNNNNNNNNNNNNNNNNNNNNNNNNNNNNNNNNNNNNNNNNNNNNNNNNNNNNNNNNNNNNNNNNNNNNNNNNNNNNNNNNNNNNNNNNNNNNNNNNNNNNNNNNNNNNNNNNNNNNNNNNNNNNNNNNNNNNNNNNNNNNNNNNNNNNNNNNNNNNNNNNNNNNNNNNNNNNNNNNNNNNNNNNNNNNNNNNNNNNNNNNNNNNNNNNNNNNNNNNNNNNNNNNNNNNNNNNNNNNNNNNNNNNNNNNNNNNNNNNNNNNNNNNNNNNNNNNNNNNNNNNNNNNNNNNNNNNNNNNNNNNNNNNNNNNNNNNNNNNNNNNNNNNNNNNNNNNNNNNNNNNNNNNNNNNNNNNNNNNNNNNNNNNNNNNNNNNNNNNNNNNNNNNNNNNNNNNNNNNNNNNNNNNNNNNNNNNNNNNNNNNNNNNNNNNNNNNNNNNNNNNNNNNNNNNNNNNNNNNNNNNNNNCUAACACAACCGGGUGGAGAGGUCCACUGGUCAAAGCCCGUCCGUGUAAAGUCAAAGGGCUAGAUCUCGUGGUCAAACGCUACACGGUUAGGCAGGACGGGGGCCCUGGGGUAGCAAUGCCACCGAAGCAUCGCACCGGGCCCUCAUACAUGCGGGGUGGUGUGGUGGCAUGUCCGAAGAGGCGGCAUGCGUCUUCGGGGUGUGGCCCCCCUCACGGACGGCGCCGCCGCCGGCACCUGGAGGGGGGAAACGGACGCGCCGGGUCUACACGUAGGGGAUCUUGCUGUGGGUUUGGCCAGGAUGUUGCUCCAAAGUCUUCCUAUGGGCUGACCUAACACAACCGGGUGGAGAGUGUAGGGGAACGCAGCAGAAAACAAAAAUUUUCCGACCUACGCACCAGCCCAGGACCACUAUGGAGACUGCAUACAUGGUUUGAUCUUUUUCGUUACCGACUCGUAGCGCAGCGGGAAGUAGAGUCGAUGACGAUCGGCGGUGCAGAUCCCCGCAGCUAGGAUUUACAACCUCCCAACCGCGAGGAUGUAUACCCUCAUCUGCUCCUCAGACAGCCCUCCGGGAGGCGGUCGAACAGCCCCCCGGACGGUGUCGCGGACAGCCCUUCGGGAGGACCUUCGAAACUCGAACGGUCACUCGGACAGCCCUUCGGGAGGACCUUCGAAACUCGGACGGUCACACGGACAGCCCUUCGGGAGGCACUCACGAACUAUGACCGAAACUACGAUCUCUCUACAGAGUUGCACACAUACGGUGUCAUCUAUCCAACAGGGCUUCGCCGUCCAGAACUAGUUCCUGCCGGAACCCAGACAGCCUUACGGCUCUACGAAACUCUUUUCGUGGGAGGGAGAGAAGAAGCCAGAUAAUGCAUGGCAUGUGUAUGAGAGCAAGGGAUGAGUGUGGAGGGCUGCCCCUCCACCUCUAUUUAUAGGAAAUCCCAAGGGGGUAGGGUAGUUUCACAAAAAACCCAAAAUGCACAUGAAUGAAGUCCUUCCACAAGGACCUAGGAGUGAAACCAAGGAACUAGAGGGUCCCCAAGGGGGGAUACCCCAUGUGGCAGGCCACACCCCCAUGAGGGGCCCCAAAAAUGGCUCCUAUCCAUCCAUGUCAUCCCCAAGAUCUUUUGGAGCAAAGCCCCAAAAGGUGGCUUUCCAUAAAGUAACCAUAAAGCUGAUUUUCACUAUUCACGACGACAUUUUUCAGCGUCUGAUCGAACUGAAAAUAUUUAUGUGGGCUAAGAACAUUUCCAGUACCCACUAAAAUGAUUUUCAACGCGUUCCGAAACAAUUCCGGUUUUAGUGAUUUUCAUCUGCGAAACGCAUCUGAAGUGGCUCCGGCAGCUCCGGAACAUUUCCGGUUUUUAUCUCAGAAAAUUCCAAAAAGCUUCCAGAAUGAUUCUGGCAUCCUCCAAGAAUUAUCAGGCAUGUGCCGAAACCAAUUUGACUUAAUGGUGUAUCCCGAAACAACUUUUCGGUAUCAUCGAAACUUAUCCGAUGACCUCUCUCUGCGGUACGAUUCCGCUGUGCGAAACUUUUCGGUGUCCGAAACUUUUUCGGUGAUUUUCUCUCAGACUCCCUGUCUAGUAUUCAGCAGAUAGAUGACCCUUAAGCGUGUGACCCUAUAGGUUCGGUGAAGUAUAGACAUGACCCGGAACCCCUUCCGAUCAAUGAUCAACAUCGGAGCCGUGGACACCCAUAUUGACCCCUAUACCCACACGAAUAAAUAUUCGAGUGAACCUCCAGUUGCCAUGUGCUAUUCCUGUUGCUUCGCGAUAUGUUACAAAUACCCGAGGUGAGACAUGUUGGCAUUCCUGUGGAUCAACAACUUGUCCACUAUGCUAGCUACCUCGUUACCGGUAUUGUUCUCUUUUCUCGUUAUCGUGUUCCGGCAUCCCCGUGAUCAAAUCACAAAGUGUCUGGCCAGACGAUGAUGGAUACCGUAACACCGAGAGGGCCCAGAGAUAUCUCUCCAUCGUCGGAGGAGCAAAUCCCAAUCUUGAGCUAUCAAGUUACUUGACACACUUUUCCAUGAACCCGUAAGCCGCCGUAAUAGCCACCCAUUUACGGAUGACGUUUAACAAACCCCAAAGUUCAUGAAGCAAGCAUGAAGAAACUCGAUACUCUCAUGGUCUAAGGAAUCAUGCAAACGUUAACCAUCUCUGUGUUAUGUACCAAUAAACUUGUGACGAAUGAAUCUCAUAGCAUAACAUCAUGCCGGGUCGAUUCAACACAAAUGUUCUCUUAACAUUGUGACCUCAAGGUUGCUGACAUAGACAUGCCCAUGAUCAGGAAAACAUAACCAUCAUGCAACACUUGAGCUAGUCUUAGAGGCCAGACUAGGAAUACAUUUUACCGUUUAUUAUUCCACACGUGCAUAUGAGUCUUCCUCCGAGCCUCGUGAUUAUUGCAGACUCGAGAACCAUAGCAGUUAUAGCAUGGAACAUAAACAUAAUUAUGAACUCGGAGAUAAAUAAUAUCAUUUAUUAUUGCCUCUAGGGCAUAUCUCCUACAGAGAGGUCCACUGGUCAAGGCCCGUCUGUGUAAACUCAAAGGGCUAGAUCUCAUGGUCAAACGCUACAGGGUAGGCGAGACGGGGGCCCUGGGGGUAGCAAUGCCACCGGAGCAUCGCACCGGGCCCUCAUACAUGCUGGGUGGUGUGGUGGCAUGUUCGAAGAGACGGCAUGCGUCUCCGGGGUGUGCCCCCCCUCCAAGUGACGACGGCACUGCCUUGCGUGGAGGGGGGCACACCGCGGAGCCCCAAGACGGGCAUCUACGCAUGCCUGAACACUUUCACAUAUGCAUCGGGACCCGUGCGAUGUUUCGGCGGCAUAGCUACACCCCGAAUCCCCCCACUAACCAGACUCCCUCCGUGUCAACCGUUUCCCCCUCCGUGACACGGCGACAGCGACGUCCGUGAGAAGGGAAAUCGAUAUACCAUCGAGGUAUGUUUUUUGUUUAGAUAAGGCACAUUUAUCUUGUGGAAAAAUAAAAAAAAUAAAAAUAAUAUAAAGUAAAAAUAAAAAUAAUAUGCCGACGGCACGGCACGGCCCGUCGGCAUAGCUGCGCACACGGAGGUACAAUCCCAUGGAUCGAUGACGUGGCACCGCAUGCGGAUCGAUGACGUGGCAUGCUAGGUCUAUGUCGACGGCUACGCCGUAGGCAUAUCUCUGCCACACAACGCCCCUCCCCCCCCACUCCCUCGGAUCGAUGACGUGUCAACGACGCGGAUAGGUGAUGUCAGCAAAUCUAUGCCUAUGACCUAGCCAUCGGCAUAGAUAUGCCGACGGCCGCCGUUACCUCCCGUCAUCAUAGUUUCGACGCCGUCAAACGGUCAUCGCUGAACGGGUAGGUGGGCCCGGGCUAUGCCGACGGGCCCCGUAGACGUACCUCCAGCGGUCCCGACGGCCUCAUUAUGCCGACGGCCCCGUCAGCAUAGAUAGACGUAUGCCGACGGCAUUUCUACGCCUACGACCUGGCCUGGGCCGUCGGGAUAGGCGUAUCUAUGCCGACGGGGGCCGUCGGCAUAGAUGAGGCCGUCGGCGUAAGCGGGUAUUCUGGUAGUGCGUCCAGUCACUCUAUGAAAAGUUUCAUUGUUUGCAUAUAGAUUUAUAGAAUCAGUUGACGCAAGCUACCCUUCAAGUCUUCCCUAGUCACUAUGAAAAGCAGUAAUCCUGCCUUUUCGUCCAAAAAAAAGUCUUCUCUAGUUAACUUCACUACUGAAAUCGACGAAGCUGCCUAGUGCUGUAUCUUUGCCGAGUAUUUUUCAUCGGGAGCUUGGCGUUGAAAACUUGCAAUUCGAUAAAAACUCGAGAAAGUUGUGGUGGCGAACUAAAAACUCGGCAAUGAAAUCUGUUCACCUAGUGCAGGGAAAAACAAAGUCCAACAUUUGCCCGACCGUACUCAAUCACUCAUCGCUCGAAAAAGUAUAGCGAUUUCCUUGUAAAAAAAGCACGACUGAGAUAUUCUUCCUUAACAAGGAUCAAACUCCUCUAUGGGAGAAAGAGAGGAAGGAUUAAAGUUAAAAAAUAGCAAAAAUACGGUUCAGAGUUUUUUUUGCCUUGAUUUUUUGCGAGAUCUUAUGAGUUUCACCUCUAGCCUACCCCAACUUGUUUGAGACUAAAGACUUUGUUGUUAUUUUGAUAAAUUGACUUAUUACUUAAGAACUCAACAUAAUGAACUCGGGGAAUACCUGACCAGGUGGACCCACAAGGACCAACCGACGUCUCUAUGAGGGCAGGGCUCCCUUUGCCGAGUUCCCCAUAAUGAAAACUCGGCUCCCUUUGCCGAGUUUGGGAAGCUUCUUGAAGUAGUCCCAAAGGGGCAGUGCUGACAACAUCACUGUUGUCAUUGUUUGCUUCUUGGACGGGACGAGUCUGCCGGAGAUGGACCGAGCGAGGAGGUCGCCAAGGACCAAUCUUCAUAGUUGUUCUUAUUCUUCCAUGGCGUUGUAUCCGCUGUUGUAUCUGAUGCUCGAAGUAGAUGUCAUGUGGCGGUGCCCUCCUGUGCUACGAAACCAAAACUGACUUGGCCUGAGUUCCGUCAUUGUUCCAUGCUCCCGGCUAUCCUAGAUGGUAGGUAAUGUCGGAACACAGGGGAAUGGUGGGGCAGUGUUGUUACCAUAUGAUCCAAGGGGUACUUUUUCUUUCUUCAUGCUGAACCUUGUACUGUGUAGUUUCUAUGCUGGUGUUUCAUGCUAGUGAUUUUUAGCAGUAAAUGCAUGUAACCCGACUAUUUGAAUGAUUUGAACAAAGUUGUGCUC